UUUUUUUUUUUUUUUUUUUUAUUAUUUUGUUUAUUUUAUUUAUUUUUGCAUUAUAGUGUUUUCUGACAUUGGGGACAAUGUCAAGUUUAAGUGUGGGGGUAGAAAUCUCUAGAAUUUCAUUUGUUUCUGUGUUGUUGCUUUUUAUUUUUUUUUUUUUUUAGUUUUGUUUUUCUCUAUAAAAAAAAAAAAAAAAUCGGAAAAUUUAAAAAAUCCAAAAAUAUUGUCUUGUUUCCCUUAUUGUUUUGAAUUAGAUUUUUUGUUAGUUUCCCGACCCAAUGAUAUAAUUGGAUCAAAAAUUUGAACCAUGAUCAUCAAGAACUUAGUUAACAUGUGUUUGGUGAAAUUCCUAAUUCUCUUGUUAGUUUUGUACAUGUUUGACCAUCUUUGAAAAACCAAAUGCACAUAGCCUUGUUAAUGUGAAACUAAAGUAUGACUUAAAGCUUCAUAUGUGAAUUUAGUGACCAUAUACAUCAUAUGUGAGUUUUUGAGCCGAUUGAAAGUGUGUGCAUUUUUCAUACACUCCUAUUCUUUCAUGUGUGAUGAACUUAUGUGAGAUACAUCUCUAGAACUUGCGUAACGAUCUUUCGAAAUGUUUGUCAUUGAUUGCAUGAACUUGGAAAUGAUAGAGGCAUUAGGUUUACCACCAUGGCCCAAAUAACCAUGUUUCCCAAAGAAAAAUGAUAUCAUUAGAUUGCCAAUUUGAGCCGUGUAUAUUGAGCCUUUUAUUUCUUAUCACCAGAUAUGUCUACCCUUAUACCUGAAACAUUUUUCCUUACCCUUUCCAAGCGAGCAAUGCGAAAUUAUCUUAUGAGAAACGUUUGUGAAGUACUUUGAAGGUGUUUGGCAAAAAGAAUAAGUGUGGGGGUAUUUCAUGUUUGUAUUUAAAAAAAAAAAAAAGAGAAGAAAAGAAAAAGAAAAAGAAAAAUUGUACACAAAGAAAAUAAAAAGUUGUUCAAGUUUCAGUUUAAGGGUGUGAUUGGAGGUGCUAGAAGAAUUGCUGGAGAAUUGAGUUCUUAUAAAUCUAAAGAGAAAAAUUGCUUGCAAUGUAGCUUGGAAUUUGUGUGUCCUAUUCUUUCGUUUCAAUAACCCUAUCCCUAAGCCUCAUUACAUCCAAUAAAAGUCCUCUUGAUUUAAGUUUUGCAAUUAUGACUGUGGAGAAGUGAUCUUUAUGCAAGCUUAUGGUAGAAAUUUCACAUUUGAUUCUUUGAGCGAAACACAUUAAAACUAAACACAUGUGUGAUUGAGUGCAUAUCCCGUGAGAAUGUCGCUAGUUUGCAUAUGAUGAUUUUAAAAAUAUAAAAAUUUUGAAAUUGCAUUAGCAUGGCUAUCUCACACACUACACUUCAAGGAUGAUUCAAAGAUUACUGCUAAUAUUUGAAUAAGGAAAAUGAACUUGGAUUAGUUUGUUUGGUGCUAGCUAUGGUUCUUGAUGAUUUGUUUUCUUGAAUGAAAUUCUAUGAGGGUCACAUAGAGGGAAGCUAAUGUUUUUCAUGUUAGUACUUUUUCAUGUUUUCUUUGUUUUGCUCGAGGACUAGCAAAAGCUAAGUAUGGGGGUAUUUGAUCGGAUCAUAUUAUAUAUAUUUUUUACUUCAAAUUCACUCGUCUUUUCUUAGUUAGUUUCUUAUAUUUUUGAGCUAUUUACGUUAUUUUUGUGUUUAUAGGAUUUGUUUAUGCAAAGAAAAUAAAAAUAGAACAAGUGAAAUUUUAUGUAAUAAAUUCGUCAAAAACUGUCUGUGUAGAUCAGCUUUUAAAUUAAAUUAAAAAUUAUAUUUAAUAAUGAUAAGUCGUGAUGAUGUUUGAAACAUCAUCAUGAUGGUUUUGUUUUGUAGAAAAAAAAAAAGAAAGAAAACGGUGGAAAGAAAGAGUUGAACAAAGAAAGGAAAGAAUCCAAGGUGGAAACGUGAGGAGUGGAAGGCAGGAGUAUGCGGGAAAAGAGGGAAUAGAAAAACAGAAAACAAAAAGAAGCACGCGGGGAGAGAUAGAAGGAAAAGGGGGAGCUGCCCUUUGGGCAGCUCGAGAAGGGAGUCAGCGAGAGCUAGAGGGAGGACGGAGAGAAGUACAAAGCAAGGCUGCCAUUUGGCAGCUGAACCAAGAGGGACGCUGCCUUGUGCAGCCCGAGGCCAGAAGUCAGGAGGAGAGCUGCUUGGGCAGCUCGUGGAGAAGUCAGGAGAAAUAAGGUGCUGCCUUGGCAGCACGUGGCGCAGACUGGGGAACGAAGGAUUGAGAGAGGAAGGCUGCUGUGCAGUCUUGAGGACUGUCAAGCAGCUGGAGAGGUGAGGACCGAGAGACAGGGAGGUCAGAAAAAGCACGUGGCGCGAGGCACGGACAGACAGCAAACUCCCUUAUUUUUCGGUUUAAUCUUUCCAAACUUCUCUUUUAUUUAUGUUUUAAUAAUGUGUAAUUAAACUUAUUUUGGCUAGAGGUUAAUUCAAAGCCAUGAAUAUAUUUGUAAUAUGAAUUGAUUACCUUCGGUUGUGAUUUCAUAAGUUGUGAUUUCAAUUUACUUAUCCGUUCGUAUAAAAAACUGAUUUGUGUAUGUUGGUUGAGAGUGCACGCUUAAUUUACAUGCAUGAAUUUGAUGCUAGAAUAUAAGUGAAUUUCACCUAAUCGUUAUGAACUUAUUUUCACAAGUAGUAAAGGUUGCUAGUCACAAUCACGUUAAGUAAAUUCUUGGCAAGAGUAUCAUGCUUUUCAUAGUUACGAAUGCCUCGUCAAUGCUUAUAGUUUUCACAAAGUUUAAUGAUCUUUGAUUGUAUCUCUAUUGUGCUUUUCACGUAGGGGACUUUUGAAGAAUGUUUUUGAAUUGUUGUAUGCGUUUUUCCCGUCCAAUUCAAUAACUUAAGGAAAACUUGAAGAUUAAAAAAGUGCUGUUCACGGUUAAUCUGGAGUAUUGAGAUUCACAAUUUAUUGAAAGAACAACUGAAAAUCAAUUUAGGUUGCAUAUGUGUCAUGUGUGGAGAAGAACCCUCUAGCUAGUCCGUCAUUUAUCAUUUUACCUUAAUUUUAUGUUUUUAUCAAUUCUGUAAUUUAAUUAAGUUUAAUUUACUUUUCAUCAAAACCAAACACCAUCCAUUAUUAAAUUAUAUUAUUUAUUUAGUUUUCUUUAUUGUUAGUCUUUUAAUUUAAUUUCCGUCCAUUUCAGUUCCUAGUGUUUAAUUUAAUUGUUUUCAUUAUUUUGAGUCAUUUUAAGUGUGUUUCGAGUUAUUAGAGUUUUUAGCCUAGUUUUGUGUCCUUGAGUCUUAUUUAAUAUUUUUAAAUUAAUUUAGAAUAGAUUAGCAAUCCCUCCUAAUCCCCGGCCUAGAACGAUACCCUACUUACAUCCAUACUACAAUUGUCAAAAAGAGGGUUUAAUUUUGUGUGUUAACUUAUUUUACGCAUCACUUGACAUGGAUACAUUUUAAAAUCAAAGAAAAAAUAAUGUACCCAUAUAAGUUUAAAAAUGGAUUUGAAAAAAAAAAUUGAAUAUAUUUUAUAUAAAAAAAAAUGCUACAUUUUACAUAUAACAAAUUGGUAUAUUUAAUAAUGAGUACAUUUUAAUAUUAAAAAGUUUUACAUGAAUGGGUACAUAUAAUUAGCACGGGUACACUUAGCAAAAUAAAAAGUACAAAUAAAAAAAAUAUGGGUACAAAUACAAAUAAACUUUAAAAACAUAUGGGCAAAAAAGAAAUUAAAUAUAUGGGUACAAAUUAAAAUUGAAAAGAAAAUUGGUACAAAUUAAAAAAAAAAAUUACUAAUUAAAAAUGGGUACAAACUAAAACUAAAAAUAUAUGAUAAAAAAUUUAGUCAUAAAUAUAAAUAUACUAAUUGUAACAUUUUUAACAUUAAAUGAAUAUAUUUAUUUUAUUAUUAAAAAAUAAUUAAUGAUGUUAUUAAUACCCAAGGUGUGACAACCCGUUCUUAAUUUUAUGUUUUUAUUAAUUUUAAAAUUGUGAAUUUACAAAAAUGCCCUAGAGGCAAGGACUUUGACUUUUGUUUACCAUCGUCAAGAUGAACGUAUGACUUAUUCUUUUAGCGUAUCCUUGUCGUACUUGUUGGUGCGAACGCAUAGGCGAAAGCCGUUUGCAAGUCCGAAUGAAAACAAUAUAGUUACGGACUUUUGAAUUUAGUUAUUUAUAUUUCAGUUGUAAAUUAAUUUAACUCCUUCAAGGAAGUAGCCCAAUCAAAUUUUAGGCACAAAGGACCAAUCACAUAAAGGGAAGGAAAGCCUUCAGCCAAUCAGAAAAAAAAAAAAAAAAAGAGAAAGCUCCCAGCUUCCCUAUCACCCACACCUUCGCGACCUCCCCUUUUCCAAGGCCAAUUCUGGCCAACUUCUGUGGAGUUUUUCGACGCCACCACCACCAUCUUGAAGCUCUUAUUCCCCUCUACAAAACCCAACCAAUAAUCACCUUGAUUAACCACUGUAUGAGGUGGUUUGAGACCACGAAAGUCGACGAUUCUCGCUGUGCUCCGGCCACUAUUUUCAAUUUUUCGACGAAUUGGAAAAGCAAUGGUCGAUGCCACCACUGGGCUUUGUAGCCCAUCAUCCCAGGAGAAAAUCUCAACCAACCUUGACCCUAUUGGACCACCGUAGACGACGAAUUGACGUCGAGAAGCUUUAGGCACCCGCUGACUUUGUGGGAAAAAUUUACUAUCUUCCGUCCACUUUUGGACUUCGUGAUCGGUAUGAAAGUUGUUCCUCUCUUUGAGAUCUUCAUUUAUGUUAAUUUUGGUAAUUUUUAGAAAUAGUUGAAUUUUCCGGCAAGUCGGGGCCGCCAAUCGCCACCUGUGGCAGCGCGUGGGCUGAGGGAUCCCCUGACUUUCCUAGGCUAAAUUUGAAUACUUUGGUUCCGUUUGUGAAGUCCGAUUGACGAAAUUCAGUCGUUUGAACUUAGUCCCAUUAUGGUUCGCCACUUGAUUAUUACAGUAAUCGACGAUCCAACUGUUGGAUCAUCAUUAAAUUUUAAUACAUUAUAGUAUGUAAUAUGUGAGGCUAUUAGAAACUUACGGAUUGGGAAUCUGACGUACGGAUCUUCCCAAAUUGAAAUUGUAAGUUCGUAAAAUAAAACAUUGACCACCACUUGAAUUGGCAAUUGGAGGAGAUCCAACCGUUGGAUCGUAAUGAAACUUUGUAUGAUGUUUUAGAAGCACAAUUUGGACCUUUGGAAGUUACAAAUUGGAAAUCUGAGAUGCGGAUCUUUUGGAUCGAGUUACGUAGGGUUAUGGACCCUACCGUCAAUCUUUGAUCGACGAUCGACUUUUGGUCAAUUGGUCCCAAAUCAUUCUAGAAUGUCCUUGGGGAUAUGUUUUAUGUAAGUUACGUGUUUUAUCGAUGAGAACUCUGAGAUGUGAUUUGAUAAUUGUUGAAGGCCACGAUGGUUAAUGAUGUUUCGAUUUUCAUGCUAGGGAGUCGUAGCUCGGACCUCAGGUGAGUGGGUAUUUUCCUUUUAUCGUAUAUAGAUAUGACUGAUAAUUCCAAAUGCUUUUAAAUUGUUCUAUGCAUUUGAUGCCAUGUUAUAUAUAUAUAUAUGCAUAUUAUUGGCAUAUAAUUACUGUGAAUGCUUUAAAGUACUAAGUUGAACUACAAAUGGCUUGAUCCCGUUUGAGGGUACGUAGGCAGUCUAACAAGACUGUUAGAUGCAGACAUAAAACAAUCCAAAUUUAACAUGGUACUUGGUUUCUUUAAGGAAAGAAGUUAUGAUGGUUAACAAUGUAGAGAUUAACCAUGAUUUUAUUCUUGUCUAUCACUGGGUUUAGUUCUUAUUAAGAAUGUUGGGACGUUAAAGUGGUUAUGCCAAAUGACGUUGCAGAUGCCCCGGUAAGAUUCAGGUGAGUACAUGUUGAUGACAGUGAUUUCAAUGUGUAUGGUUAUGUUUUUAUGCAUUUAAUGCUCAUUAUCCUGCACCUUGGUGUUAGUGCUCCGCCCGAGGAUAAGGCCUAGCUUUCAUGUGAUCAUAGCACUUGAGCGUAUUUAUUUACACCCAGCCUGUCGUACAGACCACAUUAUGUGGUUCCGACUCGUGUGCAGGAAUUGGUAGAUGAGCUAUAUAGGCAACUCCGACAUAGUCGUACAGGUUGGAAUAAAUAGGCAACUCCGACACUGUCAUACAAGUUGCCUAUGAGUUGUACAGGUCACUAUAGGUGACUCCGACUUAUGUGCUAGCAUUGAUUGAUGAGAUAUAGAUGAGUCGUACAAGUCAUUAUAGGUGACUCCGACUUAUGUGCUAGCAUUGAUUGAUGAGAUAUGGGGGAGUCGUACAGAUAAUUAUAAGUGAGAUAUGAAUGAGUCGUACAUGUCACUAUAGGCAAGGUAUUAAAAAUCGAUGAUAUCGGAAAUAUCGGUAGUCUGAAAACACGGAAAUAUCGGGAUAAUAUUGAUAUCGAUAAAAAUAAUAUGGAAACCACGGAAAUUGUAAGAAAAACUUGGAAAUUUUUAUUGAAACUUUGCAGGAUGUUUAUUUAGUCAAUUAUCUAUUAGUUUAUCAUAAAAAAAAUGAAAGGAAAUGCAUUGCAUGAUGGAUUUAACAUUAUCAAGUUGAUUAUAUAGCAAGCUGGCAAACAUUGUGAGUGUAGAAAAUAUGUAGUAAUUAAUGAAAGAAGUUUAAACACACCAUAAUCAUUUAUAUAUAAUGAAUUAGUACAAUAUUUUACACUUUAUACAUUGCAUGGUAAGAUACAUGAGUGACUUAGUACCACAUAGAGUUCCUAUGAAUUCAUUUUCACUAUCUUCAUCAUCUCUAUGUGUAGAGUGGGUGUAUUGUGAAGAGUAGUUAUCAAAUGAUAAAUCCCCAAAAUAGUUUUGCAUGUAAUUGUUAACAUGCCACCCAUAUGGAUCCGAGAUUGGUUGACCUUGUCCAUAAGCAAAAUCAUUUGAAGAUUGAGUCUCGGAUUGUUUCCAUGAGUCGCUCGAUUCCAUCCCAACAGGAAUGGGAUAUGAAGGGUAGGGAAAUGGUUGGUUAUGAGUAUAACCAUAGUUACUACUUCCCACUCCAACAGAGUCCGAAGUUAUAGAUAACGAGUCAUCUUCUUGACUUGACAAAAUCCCUUUGCCUCUUUCUCUACGAAUAUAGUCCUUCCCUAUGGCACCAAUUCCUGGUCCUGCCCGCCUACUGCCAUGGUCCUCAUCCUGUGUUGCGUGCGUGAAGUUUGCCUCAGCAGUGAAGGGGCUCAUAAAUCCGGGAGGUGGUCCAACAUAGUUUCCAUAUCCACCACUACUGCCUCCAACUCCACUAUAUCCUUCAUCAUUCCCACCUCCGGUGGUAGGUGAGUCUCCUCCUGAUCUUGUAUUAGAGCUAUCAUUAGUAUCAGCACGAUGUUGUGGUUGUGUAGGAUUGGAAGAAGGUGGAAUUCCAGUGUUUCUUGGUCUUGGGCGCAAAAGUUCUUCCAAAGAGUUAGCGCUGCUAGAUCCCACCUCCUCCGCUAAUACUCUUUCUACAUUUAUCCCUUCAUUACGUGCUUCUUCAGCAACUUUGGGAGCUGGGUUGCCUUCAUCAUCAUCUAAAUAAAGAGGUCUAAUCCAUUGAUAAAGUUGGUUACCCUCUGUAUCAUCAUCUUCAGUAACAAUAUCAAACACAUCUAGUGGGUCACCACGGUCGACAUGAUCUAUUUCUGCUUCCUUAUCUCGAAUUUGAAGCUUCAUGUUGUAGUAGCAAUAAACUAAUUUUUCCAACUGACUAUGAGCCAACCUAUUUUUUUGCUUUGUGCGUAUGAGUGCAAAUGUGCUCCAAUUUCUUUCACAAGCAGAUGAAGAAGCUGUUUGUGAUAAUACUUUGAUUGCUAACUUUCUCAUAGUUGGUGCAUCAGUCCCAUACAUGAUCCACCAUUCAGCUACAAUGAAAAACAAUGUUGAUAAGCCUAAUAACUCCAACAAAUUCUAUUAUAAACUUAUCGUGAAAUAUGUUUACACUCACUAAGAGACAUUUUUGUUCGAGCAGCAACUGAUGUUGGUUCUCCAAAAGUUCUUCUUGCAUCUUUAAACCAUGUUAGCUGAAUUCAAUAAAUCGUGUUAGUUUAAUCCAACAAAGUAAUUAUUAUAAUUUAAGUAAUUGUGUACCUCAUUUCCAAAUUGGCCAACUGCUGGUGAUGCAGGGUCUAAUUUAGAGUAUACAUUAUGUACAGCACGUAUAAGGGUACCAUCAUCUCCAACACCGGGUCUGGAUUGGUAUCGAGGAUUCAAAUAAUAUGCUGUUCAAAGAAACACAUACUCUAAUAAGAGAAAUAAUACUUAUGCAAUUAAAGAAAUGAAUUGCAAAUUAUGACAUAAUUUAUACCUGCUGCAUGCAAAUCGUGGUAUAAUGUUUUAUACCAUCGGUCUUCAAUUAUCUUUAUGACCCACCUUGCACCAUGUUUUCUUUCCAAUUCAUCCUUCACUACACGCAUCAACUCAUAUAUUGCCCCUAUAGUAGGAUACACUUCUGUGUCAACGAUCCGUAAAACUUUGUAAAAAGAUUCAAACACUUGGCACACAUGUUCUGAUUGUGUCCAAAAAGCAUGAUCAAGCACUAUACUUUCCACCAUACGACCUGCAUUUGAGCGGCUCAAAUUGUGGUUGGCCUAAUCGUCACUAGUGAAUAGUUGCUUCAACCCUGCUUUCUUCUUAAGUAGGCUGUCUAAUGCAAUAUAGUUGGUGGCGAAUCGAGUGGUAGCUGGACGAAUAAUGUCUCAUUUGCAAAAUUCACGCAUCUUUGCCAACAACCAACCAUGAUUGUAAAUAUAAUUUGUGAUUGUUCUAACUCUUUUUACCACAGUAGCAACAUUCUCUCUCUUCCUCAUUGCCUCAAACAUGAGAUCAAUACAAUGUGCUGCACAUGAUGUACAAAACACAUUAUGAUGCUUCAUUAACUUUUUUUCAGCUUUGACAAAUGCAGAACCGUUGUCGGUCACGACGUGGACAACAUUAUGCUCUCCCGCCUCCAUGAUUACAUCCCUCAAUAAUUUGUAAAUAUACUUGUUGUGGAGCCAAAAAUAAUCACAAGGCGACACGUGGUUUUUGGGGUAAAAGAGGACAAAAAUACCCUUGAGGUAUAACAGGAUUCCUAUGCGCAAGUAGCGGGCAAUCAUCCUUAACCAAGUUAAAAAUGCUCCAAAAAGGUAACCAAUUCCAAAUUAUCUCAUCCAUCCUCAUUUAAGGUAAUUCCCGAAACCUAAUUUAUUUCAUUUAGCUAAUCAAUUAGCUAAAUAAUAUAUUUUUUCAUAUUUCCUAAAAUCUUCGUUUAAAAUCAUAAUAAUUGACUAAUUAAGGAAUUAAUUCCUAAUCAAUUCCUUAAUUGUCAAUUAAAACAUCCAUUCAACCCCAAAAACAAGUGAAGGGCUGGCCACCUAUUGUUAGAAAAGGAAUUGGCCAUGUUUUAUUUAUCUCUUGAUAUUUGCCCAUUUCAUCCCAUUAAUUAGCUAAUUCAUUUGGUAAUAAUUUUAUUUUGCCAAAUUAAUUAGUCAAUUAAUCACAUAACUCCCAAAAUCAUCUUAAAUCAUGAACAAAACCCACAAACAAGGCUAUGUGGCCGAUCCUUUCUCACCCUAAGAGGCCGGCCACUCCUCUAUAAAAAGCCCCACAUUUCUCACCAAAACCUGGUUGCAACUCUUGCUAAAAUUCUCUAUAAUUCUCAAACACUUUUUCUCUCUAAAUUCUAACUUUGGCAUCGGAGGUUCUUCGGCCAAAGCCCCUCCCAUUUAUCGUGAGCGCGUGAGGCUCUUAGCCUUGACCUAAGGUGUUAAUUGUUUUGUAGGUGCAAUUUUGUCCAAGAUCAAGGAGGAAGAAAUUUGCAUCCACAAAUUGGUGCUUUCAUUGAGAGUUGAAAUCCACACUCUAGAAGACUCUCGCACAAAAGGUUUUUUUCUUUAUUUUCUAGUCCAUUUGAAUAUUUUUCAUACAUUUUUAUUAUUAGAAUUUUUUUACUUGCAAAGGUUCCUUGAUAAAAUGUAUAAGCAAAAUAUAAUGGCUAGAAAUUUAGAAAAUUCCACAAGUGAAAAUUUUAAUAUUCAAGAAAUGGGAUUGCGGAGAUCCGUGAGGCUAAAUGCGACAAUAAGUAGAGCGGCACCACCACCAUGAGUUUCCACCACAUGAACCACCACGGUGGCGAGGUCCAUGGUGCCUUCACCACGGCCUGAGCCGUGCCAUCCAAGGCUCACGGCACCAAGGCCAUGACCCAAGCCAUGUCACUCCAAGCCCAAUGCGAACUCAACACGUUGCCAAGCCAAGCCAAGCCCAAGCCUCGCACCUAUGUGCAUCACACUCCAAGCAGCCUGCUCCCACCAAGCAACCUGCUCUCGAGGCCCAGCCUGCUCCUUCCAAACAGCCUGCUUUCGUGACCCAGCAUGCUCCCGACGAACAGCCCACUCCCGUGGUCCAGCCUACUCCUGCCGAACAACCCACUCCCAUGGCCCAGCCUGCUCCCGCCAAGCAACCUGCUCUUGUGGCCCAGCCUGCUUCCGCCAAGCAAUCUGCUCUCGCGGCCCAGCAUGUUCCUGCUGAGCAGCUUGCUCUCAUGACCUAGCAUGCUCCCGACGAGCAGCCCACUCCCGUGGUCCAGCCUGCUUCCGUCGAGCAGCCCACUCCUAUGGCCCAGCCUGCUCCCUUCGAGCAACCUACUCGCAUGGCCCAACCUACUCCUGCCGAGCAGCCUGCUCUCGUGAUCCAACUUGCUCCCGACGAGCAGCCCACUCUUGUGGCCCAGCCAGCUCCAGUCGAGCAGCCCACUUUCACGGCCCAGCCUGCUCAUGUGGCUUCCCAAGCAGCCCAAGUCGGCCCAAGACUAUUUCAACCAUCCGGACCUACCAUCGAGCCGGGGGCAUUCUCACUAUAUUUUUUCACGGAUUUGACAUUUCCCAACUCAAAUCUCAUGCUCGAAGUCUACCACCCUUCCACUGCCCAAGGAGACGCAUUCCUUCCAAGCUCUUCCAAUCCAAAUGGCGAACAACACUUGUCUCGACAAGUCAUAGAGUUGACGAGCGCCCUUGCACAACAGACAACCUUGAUGAAUCAACUUUUGCAACGCAUCGAGAUCCAACGUCCCCCUAACGAGGUAUCCCGAAGUAGGACAAGGGCAGAUGAACCUUUCAAGCAGCGUCCUGGUAAGCAGCCACUCGACCAGCCACGAAUCAAACGUUCGGGCAGUGUACAUUCCCGAUUGGGCCCCCGAGAUAGCGUAUACUCCAGUCUUAGCGCGCGGAGGAGCGUGCACUCUUGACUAGGCCCACGGAUGAGCAUACAUUCACGGUUAGGGUCACAUUCUGAUAGUCAACAUGAGCAACAUUCUGGGCAAAGUGUUCAUUCGCGGCUAAGCCCGCAAGGAGCAUCAUCCACCUCACAUCAGAGUAGGCAGCACGACGGACGGAGAUAAGCAGUCAUUCAAACCGGCUUAAGUUCGACCAGCAGUCUGCGAAGAACUCGCUCGCCUGCUAAGAAUGCACCACAUGCACUGCAUCCGCGGCAUAGACGAGCCAAACACAUGGAAGAGCAGCCUAGACCAGCAAGUCAUGGCUGGGGGCAGCUGAGAACUCCGCUACCCCAACAAAGGCAAAUUCAGGAAGAAGUAGAGAGACUCUUGACCAAGCAAUUGCAUGAUUUCCAAUGCAACGAGGUCACCGACGAGGCACUACGACGGAACAUAACCAACAUAAGCAGGUCACCCUUCACGGACGAGAUCGAGCAGGCAGAGCCUCCACGCGAGUUCAGCAUGCCACAUUUCACAUCUUUCAAAGGGGAUGAAGACCCGAAAAGACACUUAAAGCGCUACCGAAGCGCAAUGAUCCUUUAUCGAAACAACGAUGAUCUUAUAUGCAAGAUAUUCGCCACCACUCUACAAGGCGAGGCGCAAGAUUGGUUCUACACCCUGCCGCCACAAUCCAUCCGAAAUUUCUACGAACUUUCUUUGGUUUUCACCAAAGAAUAUUCAUCCUAUCGCUCAAUCAAAAAGAAGUCUGACCAUUUGUUCGACGUCAAGAAGAACCCAAAGAAGUCGCUUCGCGACUAUGUGAGGAGGUUCAAAGUAGAGAAGGCAAAAAGAGUUAGAUGCAACGACUCGAUAGCUAAAGCAGCCUUCCAAAAAUGACUUCCAGCAGACCACCCAUUGUUCGGAAAAUUGAUAAUGAAAGAAGAUCUAACUCUGGCAGACUCUUUCGCUAUGGCAGAGAAGCAUGCACUUUGGGACGAAGUUCGCCGAUGCCCAUUUAAGGCAAAUCCAAGCGAUCUUGAAUAUGAAGUUCCCCACUACUCUGAAAGAGAUUCAAAGUCUGACUGGACGAGUAGUCGCAUCUGAAGCAGAAAUAAGCUCUACCAUCAUACGAGAAGAGCUGGGGGCCCGAUUACCUAUAUUCCAUAGUUUAAAAGCUUUCCUUGAUGCUAUCAGUUGUAUUCCACAGUUUAAAAGCUCUAAUUGAUGUUAUCAGAAAUUUAAAAGCUAACUUCGACGAUAGUUGUUGUAACCUAAAAGCUCAAGUUUUACCUUCAAACGCACACAGUCAUCAUCAUGAUGCACUAUUCCAUCGAAUCCUGACGAACGCAACAACUAGGCCUAAAAGACAUGCCAAAGGUAGACGAACACUAGAAGGAACACUCAAAAGCAAGUUUUGUCCUCAUCACCCCAGAAGAUUCUACGUAAGAGCAACAUGUAUUGGCAGUCGAACACUACCUCCUGCUGCGCGUCACACGGCCUAGCCGACCCUUGCUCCAUUAUUCAGCUCUAGAGUGGCUUAAUACCAAAAGUUAAGCAUCUUCUGCUACAUGUAACAUGGCCCUAGCUCCACAGCUCCCUACCGCGCCUUCAAGCAUAGCCUUGACAAUGCAACAUAGCAGCCCAACGACGUCCCGAAGGCAGCCGAGCACAUUACCUGCUCCCUCAAUGGAGAUUUCUGGCAUUUGCAUGUCGACGGCGCAUGAAUUCAUCGGUCCUUCUCUCGAUAACACUACUACAGGAAUGAUGAUUCUCAUCAUCAAGGAAUUGGCCAAAUUAAUUUAAAUUCUAUGCAGGUAACCGUGAAAUUGAUAGAAAUGCUUUGACAGAAAUGUCUUCUAAACAAUUUUUGUAACCCAAUAAUACUUAGCAAAUAUUAUAUUUACCUUCAUUGGUAACAGUUAAAAAUAUCGUAUGUAAACUAUUAUUUCAAUUAUUGGAAUGGUAUAAGGACUUAAAAAAUUAAAAUAUGGAAAUGUAUGAUAAUGUACCUAUAACAGUGUUUAAUUGUCAAAAAAAAAAUUAUGACAAUUUUUUUUUAAAUUUUCAAGUUGUUAAAAAACAUCUAGACGGGUGAAAAAAGGGUAAUGGUAAAAAAAAAAAAGAUAAACGGGUUAAAAAGGAUAAAUGGGUAAACGGGUAUUAAACGGUUACGGUUAAAUGGGUAUGCGGUUAUGGGUAUGGUUAACCGUUUAUAAAUGGUUAUGGGUAUGGGUAUAACCGUUUAGGCAAUUACCCAAUGGGUAAACGAUUAUGCGGGUAUGAGCAUAAAUGGUUAUGGGUAAAUUAACCGCGGUUACCCGCUCGCAUAACCAUUGCCCAUCCCUACACACAGGUCAGGUUAGAUUCGAUUCUUAUAUUAAAUUUCUAUAACCUAGCCUGGCUCUCUCCAUUUUAUUUUCAAAAGGAUGCAGUCCAAUCUUUUCAAUUUUAGGCCCGGUUCGGCUUAUGCCCAUCCCUAUAUUCCAGUUAGGGAUGGGCAAUAGUUAUGGUGGACGGGUAACCGCGGUUAUUUUGCCCAUAACCGUUUAUGCUCAUACUCGUAUAACCGUUUACCCAUUGGGUAAUUCCCUAAACAGUUAUACCCAUACCCAUAACUGUUUAUAAACGGUUAACCAUACCCAUAACCGCAUACUCAUUUAACUAUAACCGUUUAAUACCCGUUUACCCAUUUACCCAUUUACCCUUUUUAACCCGUUUAUCAUUUUUUUUUACCAUUACCCAUUUUUCACCCGUCUACAUGUUUUUUUUAACAACUUGAAAAUUAAAAAAAAAUUGUCAUAAUUUUUUUUUUUGGACAAUUAAACACUGUUAUAAGUACAUUCAUCAUACAUUUCCGUAUUUUAAUUUUUUAAAUUCUUAUAUCAUUCCAAUAAUUGAAAUAAUAGUUUACAGAAGAUAUUUUUAAUUGUUACCAAUGAAGGUAAAUAUAGAGAUAUUAUAUUCACACACCCCAAAUUACUUCUCCCACACCCUUUUAAUUUUUUAAUAUUUUUUUAUCAAGUGUUAGUGGUGUGUAAAAAAUAUUAAAAAAAUUAGAAAGGUGUGAGAGAAGUAAUUUGAGGUGUGUGAAUAUAAUCUCUCUAAAUAUAAUAUUUGCUAACUACUAUUGGGUUACAAAAAUUGUUUAGAAAACAUUUCUGUCAAUUUCACGGUUACCCGCAAAGAAUUUAAAUUAAUUUGAUGAAUUACUUGAUGAUGAGAAUCAUUAUUCUUGUAGCAGUGUUAUUGAAAGAAGGACCAAUGAAUUCCUUGCUAAUUUAUUGGGUGCUAAGUAUUAUUAAAUCAAGAACAUGAUUUGUGUUAGUUUUACAUAUAUAAAAUAAAUGGGUAAACGGUUAUCACUUUAUAACCGCGGUUAAUACCCAUAAUCGCCCAUUUAAAUUUCACAAGUAAACGGUUAUAUCCAUAACCAUUUAUUUAUCUAAACGGUUACCCAUAACUAUAAUCAUUUAAUUUAAAUGGACGGAUAACUGCGGUUACCCAUAACCAAUGAAUAUUUGACCAUCUUUAAUUCCAGUGUAUCUGUAGGCAGAGACUACAAAGAAUUACCCAUCAAGUACACCUAAAGAACCAAAGGCACAACCUAAUCUUGGGCACGCAAAACUACAAAACGCUGACAAAAUAGAAGCGAUAUUCAACCCAACGGUCUCUAACACAGCCACAGGUAGGUUCCCUCGAAAGCCUUAUCUGCUUCUCCUCCUCAAGCUCCGGCCAUGGCGUCACUGAUACUCGGAGCUCCCCCAGCCCCCUCUCAGUCGCAUGCUUUCAACUCCCGCAUUUCGUUCUCUCGCUCCGAAACCCUUGCCAUUUCUCUCCCCUCCUCCACUGCUUCGCUCUCGCUCUCCACAGCUUCUUCUCCGCCAGUUCCUUCAGGUAUACGCAAAUUCCAAAUCCUCUUUCUCUCUGUGUAACUUGCGCUAAUUUUGUUUUGUGCUUCUGCAGUAUACUGCGGCAGAGGCGAUAAGAAAACCGAAAGGGGAAAGCGCUUCAAUCACUCUUUUGGAAAUGUAAGUCAAAUUUCGAAAUUUUCACCGUUUCACAUAAAAAAGCUCAUGAAUUUCAUUGAAGUGAUGAUUUUGUUCUUUUAAAGUUUGAAAUUUUUCUGAGAAAGAUCGAACAUUGAACUGUAGGCGCGGCCGCGGAACAAGAACAAGGGCAGAGGACCACCUAGGGUUCCGGUGCCGCCGGCGCCCCCAAAGAAAGAUAAGUUUGAGGACAAUACGAUUGUCAAAGUUGAAAUUGAUGAGUCCUUGUCUUAGUUAAUUAAUGGAUCCUCCAAUUUGUUUAAUUUCUGUUUUUUAAUUGUAAGUUAUGUAUCUUGAGUUUAUGUUAUGAGGAUUUUGAUCAAAUACUUUUCUUGUUCUUGCUUGAAAUUAAUGAGUCAAAGCUUUAAAUUUCAAUUUCCAUUAAUUAAUUAAUUAAUUUGUAGUUUUCCUUAUAGUUUGGGAGGACAAUUACCCAGAUAUGCCUGGGUAGUUCUGUUUCACUUGUUUGUGUUACUGUCUUGUCUUUUUGGACACAAAAUCUUCUUGGAAAGAUAUGGAAGGAAAAACAAAUGUUUUCAUAUCGCCGGCUUUCGACAUUCUUUAUAGUUUAUAAGGGAGUUCAUCGCCGGCUUAGUCCCAUCUGUUGGUGUUUUCCUGCCCUAUUCUGCUUCUUCUUCAUAAAUCUGCACCUUGUCUGUUCCUUUUGUACAAUCCUAGUACCCUGGAUCUUUAGGAUUAGGAUGAGUUUGUCGGAAAUAACCGAAGAGAAGGAUGAUGAUGAGAUCGGGUUUUUGGCUGAUCCAGAAGCUCAGAAGGAGAGGAUAAGGCAGAUUAUAGAGUAUCAGAAGUCGCUUCAUCAGUCUUCAUCUUCUUUGUCUUCCUUGUCUUCCUCUUCUGCUUCCUGGUCGUCAUUUUCUUCAGCUCGAAGAAGUAGCAGUUUGUUAGGUUUGAUGAAAGUAGGAAACACAUCUUUGAGGAUAUUGUUUGACAUGGAGCAUCCGACUUUGGGGAACCAUUUCGAGGAUUUCAGUGGAUCCUCGAUAGUUAAGCCUAUCCUUCUAUGGGCAGUGAUACAGAUGAUGAGAACGAAACCCGUGACCCCUGGGAAUCCAUCAAACAGCUUAGACCAAUAGAGGGUUCUAGGAUUGAUGAUGGACAGGAUAAAUUUGCUUCAGAUGGUAGCUUCUUGGGUGGAGAUUAUGGCUUUCAGGAUAGAGAUGUAAGAAUCGGCGCCCGCAGAUUGACUAGGACAAAGUCGUUUAGAAGAUUGCCAGGAUUUGGAUUAUGGAGAUGCAAAGGAUUUAGAUUUAGAUUGAGAUUAAGGCGGCUUACGAUCGCUUUUAGUAGAAGAAAAUGUUGAUAUUAGCUGCAUACUUGUAAUACAAACCACAUAUAUUUAUAUAUAAAUGAAAAGGUUAACUUCGAUUAACAUAUUGAAACUGGGAACUUCUUAACUUGUUUACAGAAUCUGAGAUUUACAAAUUAUAUUCAAACAAUGAUCUUAAUUAUAGUGGGGCUAAAAACUCAAAAUAAAAAACGAAGUUUGUGUGAUCGGAAAAAAAAAAUGAAUGAAAAAACCGAAAGACUAAUUUCCGGUCUGCCACUUUGUCGCAGAUUGAAGAUGCUUCACCAUUUAUUUGAUUAAAAUUCUUGAAGAACUGUAUAUGUCGUUGCAAAUGAUACAGCGAUCGGAGAUCAAUCUCUGCAUAAUGCUUCCUUCUUCAACUACUUCUCUGCUGCUUUGCUUGUUCCAUAGGUGUACUCCGUAAGUCUCCCCGUUAAGCUGAAGCAGCUUUUCUCUUAUCCAUCGAGAAUGAGCCGGACUUCCUGGCUUCUUAAACAAUCCUCCGAUCCUACUCCAAUCGACGGGGUAAAAGGCGAGAGGGGGUAGAAUCGUGAAGUUAUAACCGGGUCGGUUUUGCACCCUCAGGACCACUCUGGAAACAAGGUAGGGACCAUUAUGCCCCCAUUUAUUCCCAUCAAAAGUGAGGGCAAAUUCCUCCAUGAAUUUGUACAGAAGGGGAUGAUUCAUAUCAAAGAUCAGAACUGCAUUGUUUAAUCUGGUCCAGUUCUUCGAAACCACAUCCACACUUUGUGCACCGAUCGAGUUUCUCAAUCCGAAGAACGAUUUCAAGACGAUGAAGUCUGUGUCUAAAUAAACACCUCCAUACUUAUACAGAACUGCGAGUCUUAUCAAAUUAGACAGGUUCUGGGCUAAUGGAAUCUCACCAGGGUCUCUCUUGCCUCUCUUCAUCUCAGCAAACCAGGAUUCUGCCGGCGUGUUUUUCAACAGAAAUGACAAGUCAGGUGUCACAGCAUGAACUUUGAACCCGCUAUCCUUCAGCGGUUUCAGAAUUCUGUAACCGCACUUGGAGUCCAUAGUUCUCGAUAGAAUCAUCAAACAUCCGCGAGGGUGGGCUUUGAAGAGACUCUCCAUUGUCAAGAACUCUCUGCUCCCAAAAGACCUCGCCGGCGAAAUCCAUGUCAUAAAGAACUGACCCUCACACUCCUUGUUAAAGAAUUCCAGAACACGGCCAUGGAAUUGCUUUGCAGACUUGUCUGACUUGAAAAUGUGAAAUUCCGACAGCAUGCUUCGGAACCAAGCAAUUCUUUCUUCUUCUGUGACAUUUAAAGGAGGAACAAGAGGCCUUGUGUUUUCUUUACCAACUUCAAUGGUCUCCUCCUGCAUGGAACGCAGAACUAAGUGACUUACAUCAGACUUGAUCAAUCCGCCUGCAGAAUUAUGAUGAUAACUCUGCAGCAACGGAGAAAUCGCCUCGUUCUUUGACGCCACUGACUGUUCCGAGUCACCAUAGAUAAUACUAUCGGCAUAGACGAGGACGAUGAUUGCAACAAUUAAAUGAGUACAGAAGAUGGGAAAUUUGGCAAGGCUAAGGCGGCGGCUGUCGAUUCGAGUCAUGGUCAUUGUCAGAGGAGCGGCAGCGUAGGGAAAGAAGUGAAGUUGAAGAGAUAUAGCUCGAGAGGAACUUUCAUGGCGAAUAGACCAAAGUAUGACGACAGACACGCUUAUACAAAAGAAAUGUUGGUUGCAGGCUUUAUAUAGUUCAAUGUUUGAGUUUGAACAUUCAAUAAUUUGACUUUUUAGUAAAAGUCAAAUGUACCUGCCUCUAAAACUAUGCUCUCAGCAUUGUGUGGAUACCUUGAUACAUAAUUGGCAUCGUAAAUGAUUAGUUAGUACUAAUCUGGUACUGAGUUGCUUUUAUAAAAACUGGGUAUUAAAAAAAGUUGAGCUCAAAAAGGUGUUUAGUAAACACUUAAAAACAACUUAUUUUCACAGUUUUGGGUGAAAAAAAGCUAAAAACGUGAAACAGCAAAAAUGAACUUAUUCUCACAGCACAACAAAAAUGAGCUUAUUCUCAUAGCACAGCAAUACCAAAACAGUCCUUAGUCUAUCAAUACUUUGUUUUAUUUAGGUGGAAGAUAUCUCAAAUUUCAUUCACAUGUAUGUAAGGUUGAUAUAUUGUUAGUGUAGGAGAAUCCGUUCAGGAUUCUGUUGGGCUAUGUAUUGUAAAUCCCCAUGAAUUUAGGAUUACUUGUAUCUCAAGUCAAUUGACUAAUAUAUAUUUGUAAUAUUGCGUUACGAUGACAUCAAGGAAUUACAAUUCGACAUAGUAUUACUAGCUUAGGUUCCCUUUUCCUAGUAAAGCCCUAGUCUUCUUCCCCUUUCUUCUACCUUUUGCCGUCGCCCUUAGGUCAAUUUUCUCCAAAUUUUUGCUUUUUGCCGUGCCACCUACUCCCUAUUCCCCUUGACUACGCAAGCCUCUUCAAGUCUUCAUCCUCUACUCUAGGUGGAUCCCCUCUCAAGUCAAUUGACUAGUAUAUAUUUGUAACAUUGCAUUACCAAUGAAAUCAAGGAAUUACAAUUCUGCAUAGUAUCACUAGCUUUAGGUUCCCUUUACUAGUUAAACCCUAGUCUCCUUCCCCUUUCUUCAACCUUUUGCCGUCCCCCUCGGUCAAUUUUCUCCAAACUUUUGCUUUUUGCCGUGCAACCUAUUCCCUAUUCCCCUUGACUACGCAAGCCUCUUCCUCUCUCCGGUUUUAACGUUGCUCAUUUUCUGAAACUCACAGAUUCCAACUAUCUCCUUUCGCUUAGUCAGAUGAAGCCAUUUCUUCUUGGUCACAAUUCUACAUAUAUAGUGGAGAAGCAGGUCAAAUGUUUGAGUUACAUGCGAGGUUUAUAUAUAUAUAUAUAUAUAUAGAGUGAGUGAUAUUUUUUUUUUUAACAAACGAUAUUAUCUACACUAAGGGAAUGUAGGUUUAGCCUCACAAUGGACUAGCAAUAAUGUGGUUCAAAUUCACAUUUGACGAAAACCGAACCUAAAACCUCUCACUUACAAGUGAAGAAGAAUAUAUACUACUAGACCGUAGUACUAAGUGACUACAGUGAGUGAUAUUUAGACAUACAUAAUUGACACACUCCAAUAUAAAUAAAUUCCACAAACAACAGUAAGAUCUGUGUCUAUUAGACAAUGUGUCAAAAAAUGAGUUAAUUUUGUAUGUCUAUGUAUAAUUAUCGUCUAAACAAAUUAUAUGUGGCUCAUUAUGACUUGUGAAAGGAUAUUUGUAUCUCCUAAAAUGAAUAAUAAAUAUUGAGGGUCCAUGAGAUGAGAUUAUCAAUAAUUAAAAGAUGGUGAUGGAAACAUGUUUUGCGAUUAUUUAUUGAUUAGGCAAUUGCCCCAUUGCUUUAUUUUUCAAUGAGUUACAAAGAUAGCAAGACCUACCAUGGUAUUUGUGACCAACCCAUACAUUAGAAUUAAAAUUGUAAUCUCAUCAAAGCACAAAGGAAGACCAUUCCUUGAAAUUAAAUUGUUUACCUUAGAAAAAGGGGUAACCAAAAUUAUUGGAUUAUUUAACUUAGCCAUGUUCUUGGUGUAUUUCCCUCCUUAUACGUCCAUUUUUUCUGUAGACCUAGAGAGGGGGAUAUAUUACAUACGGUUUAUAAAACAAUGGAUUUAUACAAUUGUCUUGUGUCUCAUUCCUUAUUCUUUUGUUGCCACCCUUUUAUAUUGGGAUUGAGAAAUUAUUUAUUCCUGGCAGACAGACAUAAAUUUUCUUCAUCCACAAUGAAAUCUUUUGUGUAGAAAUUCUUACACACAAUCCGAAAUAUUUUUUCUUAGUUACAAAAAACGAAACAUGCCAGUAAAGUUUUCCUUUCGUGUUAUACAGCAUCUCUUGUAGACUUGAUACGAUCAAAUCCAUUUCGAGGUGUAAAGAAAUUCUUACAUACAAUUAAGAAUAAUACUAUUUUGAUUUACAUUUCUCAUCACGUGACACAUAAUACAAUAGUUAGGUGGCGGAUGUAUAUGGGGACCAGCGUGGUCUAACGACCACCCUGAGUCUGGGAAAAUAUACGUGUGAAGGUCUUUUGAGGAUUCUUUGAAUGUUUGGUAUGGUCCUCUUUGUGCUCACCAAGUAUUUGAUAUAAUAUAUGCUAGGUAUAUCUCGAUAGCACUUGAUAAGUUGAGUCGAGAGCACUCGGCAAAUUCUCUCGAUAACAUUCAUUAGGUUGCUUCGACAUAUAUUGAUAUUUGUUAACAUGUGCAUAACAUGGUUUGGUUGACGACAACAAACCUACCAAAUGUUCAACGAAAUACCUCAAUAAAUAAACUAAAUUUUUUCUUACGCGCAUCGCACUCUGUUUCUAUUAAAAUAAAAACAGAAAAUCACAACUCAUUGUAAAUCACACCUCGGUGAAUACACUAGAUUUUUCUUACGCGCAUCGCACUCUGUUGCUUAUAAAUACAAGUGCACAUAAGAAUAAUGUUUAACAAUACUAUUUUUAAGAUGGUGACUGAUGUUUCAAUUAUUAGGUAAAUCACAACUCAUUGUAAAUCAUAUAUGAUUUUUUUUGUCUACCAUUUUCCGAAUGAGAAAGUAUGUUGAAGGGCUUUUUACUAUUACUGAUAUCAAAACUACAAUAAAUAACGUGUGCACAUAAUUACAAUAUAGUUUGUUAGCUAAUUAAUAUGAUCCACGCAGACCUAUUUGUCAACUAUUGUGAUUUUCUCGCUAAUUAGUGCAGUAUAUAUUUUUUUUCAUUUAAUUUAGGAAGUUUUAACGUAAUACUUAUGGUACUGUUCACUUUUAACGAAAAUGAUAUUUUUACUUUAAAAAAUCACUUCUGACACUAUUCACUUACAACACAUUUUUGUUAUUUUAAUUAAAAUUCAAAAUUUUCAAAUUAUUUUCAUUAGUUGUUCUUUUAAUUUAUCGAUCAAGAGAGGUCGCAUCCGACUUUUGGAACAUGCAGCAAAAUUAUUCAAGUCUUAUUUUUAAGCAACGUACGUCCUCGCCUCUAAUUACAAUUAUGUAGUGCCAUCAGAAAAAUACGUAUAUGAUUCGAUUCAAGGGGUUGCGUCUCUGCAUGCAACUUGUGACUUCUUUUUGCAUUGGGCAUUAAAUUAAUCCUUAUGCAAUUAUUCGGCUAUUACUUGGCUGAUUCACGUUAUUCAAUCUUAAAAUUUUAUGUUAUAUGGCAGAUAAAAUGUCCUUAUUAAUGAAAUUAUUUUCUUCCAUUCAUGAUACAUAAAUACUGUAUAAGAAAAGGUAUAAACCAGAUAGGAUGGGGUCUUGGAAGGCCCCAAAAAAACACAUUGCUAGAACGUAGGAAACCAGCAUGGUCAGGAAAAUUCCAAGGUUGCAUUGCGAUAUGUAGUGAUCAGGAAGCUCGUCAAAACUUAAGCGCGGGAACGGCUCCCCAGUUUUGAUUAUUAUGCUGAGAACCGUCCACUCACAUGUAAGCGAUUGUAAGUGAGAGGAUUUAUGCUCGAUUUUCACCAAAGUGAAUUUGAACAACAUUGUUGCUAGUAAAGAAAGUUGUGGUUCUACUUUAAAACCAAUUGACAAUAUGAGAAGUAAUUCAACCUCUUAUAAGUCUAUGCAAGGUCCAUCAUCUCAUCAAUGUGAGACUCAUUCUCAAUAGCUAGUCUAUUGUGAGGUUAAGGGCCCACCUCUUAUCCCCUUUAGUAUAGAUAAUAUUAUUUAUUUAAAAUAUAACUGAAUAACGAACUAGUAAAUAACCAAAAGUCAAUUUCAGUAGAAACAUCUAUUUUGUGUAUACAUGAUCACUAAUAAUAAGACAUAACUCCCUAAUUAUUGUUUAAUAUGACCAAAUAACUGAACUAUCAGAUGUGGAAAAGUUGAACAAACCAGAAAUGGUCCUUAUUAAGAAAAACACUUGGCUCCUUAGAUUGAGGAGAAAUUUCUCCUUAAAGUACUUCGUUGCGUAUUCAAAGAAUAUCGUGCUUAUGAUAAGAACGGUUCAUAUUAUAUAUACGUCACUCUGUAAACAUCAACUCCACAAAAAAAAUAAUAAUAAAACUAAAAUUGUUGAGUAAUUGAAUUGUAUAAAAAUAUAUGGAUAGAUUUGGUAAAUGCAUUACGAACCGUUCUUUUACUACAAUUGAUUGACUAAACUUAAGUAUUUUGAGGAGGACCUCCUCCUCAACCUUAAGGAGCCAAGCUCUUCUCCGUUUUUAAUAUUGAGAGUUUAUAUACAUAACCUCCUCCUCAACCUUAAGGAGCCAAGCUCUUCUUUGUUUUUAAUAUUGAGAGUUUACAUACAUAUAUAUAUAUAUAUAUAUAUAUAUAUAUAUAUAUAUUAACCUAUUGACAAUAUAUGAGAGCUUAAAUUGAUAGCUAGGAAGGGUUUCAAUUAUAUAAAGAACAAAAACAACUGCCAAAUGAAAAGAAGCUUACGAUCAUGGAAGAAAAUGCCGAUAAUAUCGGCGAAAUAUCGCCGAUAUUAUCGGUUUUUCGGGUGAUGGAUAUUCUAAGUGGUAUCCGAAUGGUUUUCGGCCAAAUAUUGCGAUAUUUUGGAAAUAUCGGCGAAAUUUUUUUGAGUUUGGUGCAAUCGGACUCCGAGGCGACGUCGGAGAAGAACGCCGGAGACGGUGUGCCUAUUCCCGGGCCGAUUUCGUCCCAAAAACCUUGCAAAAACACGAAUUUUAACAUCAAUUUCACAUAUAAACUUCAGAUUUCACGCAUGCAUAAACGAUUCAACAUAUGUGAAGUCGGUUUAGGGUUUAGGGUUUCAAUGGAAUCUCACCUGACGAAGACGAAGACGAACCAGAUGACUGAACGUGAUCCUUGCUCAGCGGCGCACCGCCAGAGACGACUGAGCCAACUCUGACUUCGCCAGAGCCACGAUCAACGGCGAAGGGAGAAGAGAGAUCGAGAGAUCUGUGUGUGUGUGUGUGUGUUUGGGAGAAGAGAGAUCGGAGAUCUCUCUUUGUAUGUGGGUGUUUGGGAGAAGAGAGAUCGGAGAAGGGAGAAGAGAGAUCGGAGAAUGGAGAAGAGAGAUCACCAAUCUCUGUGUGUGUGUGUGUGUGUUUGGGAGAAGAGAGAUCUCCGAUCUCUGUAGAUGGAGGGUGUGUGCGUGUGUGUGUGUGUGGAAUGAGGGAGAAGUGUGUGUGUGUUAUCCGAGAGAAAGAAAAAAAUACAUUGAGGGUGUGUGUGUGUGUGUGUUUGUGGCACACGGUUUGACACAUGGUUUUGUAUAAAACCAUGGUUUUGUGUGUGUGUGUGUGUUCACGUGUAUGGUUAUGUGUGUGUGUGUGUUAUCCGAGAGAGUUUUGGCACAUGGUUUUGUAUAAAACCAUGGUUUUGUGUGUGUGUGUGUGUGUGUGUGUGUGUGUAUGGUUAUGUAUGUGUGUGUUAUUCGAGAGAAAAAGAAAAAAACUUUGAGGAUGUGUGUGUGUGGCACACGGUUUUGUAUGAAAGAAUUGGAAGUGACUUUGCUCAGAAGAACCAAAUAUUCUGUCAGAGAAGAACCAAAAAAUCUGCUUACUUUAUCUUCUUCUCCACGUGAAGACCAAAUUCUGUCAGAGAAGAACCAAAAAUGCAAUGUAUAAAGUGUAAAAUAUUGUACUAAUUCAUUAUAUAUAAAUGAUUAUGGUGUGUUUAGACUUCUUUCAUUAAUUACUACAUAUUUUCUACACUCACAAUGUUUGUCAGCUCGCUAUAUAAUCAACUUGAUAAUGUUAAAUCCAUCAUGCAAUGCAUUUCCUUCCAAUUUUUUGUGAUAAACUAAUAGAUAAUUGACUAAAUAAACAUCCUGCAAAGUUUCAAUAAAAAUUUCCAAGUUUUUCUUACAAUUUCCGUGGUUUCCAUGUAAUUUUUAUCGAUAUCGAUAUUAUCCCGAUAUUUCCAUCGAUAUUUCCGUGUUUUCGGACUACCGAUAUUUCCGAUAUUACCGAUAUUUUCUUCCUUGCUUACGAUAACAUAGAGAGCGCCUAAUUUAUUUUUCCAAGACAAUUAUUAUAAUAUUAUAUAUUAGAUAAUUGAUACUCUUCCUAUCGACACCUUUAACAUGUCACCCUCAGUACUAGCCAAAUAAUUGCGUUAAAUAUAUAAAUUUUGGUUAAUAGUGGGUGGACAUUUAUUACAAAACCAAACAAAAAAGGCAUGGACUAUCUUGUAGUUUUUAGCAUCUUAAUGUGUAAUUGCCUUGUAUUUAAUCCUUUUCAAAAAUAAGAAUUUAGCUCGAGGAGAUUGUAUACUGAUGCAAAAACUUUACCUUUAUUUCAAAAACCCUGCAUGAAAACGGAUAUAUAUAUGUGUGUGUAUUUAUAUAUAUAUAGAUAUCCAGGUGUAUGCCAGAAUCUGGAGUAAUAUGAUAGUAAGACAAAGGUUUUGUGAAUUUAUUUGAUUCAAUUUUGCAAGCUGAAUGUGAAAAGACUCCUCCCAGUAUUAGCUGACAAUGCGCUUAGAUGUAAGAUCUAUUCUGUGUACAGAAAUUAUAAAACUGUUAGCAAAAUGGUAGCCUCUUAUGAGCUGCAAAUAUCUUGGCCAUGUUAAUUAUUUGAGACAGGCUGAUGUCAACUCAAACCCUAAAUAAACUGGUCCACAUAGUAAAGCGCCUUAUCAUUCUAACGCUUCUUCAAACAAAUACAGUAGAUGAUAAUAUAAAAUAAGUUUGUGAUGCAAAACUAAACGGACUAGGAUCCUCUCCUGAGCUAAGGAUGAGGAUCCUACUGAUCAAAGAGUGUGAGUCGUUGGAUGAUCCAACGGUUACAAACAGGAUGUCCCUUUAGAAUUAUAAUAAUUAUAACCGUUGGAUUUCCAACGGUCCACACUCCUUGAUCAAGAGGAUCCUCAUCCUUAGCUUAGGAGAGGUUCCCGGUCCAAAACUCAGAUUAGGCCUUAAUAUUUCCAAACUCGUCUUAAUCGAUCUUUGGCGUGCUUCCCCACUUCCAAUUAACAACUCUAAUCUCCAUAUGGUGAAAUUAACAAUCUGGCCCUAGUGAUCAAUGGAGUGAUGCUUGGGUACAGACGGCCGUCCAGGACACCAAAAGUAACCAAGCACAAAGGGAUGGGAUCAAGAUACAAGUGGGGAUGUUUCGGAGGGCAGUCGGAUUACGGCCGCGUUGUUUGGAUAUCCGCAUUUAAGAAUUUCUCCGGUUGAUGGGGCUGCUGAUAGGAAACAAAUAAAAUAACAACAAAGUCUUAUCCCACUAAGUGAGAUCAACUAUAUAUAUAUGAAUCUUGGCUGCUGUUUUGUGCCAUGUUUCCCCUUAGAUUCAAGUAGUUCAAGUCUUUUUUUUAGAAUUUUUUCCCAAGUCUUCCUAUACCUCUUUGACAGUGAGGCUAUGUCUCGUAAUCGCAUCUCCUCACUGAAUGAAGACAAAUCCACUACAAUAUUAACCCAAUAAUGAAGAAUCAGAGUCCUCUUUUCGAACACUGCAUUCAACAAAAUCACAAUUAAAAAAAAGCAAAAUGAAAUCUGUAAUCAGAUUUGCAACAAAAUGGAGCUUUCGUAUACUUGCUGCAUGAAACUUCUGUUUAAAUUCCUUCCCGGGUUCUUUCUCUUAUGCAUGAUCACGUGCCCGGAAUUCGUCUUUGGAAACGAAUCUGACCGCCUCGCUCUGCUGGACUUGAAGAGAAGAAUAACAAAUGAUCCUCUCCAUAUCAUGAACUCGUGGAAUGAUUCGACAGAUUUGUGCAGUUGGAUUGGCGUUACAUGCAACGUUUCAAACAAAAGAGUCGUGAUCUUGAACUUGGAAGCUCAAAAACUGGUAGGCUCCAUACCACCUUCUAUCGGAAACCUUACUUAUCUUACUGGAAUCAACUUCAUAGACAACAAUUUUUAUGGUGAAAUUCCUCAAGAAUGGGACGUCUAGCAAGCCUGAAAUACCUCAACCUGUCUUCGAAUUCCUUGGGCGGGAAAAUUCCAACUAAUAUAUCUCGCUGCACGCAGCUGAGAAUGUUUGAUGUUGGUGCAAAUAAGCUUAUUGGGUCAAUUCCGGACCAACUCAGUUCGUUGUUGAAUUUAACUCAUUUUUGGGUUGAUGACAACAAUCUCAUUGGAGCAAUUCCGGAUUGGAUAGGAAACUUUUCUUCCCGGUACGCAAUCUCUCUUGCUUACAACAAUUUUAAGGAAGCAUACCAAAUGCUCUCGGGCGGUUGACAAGCUUGGGAAGAUUCAUAAUUCCAUCAAACAAACUUUCCGGUACGGUUCCUUCUUCAAUCUAUAAUAUAUCGUUGAUAUACUAUAUUACAGUUACUCAGAACCAGCUGCAUGGAGAGCUCCCACAGAAUGUGGGGACUACUCUUCCUAAUCUUGAGAUAUUUGCUGGCGGUAUCAACAAAUUCACCGGAAGUAUUCCUGUUUCGUUGUCAAAUGCUUCUAAACUUCUAUUUCUUGAUUUUGCCGAAAAUGGCCUCACGGGAAAACUCCCUGCUGAAAAUUUUGGAAGUUUGAGAAGCUUGUUGAGACUAAACUUUGACGACAAUAGGCUUGGAAGUGGGAAAACAGGUGACCUGAAUUCUCUCAGUUUCCUGGCGAAUUGUACUAAUCUUGAGGUGUUGAGUUUUAGUCGUAAUCGUUUUGGAGGAGAAUUGCCAGAAUCCAUAGCCAACCUUUCGACGAAACUGAGAAUUUUUACAAUGGGUGGGAAUUUAAUACAUGGAAGCAUCCCUUUCGGCAUUGUGAAUCUUGUAAACUUGACCAGUCUAGGAAUGGAACAAAACUCUCUUGGUGGUACUGUCCCUGAUGCAAUCGGAAAGCUUCAGAAGUUGCAGGGGAUGUAUUUAUAUCUUAACCAAUUUUCCGGGACAAUCCCAUCGACGCUAGGCAACUUGACUUCGGUCACAAGGCUCUUCAUGGAGGGGAAUAGGUUUGAGGGAAGCAUACCUCCAAGUCUUGGGAGCUGCCAAAACUUGUUGAUGCUUAACCUUUCUAGUAAUCAGCUAAGUGGCACCAUACCUAAAGAGGUUAUCGAGCUUUCAUCCCUUUCAAUUUCUUUGUCCAUAUCGAACAGUUCUUUGACUCGUUCUCUACCAUCUGAAGUGGGCGAGUUGGUACAUCUCUCGGAGCUAGAUGUAUCAGGAAACAAGUUAUCAGGUGAAAUCCCCAAAACCCUUGGCAGCUGUGCUAGUUUGGUGCGUCCAUAUUUGGAAGGUAACGAAUUUGAAAGAACAAUUCCUCAAUCUCUGGCCAAGUUAAGAGGCUUGGAAGAACUUGAUAUUUCAUGCAAUAAUUUAUCUGGCCAGAUUCCUGACUUUUUGGGUAAGCUUGGAUCUCUACAGCAACUCAAUGUUUCACAUAAUCAAUUUUAGGAUGAAUUGCCCUCGGAAGGGAUAUUUUCAAAUGCGAGUGGUUUCUCGAUUCUUAGAAAUAAUAAGCUCUGUGGUGGCAUCCGAGAAUUACUUCUACCUGUAUGCACCAGCAAAAAAUCUAAAUCAUCUCGAGGACUACUUUCCCCAAAAGUAAUAAUCCCUCUAACUUGCGCACUUGCAUUAAUAAUUACUCUCAUGUUUCAUUGCUGCUUGUGCAAAGGUGAAAAGUCAAGAAGUUGACCUUUAACUUCACGCACCGAUGAGGACUCGAAAUCAUGUGUCUCUUAUUUACAACUCUUUGAAUCAACCAACGGGUUUUCAAAGGAAAAUCUCAUUGGUUCGGGAAGUUUUGGUUCCAUAUACAGAGGAGUACUUUCUAGUGAUGGCGGUAGUAGCUGUUAAGGUGUUAAACCUUCAACAAGAAGGAGCUUCCAGGAGUUUCAUUGAUGAAUGCAAAACUUUAAGAAGUAUAAGGCACUGCAAUCUUCUCAAGAUCAUUACUGCAUGCUGUAUUUUUCAGUUAAAAACUAAGUUGCAAAACAUUACGAAGGGAACAUAUUCAGUUUCAACAUAUUUGCAACGAAUUAAAGAUGUGAGGGAUCAUCUUUCUGCAGCUGGUGUAACAUUUGGAGAUGAUGAUAUUGUGAAAUUGGCACUGAAAGGUUUGCCUUCUGAAAUAUAAUACCUUCAGGACAGUUAUAAGAGGCAAGGAAAAUGUGAUCACUCUUAAGGAGUUUCGAUCCCAAUUGUUAGCUGAGGAAGCAACUACUAAGCAACAUUCAGUUUCUGAGUCUUUUGUUACUGCAAUGGUUGCACAAGAAACAUCAGGCAAAGGCAAAGCUCUUAUGUUAGGAGAAGAGCCUUCCAGUGGUUCCUCACAGUCACAGGCUUAUAGUGGUGGUUCAACUAAUGGUGGCUACAAUAAUCAUUCCUCUAACUACAAUGGAGACUAUAUUUCGAAUGGUUUUCAAGGAAGAGGUAAGGGCAGGAUCAAUUUUCACUCCAAUUCAAGGUAUAAUGCAAGAUCUUCUAAUCCAAGUACUAGAAUUCUUGGAACUACCAAACCUCAUGUUUCCACUUGUCCCGAGUAUGGUUAUGAAGUUCCUACAUGUCAAAUAUACAACAAAAAGGGUCACAUUGAUGUAGAUUGUUUUUAGAGACAUUCCUCUACAACUUCAACACCAUCCAAAGUUCAAUGCCAAAUUUGCUGGAAGUUUGGGCACACUGCAGUUCAAUGUUAUCACAGGGGAAACUUCACUUAUCAAGGCAGAUCACCAUCUUCCAAUCUCUCUGCAAUGCACAUUGCAUUUUCUCUUUCUGCACCACAAGAAACAAUUCUGGGUUGUUGAUACUAGGGCUACUUCUCAUAUAACCUCGGAUCUCUCCAAUCUUAAUCUAGCAACACCAUUUUCAUUUUCUCGCAAUGAUACAGUAACAACUACAAGUGGCUCAGGUUUGCCAAUCUCUAAUACAGGCUAUACUACUCUUCAUAAUCCUAAGUAUGCUUUCGAGUUAAAGAAAAUAUUAUCACAACAUUUUUUAUUUAUAUAUCGACUAUGUAAAGAUAACAAAUGUCGAUUCAUUUGUGAUGAGUUUUGUUUCUGGAUCCAGGACAAGAUCACAAGGAAAAUCCUCCUUCAGGGACUGUGUAGAGAAGGUCUCUAUCCUAUACCCUUUCACAUUCCAUAGCAUCUCAUCACUCAAGCACAAAAAUACAAUGCAUCCUUUCAGCAACAAACAUGUUAUCUUGGCAGUCAAGUCAAAAUAAAUUUGGGGCACCAAAGACAAGGACAUCCUUCCAACAUUGUUACUUCUGCAAUGUUAAAACAAUCCAACAUUCAUACAUCUUUAGAUCAUGUGUCUUCAAUUUGUAAAUCUUUUUUGGAAGGCAAGUUUGCCAAGCUUCCAUUUGUGUUACAACCUCUAGAGAUCAUAUAUAGUGAUGUUUGAGGUCCUUCAUCCAUUGUUUCCAUUGAAGGUUAUAGAUUCUAUGUAAGUUUUGUGGAUGAAUGUACCAAGUUUACUUGGAUUUUCCCCUUAGUAAAUAAAACUGAAGUUUUUGGUGUAUUUGUCAACCUUCACAGUUUUUUGGUUACUCAAUUUUCUACAAAUGUGAAAGUAUCUCAAAGUGAUGGUGGGGGUGAAUACUCCAAUCACAAAUUCAAACAAUACCUACUAAAAAAAUGUAUAAUUCAUCAGAAGUCAAGUCCAUAUGCCCCUAAACAAAACGGUCUAGCUGAAAGGAAGCAUAGACACAUACUUGAAACAGCCAUUACUCUACUUCAAACAGCAAAGUUACCACCUAAAUUUUGGUUUCAUGCUUGUGUCAUUUUUGUUUAUCUCAUAAAUAGAAUGGUAUGUCAAACUCUUCAUAUGUCAUCUCCCUUUCAAUGCUUGUUUGGAACCCCACCCUCUAUAUCUCAUCUUAAAGUCUUUGGCUAUGCUUGUUUCCCACUUUUAAAAUAGUUGAACUCUAGUAAGUUGCAACCUAAAACCUCACAAUGCAUAUUCAUAGGCUAUGCAUGCCAGUAUAAAGGUUAUCUUUGUCUCUUAUAAACAAAAUAUAUGUCUCAAGACAUGUUUUGUUUGAUGAGACAAACUUUCCUUAUUCAUCCAUCAUUACCUCCAACCAUGCAUCACCACUCACUACAUACACAUCAUCAUAAUUACAACCAACAAUUCCUUCUUCACUAGUCAAUUCACAUAACAAUAUCAUUUCAACUGCUACUACCACUAAUGCCUUAGAGUGUUCCAUGUCCAUACUUGUUAAUACUUUGGGAUCUAUGGAAUCUCUCCCUCAUCAUUCAUCAUUUGCUUCAUCAAUUGCAGAUACUACACAGUCCCCAAUCCCUGUUGAUCUUAAUUUUCAACUUGAAAAUCUGUCAGUUGUCCUUCUCAUACCCUCGGUGAGUUUGCACCCUAUGCAAACUCGAUCUAAAAGUAGCAUAUCCAAGAAGAAGGUGUUCUCAGCUACAGUUAAGUCAUCUACACAAGUUUGAAAACCUGCAACUUUUAAGUCUACUAGUAAAAUACCAGAAUGGAUUGCUGCUAUGGAAGAUAAGAUCACUGCCUUGAAAUCUCAAAAUACUUGGUCUAUAGUUCCAUUGCAUCUAACAAAAACUUAGUACGCUGUAAGUGGGUCUAUCGUAUCAAAACCAAUCAUGAUGGUUCAAUGGCAAGAUAUAAAGCAAGCUAAUUGCAAAAGACUAUAACCAAGAGGAGCGAGUUGAUUACAAUGAGACUUUUAGUCCUGUAGUGAAACCUACCACAGUUAGGUUAAUUUUGGCAUUAGCAUCUUAGUUUAAAUGGUCCUUAAGGCAAAUGGAUGUGAAGAAUGCAUUUCUUCAUGGUGAUCUGCAUGAAGUGGUGUAUAUGUAAGAUCCCAAGAACUUAUUAUUGAAGAAGAGAAAUAUUUGAAAAAAAAAAUAUAUUGUGCUUAUUUAUUGAGAAGAUGGUGAACGUCAUUACGAGUUUGUAACAUCUUUCGGAUUACUUUUAGGAACUUGAAUGAAUUUUUAAGAUAAUUUCAUGUUGUACCAAUGUGUCGAUGACGCAAGACAGCUUACAAGUGAUGGAAUUAGCCACGUGGAGAUCAAUUAGACGGCCACCUUCCGCAAGAGAACCUAGUAGCUUAUUCAUGGUUAUAUAUUGAUAAGCUCCACCAUGCUGCUAAUUUAUAAGAAUUAUCAAGAAGCCUUGUUGUCAACUUUGGAUUGGCAUACAAGGAUGACUAUUGGAAGUUACAGGUUGGACGUGGCAUUAAGUAGUUCUAUGAGCAUCUACAGUGAUUUUAAACCAAGUAUUUGAGCUGCUUGUAAGUAGCCUUGCAGCUGAAGGUGGCAAGAGCGGUGUCAAUGCUUUUAUCAUGCAAUUGACACCACUUGCAUGUAGACUUUCUUUGCCUCUAUGUCAACCAAUGACAAGCUAAUUGGAGCAACCAUUUCCCUAUAAAUAGGGACUUCAUUCUUUUGGUUUUGGUUACCAACUAGUGCACGGGUUGGACGCUGUAGUGAGAUAUAUGGCUACAUGCAAGCAUGCAUGUUAAGCCUUUGUAGAGAAGAAUUUUUUUUGUUAAUCUUUCGAAAUUCGUAACUUUCAAUCCAAAAUUUCGAUUGAGGAAUAGUUUUCGUCUACAUGUUCAGUGAAUCGAGCUCAACAUUCUAAGGUAAAUUUUGAGGAAUUAUUAUUUAGGUUUGAAUAAUUCGUUCAAAUUGGGUUUAUGACUAAUUAGGCUUAAAUCUUCGAUUCAAGCUUGUUCUUGCAUAAUUUGAGGGCUUUGAAGCCUAUUUGAUGACUGGACAACGAUUUCUCAGACAUUAAGGUAAAGAUUUACAUAUGAUCAGAUUUUUGGGAUUUUUGUACAAGUUUCAUAUGGAUGAGAUUUAGAAAAAAAAUUGAUGUUUGACUCGAAAUUCAUCAAAUUUAGUCCUUAAAGGACGUUUGUAUGGAAGAAGUGAGUUGUACUAUUGAUGGAUUGUGUUUUGGCUUGAAAGAUAUGUUGAAUUUCUGGGAAAAUAGACCUCAAAGCCACUGGUUUCAUACCAGGGACUGAACUACAAAAAUAGUUUUAGUUUUGGGGUAAUUGUGUAAAUUACUAAAAGUUUGGGGUCCAAAGUGCAAUUAUCAAAAAUUUUGGGAUCUAUUUGAAAUAAUAAAAAGUUCAAAUACAUAAUUUUUAUUCUGGUUAAGUGAAGGUCCCUAUUGGAUAUAGUUGUUGUUAUGGGAAUAAAGUUUAGUCAUUAUAUAUGGACAUAUAGUGGCAUAUUGUAAUUGUUGAACUAGGGACUCCAAUUACUCGUAGUGCUUGCGUUUAAUCGAGGUAUUGGUGAGGAAUAUUGCUUGCUUGGCUUGGAGACCAGGUAGGAGAAUCCUCACUUACCCUAGUUAUGGAAUUUUGUGCAUGUAUGUAUAUGUAAAUAUACGAAUGCCUAUGAAAGCUACAUAGAUUUUGUUGUGAUAGAACCAUAAGGAAAAAUGGUUUUGUUUUAUAUCAUGAUAUACAUGUUGUUUUAUGCUACAAAUUAAAGUGAUGACUUGAGAGUGAAGGGGGCAUAGCGACCGCCUUGGGUUUCGAUCCCCUAAACCUCCGGAGGGGAUACUACAAAGGGAUUAGUAUCGCUACCUUUCUAGGAGAGGUACUAGGACAUCUAAGGGUAGAGCAUUAAGGGACACUCUCGCUACAACUUACCAUAAGUAUAUUCGUUCGGAGUUGGUCCAGGUAAGCGAGUAGUUGGUCAUUAGACUGGUCAUCAGGCAUGUAGCAAUUUAUUGGGAUCCCUAUUGUUUUUUUAAAGGAAAUUGUGUGAGCAUAUAACCUAUUUUCAAAACUAAACAAAGCUUUUGUUGUGCAUCAAUCAUUUUCCUAUAGUAUAUAUAGUGUCGUAUACUAUUUUCAAACCUAGCUGGGGUGGAUUCCCUGAGGGGGAACGAUGAACGUUUGUGAUGCUUACCAUUACUUUAUUACAGGUCUGGUGCACCUAUAAGUAGACGAACUGGACAAAAGUCGGGACUAGCGUUGUUUGUUACUUGUCAACUUCUCAGUUGUUCAUAGCCUCAUCGUCUUGAAGGGAUUUUUGUAGCCAAACUCAACGUUUUGCAUUUUCAAAUCGUACUAAAGAGUUGGUUUAGUAUGAUAAUUACCUUAAACUCUUUGGUUUUGUUGUAGAUUGUGAAAUUCUUUUCCUAUGUAAAAAUUUUAUCCAAAUUCAGUUGCCCUUUUAUUCUUCGUUUUACCAAUAUAAUUUCCGCUUCCGUACUGCUCAAAAAUAAAUUAUUUUAUUCCCCUCAAAUAGCCUUACGUUCUAUUAGGAAUGUAGUGCUAUAGUGUUAGAUUUUAACACUAUAGUAUUAAGUUACUAAUAGAGCAUGGCAUUAUUACGUGCCUCUUUUUGGGGCGUGACAGUAUAUGUCUCAACCACAAGGCUUUGAAAGUUCAAUUCAUCCCUCUCAUUAUGUUUGCAAACUUAGGGAGUCACUUUAUGGUUUGAAACAAGCUCCCCGAGCCUGAAAUGAAAAAUUUACAAGCUUUUUACCAUGGUUGGGAUUUAAGGCUUCUCUUGCAGACCCAUCAUUGUUUUGUGCAACACACUCAUCUUGGUACUAUUGUUCUCAUUUUAUAUGUGGAUGAUAUCAUCCUAACUGGCAGUUUAUCUCAGUUGAUUGAUAAAGUUGUUUAAGCAUUAACUAAGGAGUUUGACAUGAAGGACUUGGGUCAAUUACACUAUUUCUUGGGGAUACAGAUAACAUAUCAGUCUCAUGGUCUCUUUGUUUCCCAAACUAAGUACAAAAAGGACUUGUUCAAAAAGGUUGGUUUGCAAGAUUCAAAACCUAGUGCCACACCAUGUUUGCCUUAUCACAGGUUAUCUAAAACUGAGGGCACUCCUUAUCACAGUCCACAACAGUAUCGAAGCAUUAUGGGAGCCUUGCAAUACUUAACCUUUACAAGGCCUGAUAUUGCCUUCUCUGUUAAUCAAUAUUGUCAGUUCAUGCAUAACUAUAACAACCCGUCUCGGAUAUUUAGGAACAUAUGGGUAUUGUGGUAAAUUCAAUUGGGUUAUGGGAUAUUUGUUUAAAAUAUAUUAUUUUUGGGUCUUCUUUGGUAUGCCCAAGUGGGGCCCACCAUUAGUUUUUGUCCCCCAGCCCAACUCCUCAUUUGUUCCCCUUCCCGUGCACACCUUCACUCUCUCUCUCCCUCAGCUCUCUUUUCCCCCGAGCACCUACACACAUACACUAACUCUCUCUGGGACCUCCCUCACCUUUCUUGUCCAUCUCCCUCCUCUGUGUGUGACAACUCCAGAAUUUGGACACCCCAAGAAUUGGUACAAAUGCAUGAAGUAGCUCCAGCGGGUCUCCAUUACCCUCUACAUAGGUAGGUCUCGAAAAACACUCCAAAGAUUUCCUUUUUGGUUCCCAUAUUUCACUUCUAAUCAUAUAUGUGUAUUGUGGGCGUUGAAACAUCGAGAAAUCGCCUCGGACGAGCUAAACUUUAGUUUUCGGCAUGUACCCGUGGCUUCUAUGGCGUUUUUAGGCCAACUCCAGCCACCACACGCCUUGAAAUUAGUACGAAUCUCUUCCUUGUUCCUUGGGCUUCAUUUUGGUAUAUUGUAUGACCUGUUUUGGUCAUGUUUUGGGGUUGAACGGAGCUUGGAAAGCUUCGACUUUCCUCUUCCUUAAAAACAAGCACACACCCCGGCCAGAAACUGGGUCAAACCCAACCCAAGAGCACUAGGUCGGCCCAAAGAAUUGGGCCAUGGAAGCUAACCCAAGUAACCCAACCUAGUCCUAAGCUAACCAAACCCAAUUCAAAGUUGGCCCAAACCCAUGGGCCUUGUAACCCGACCUAAACCCAGGCCCAAUCUCUAAACCUAUUAACCCAUUAAACCCCAAACCCCUUUGGACCCAGACCUUGGGCCUUCGGCCCAGUAGCCCCAAACCGUGACUUGGCCCGUUGAUCGGCCUUUGACCCGACCUAUUUGACCGUUGAUCGUUGACCUGUCAACAUUGACUCUUUGUUGACUUUUUUUCGGGUUUCGGUCGGGACCCCUCCUAGACUAAUUUCGACGUCCUAAAUCCGCUUAUGAAGUCCAUUUUCCAAAAUUCAAUCGUUAUGAUAGAGUUUUAUUAAUUAGACCCUUUAUGUGCUUAGGUGCGAUUAUUAGCGACGAUUACGUCAUAGCUCUUCAACGAUGAAGUAUCUGUGAGUGGACCCUUUCUAAAAUGCAUGUUUUAAUAGUAGAAAUGCAUACAUGAAAAGCAUGAUUUAAUGGUUACAUUUUAUGAAACGUUUUAUGAGUAAAUUAGAUUUACGCUUUAUGAUUAUCAUGCUUUAUGAAGAAUAUUUUGAAAUACCAUACUUUAUCGAAUUUAUGUUCUUUGUAGUAUAUAUGAUGGAUGACUAUAUACUAUUUAUGAACAUGUUUUUAAACUCUUUGUAGUAUUUAUGAUGAAUGACUAUAUACUAUUUAUGAACAUGUUUUUACACUCUUUGUAGUAUAUAUGAUGGAUGACUAUAUAUACUAUGAAGAUGUUUUAAGAUAUAUGUACUUAUGUUGGAAAGAUUAUAUUCAAUGUUUUUGUGCGUAUCUGGUGGUCACUGUCUUGCCUACGGGCGUAUGUUCUGCUUACGAGCGAUUGUCCUCCUAUGGGUGUAUGUUCUACCUACUGGCAUAUGUUCUACCUACGGGUGCGUAACGGUCCUGUCUACGAGCGUAUGUUCUGCCUACAGGGCGUAUGUCCUGCCUACAGGCGCGCGAUGGAGAGCCUUCGGGCGAUUUGAUACCACUAGUUAGCACACUAUAUAUGAUAUAUAUGUUUUAGGAAAUGUUUUAUGGCAUGCUAAGGUUUUCGGAAAAACCUAUUACCUAUUAUGUUAUACGAAUUUUCUAAACCUGGGGGUUAGUACGUUGUUGAUUAACUAUUUUAUUACUACUUAUAUAUCAACUUGGUCCACUCAUAUUUUGUUUUGCUCCCCCUCAGGACUUAGAAUCGAGGCGUACAAUCCCGGCGUCAAGGCACUCCCGCAUCGGCGUCUUUGAGUCCUUUCAGUGUAGGACCCAUCCUUUUGUUCAUUCAAUUUUAUAUUAUUCCUUUUUAGUGUCUAUGAUUAGUUAUAUGCUCUGAACACAUUCCAUAAUUGCAUAAUCAUUGUAUUUGAAUUUAUAAGUAUUGUUUAUAUUUAUUUGUUCUCAUGCAUCCUAAUAUGUCUUUGUCACCUUCGGGUGUCAACCAGCAAGUGCCUACCCUGAUGUUUGGAGAACAUCAGGGUCAGGGUGUGUCAAUAACCCUAUGGCCUCCCAUGUUGUAGCUAUCAAAUGCAUCCUACGAUAUCUUAGUGGUAUUUUGGAUUAUGGUCUUCAAUUUCGAACAAGCAAGUUACAAUGACAAGCUUAUAGUGAUGCUGAUUGGGCAGGUGACCAAAAUGAUAGAAGAUCCACUUUUGGUCACAUUGUAUAUCUUGGUUCAAGUCCUAUAUCUUGGGCAUCUAAGAAGCAACAUAAUGUUUCUAGAUCAUCUACAGAAGCAAAAUAUAGGGCAUUGGCAAUUACAGCUGAUGAGUUAGCAUGGAUAAGGCAGUUAUGAUGUGAUAUGUGUGUACCAAUUUACACUGCACCAAUGAUCUAUUGUGACAACAUCUCAGCAAUUGCAUUAUGCUAUAAUCCUAUUUUUCAUUCUCGAGUGAAACAUAUCAAAAUAAAUUAUCAUUUUGUGUGCUGGAACAAGUCAUUCGAGGUGAUCUCCAUGUUGAUCAUGUGUCAUCAAAAGAACAAUUCAUAGAUAUAUUAACAAAGGGACUGUCUGCACCCUUAUUUCAGCUUCAUUGUUCCAAUCUUAUGCUUGGUUUCUCCAAGCAUAUGAUCGAGGGGGGUGUAAAGAUAUAGAAUCGUCGGAUCAUGACAAGUGUUAAUAGAUGAAUGAAUAAGCUUGUUAUGGUAGUUAAAUUAGAUAGUAGAAGAUUACUUAGUGUGUAAGGAAAGUCAGGCAUAUAUAUAAUUAUGUACUAUAAGAUUCAUUCAUUGAAUACAAAAAGGAUAAUUUAGUUGUGAUUCUCCCUCUCUCUCUCUCUCUCUCUCUCUCUCUCUCUCUCUCUCUCUCUGAGACUACACAGAAAACUCCAUCAAUGUUCUUCAUAAGUUAAAGAUUAACACAAACCACCUUAACCGAUUUUCUAUCAUCUAUCUAUCUAUCUAUAUAUAUAAAGGGAGAAGGCCAAAUAGGUGAAGCAUUUCAAAAUGCCAACACAGCCCCUUUGUUUUCUUCACAACCAAACCCAAAACAUUUCAAAAAAUGAGGAUAAACUAGUAAAAAAAACAUAAGAGUAUAAAAUUGUCUUAAAAAAAAAAAGCACAAGCAAAUUAAAAAAACGCCCAUCUUAACUAUAACAAUUGACAACUGCCAGAUGAAAAUACUUGCACUUCAAAUUCAUUUUGACCCUUGGAUUAAUCCUCCCACAAAUACUGCAUUGUGUCCUAUCUUUCCGAGAGAGAGGAAAAAGAGUAGACCUCUCGAACACCACAUCUAACCGCAAUGAUGAGAUGAAACUAUGGUCUAAAAUAUCCAUAAUAUCCCGAUAUUUUCAUCGAAAUUUUCGUGUUUUUGGACUAUCGAUAUUUUUUUGAACUACCGAUAUUUUCGACCUUGCUAAGUCACUCAUGUAUCUUACCAUGCAAUGUAUAAAGUAUAAAAUAUUAUACUAAUUCAUUAUAUAUAUAAAUGAUUAUGAUGUGUUUAAACUUUUUUCAUUAAUUACUACAUAUUUUCUACACUCACAAUGUUUGUCAGCUCGCUAUAUAAUCAACUUAAAUCAGUUAUAUCUAUCAUGCAAUGCAUUUCCUUCUAAUUUUUUGUGAUAAACUAAUAGAUAAUUGACUAAAUAAACAUCUUGCAAAGUUUCAAUAAAAAUUUUCAAGUUUUUCUUAUAAUUUCCGUGGUUUUUAUUCAAUUUUUAUCGAUAUCGAUAAUAUCUCAAUAUUUUCAUCGAAAUUUCCAUAUAUUUCCGAUAUCAUCGAUAUUUUAUAGCUCGGAUGAAACCGCCAUCUACUACAUGUUCUACAGAAACAACAGGUCAAACAUCGGAAAAAAUGAACCCACUUUCGUCUUCCGCACAGACCCCUCUUCUUCGUGUUUUUUCGAAGUUCCUUUGAAAUCCACACUCGAUUUAGACAAGAUUUCAGGUGAUUUUUCGUAAAUUCCUUCACUUUUUGUCUUUACAAUCAAUUUCGAUUGGAUUAUUAUUGUUGGGUUUUCAAUUAGAAAAAACCUCAAAUGAAGUAUGAGAUUUCAAAUUCCGAGGCUUUUGCGAUUCUUCGUCCUAAUAAACGACUUGGGUUUUGCAUAGUGUGAUUCUUCUGUUAUUAGAGAUUCCAAAUUUUUUGAAAACAGGGUUUUUUAAAUCCUCUCAAAGUAGUAGGAUAUGGAAAUGAACUCUACUGGAGAAGUAAUUCAUUGUGUUCAAAUUUCACUGGGUAAGUUUACUUUCAUAUUAAUUUUGGCAAUUUAUUUGUAGUCGUGCAGAAAUCAAGGAGAAGACAACGAGAGGGAGGGAGAAACUGACAGAUAGAUAUAUUAACAAAGACUCUUCCUCUACAUCAACUGAUUCUUAUCACAGGUAACUUUCAAUCUCGGAUUCUCCGUGAUCUCUGCAUUCUUUUCCAACAGUUGUCCACCAUUAACCAAAUUCAUUUUUCCUUCUAUUUUCAUGUAUGAUUGUUGGUUAUUUUCUUUUGAGUGAAAAACUUGGAUUUGUUUCUUCUCCAUGUAAGUGUCUUUAUGUUUCCCUCUGCAUUCGUUACAUUCCAAUGAAGCCCGUUGGUGAGGUUCUUAUGCUUACAAGGAAACUCUUGGCUCUGGGGAGUUUUUGUUUAUAUUAAUCCAUUUUCCAAUUAUUUGUCGUGCUUUUUCCAUUAGGUUUCAAAUCAUUUGUAUCGGUGCAGGCGGUGGAGAUAAAUGUGAUGUGUGUUGUCUGGGCGAGACUCGCCCAAUAUUGUAGUUUAGUAGUAUGAAAAUUUUCUUCUACAUUUGAUUUUGCUUUCAAUUCUUCUUUUUAUUUUCAUGAAAUUUCUAAUCUUCCUUUAGUCAUGAGUACCUAAUCGAUUUCCCUUUCUAUUUUUUAUCCGCCAUUUUCUCUAAUUUUUGUCAAGAUGUGGUCUGCAUUUUCUCUUUUCCAGUGUAUUUGAAAUUCACUAAUUCAACCUCAAAUGUUUGUCGUAUUCAUCUCACAGAUAUAAGCAAUGUGUAGAGCCUCGACUGAAGAGUUUGAUAACGACUGCUGUAUAGGAUAAAUAUGCAAGUCGGUCAUGGAAUUUCUUCUACUUUUGAUUCAUUUUGGUUUUUUUUCCUAACCACUAUUCAUAAGUGGAAUUUCUUCUCUUCAUUUUUCCAGUUUUGUUGAAUUUAUUUUCUGUUCACAUCUUUCCUUUCGUUCACAAGUUGAUGCGUGAAACAAUUAAUUGCCAGAGUGCAUCAUUUGGUUUCUAUUUCUGUUGGGUUCUUAAUAUGGAUGAGUUGGUUGUGCUUAUAACAUAUUAGCCAAAAUGUUUAAUGUAAUAUGAAGUUAUUGUGGUUUUGGCAUUCUUUAAUUCCCUCCAAAUGGAGUUGAUUUCAAUUAUACUGCACAUUUGAGGUUUUUUUCUUAUUACAACAAUGUCUGCUUAAUUUCAACGUGGUUUCUUAAAUUUUUUGGCAAUUGGCAUUUGUACGUUACUUUAGGGUUGAUCAAGUGCACAGCGAUUGCUUAAUUUCAAUUUGAUUUUUUUUUUAGUGUGAUUUCUUUUGGCUUCUGUUUUCUCUUGGUUGUUUUUACUGCACAUUUGGGUUUUUCAAUUGCAUGAUCAUCCACUUUUAGCUUCUGUUUUUUUUUUUCUUUCGGUUAAUUGAGUUUUAUUCCUCCUCCAUAGUUCUCAAUUAUUAAACUUUUGUAUUUUGUUCUCUAUCACAUUGCUCCUUAUUCCUUAAUGUCAAUCUUCUCAUGCAUUUUCACAUAAUUAUUAAAUUGAAGUUCUACAAAUCAGUUUCUGGAAUUUACUAAUCGUGGAACAAACAAGUAACGAGGUCUGAAAUUUGUUUUCUUUGUAAUUGAUACUGGCAUUCUGUUUUUGGCUUGAGGAGGCUUUGGCAAUGGUUAAGUUUUUGUUUUUGGUUUCGGUUUUGUUUGAGGAGGCUUUGACAAAUUUGCAGAAGGAAAACCCAAAGGAGCAUUGCUUGUUUUGCACCUUAAUCCAUCCACCUUCUUUACAGGUAUGCCACGUUUCUUCAAUUUCUGAAUUUUAUCUCUACAAUUCGAAUUAAAAUAUUGGACAAUAUUUGAAGAUGAACAGUUGGCUAAUUAUCUUCCUAUUUGGAAAAAAAAAAAAAAGAUAAUUAUCCUCCUAAACUGAGCGGUUAUAAUUUAAACAUGUUGACAAAAAAAGUGGCGUUUGAUGGUCAUAUGAGAAAUGUUUCAUUUGAUGCCAACAUUGUAGUUCCUCCAACCUUAACAUAUUUCCAAAUGCUAUUCAUCCAAUAGUUCUGGAAGCCAUUUUUACAUCCCCUUAACCCAUUGUUUGUUUUGUUUGGUUAUUACUUUGGUCAUGGUAUCAAUUAAUGAACGAAUCUCCUUGCAAGUUGUGCAAUACAAGCAUACUUUUGGAAAAAAAUAUAGUUGAGCCAAAAAAUAACAAAAGGAAAAACAAAUAGAGGACAUCAUUUAGUCGACAUAUAGAAAAAGAUUGCCCAUUCAUAUACUCUUAAGGGUCUUCUUCCUUUUAUUAUUUCCAUUUGGUAGAUACCAUAUCAUGCUUUAGAAUUUGAAAAAACAGAGUAAAGAUUAUGUACAUUUGAGAACUCUUUUUUAUUUAUUGUAACACAAAUAGAUUUUCUUCUAAUGAGGAAAGGGGAUCGUAUAACUUGUAAGGAUUGCAAAGUUAUACCAGGAGAGAGCGUGGCUAAUCAACAUCGCUUGUUGGUGAUGGAUGUACAUAUCAAAAGAGGGGAAACAAAAGAACAAGACUUGGAAGUGCCCAAGGACUAGAUNNNNNNNNNNNNNNNNNNNNNNNNNNNNNNNNNNNNNNNNNNNNNNNNNNNNNNNNNNNNNNNNNNNNNNNNNNNNNNNNNNNNNNNNNNNNNNNNNNNNNNNNNNNNNNNNNNNNNNNNNNNNNNNNNNNNNNNNNNNNNNNNNNNNNNNNNNNNNNNNNNNNNNNNNNNNNNNNNNNNNNNNNNNNNNNNNNNNNNNNNNNNNNNNNNNNNNNNNNNNNNNNNNNNNNNNNNNNNNNNNNNNNNNNNNNNNNNNNNNNNNNNNNNNNNNNNNNNNNNNNNNNNNNNNNNNNNNNNNNNNNNNNNNNNNNNNNNNNNNNNNNNNNNNNNNNNNNNNNNNNNNNNNNNNNNNNNNNNNNNNNNNNNNNNNNNNNNNNNNNNNNNNNNNNNNNNNNNNNNNNNNNNNNNNNNNNNNNNNNNNNNNNNNNNNNNNNNNNNNNNNNNNNNNNNNNNNNNNNNNNNNNNNNNNNNNNNNNNNNNNNNNNNNNNNNNNNNNNNNNGUGUAACAUCUUCACCAUAAACUCCUCAUUUGACUAAGCAAAUCAAAUAGCCUAACUAGACAUGCAAAGAAAGCUUCAUUUUCACCCAUUCUAGUAUAUUCAAAAUCACAGCGUAAGCCUUGGAGUUUUACAGCUCUUAUCUGUUUAUCUCCCAUAAAUUCUUGCUUCAGGACAUUCCAAGCUGCGUGUGCAGUCUCUUGGAUGGUGAUUCUCAGAAAUAUCUGAACGGAAACCGCCCCUUGGAUGAUUCCAAGUGCCUUUGCAUCUUUGACUAUGUUUUCCCUCACCAACUUGCUCUCAACUUCAGUGAGUUCUUCAUCUUUCUUCGCCGGAGUAGCGAAACCCUUCUCGACAACAUCCCAUAGUUCAUAAGAUCAGAAUAUGGUCUUCAUCCGAAUCUGCCAGAAAUUGAAGUUGUCUCCAUUGAAUAUCGGUGCUCGAAGAUCAGCACCACUUGACCCAGCCAUAUGAGAUAUUCGAUUCAAGAUCACUGAGAUUUCUUCUCUGAAUUUUCCUUCAGCAACAAAGCUCGACGAUUAGUUCGAGUUCUUCACUGUGCUCUUCACAUAUUCACGCCCAGUUGCAGAUGAUGCAACCUGGCUUUGAGGCCAUGUUAGAUGUGUGAUUUUUGUACUGUGAUUCAAUGGAUCUAAGAAAGAUUUCUGGAAGAAGGAUUGAAUAAUUUCAGAGAGCUUCACAAUGAUGGAAGCCUCACACACAUUUCAUUGAAUGGCUCACUCUCUCUCUCUUACAUUGCAAAACGAAUAUUACCGUUGCACUAAGGAGGGAAUAUCGCCCUUCUCUCUCCUCUAACAGAAUGAAAACAAUCUCAUCCAUUCAUAUCAUCUAUCCUAUGCGAUAGUUACAUGUGUCACUCAACAUCACGUACUCUAACUUAAUCUAGAGCAUCCACUUGGAAUGUAAUCCAAUGUCUCUGAUUAAAACAAGUAAAACAUAAAUUUAUUUCAGCUAAAAUCACUUAAAUACUAACAAAAUCAUGCUUGGAUCUAAAAUGCUUUCAAUAACAAUAGUUUGUGAAUUAAUUCUGUAUAUCAUUUGAGAUAUUUAAUAUUGGUACGUACUGCAUUCAGGGUUAUUAUGCAUCAUACACAGCAGGCAUGGCAGGACUUCCGUUAGUUAUUAUGGCAGAGGUAGCUAACGUCGUGUGCUUGACCUUCAUGUGCUUUCACUAAUUUAUUACUGCAAGUUCAGCGGUGCAAUAAACUUCUGUUACAAAGAACGGAUGAUUUCAAUUUCAGAUAUUUCCAAUAAACGUCAAGGGCACUGCCGGAAGCCUGGUGACUCUGGCGAAUACGGGCACUGGUUCGAUUGUUACAUACACCUUCAACUUUGUGAUGGAAUGGACCUCAUCAGGUAUCUCAGCAACCAACUCCCCUACUUUUCUUUGUAUCUCUUUUUUUCAUUUCUUCCCCUGCGUUCUCGUAAUCGGUCAUAUGAUUUCAGGAACAUUUUUCAUCUUUGCGGCCAUUUGCGGUUUAACUGUUGUGUUCGUUGAGAAGCUAGUGCCGGAGACCAAGGGGCGAACGCUCGAAGAACUACAAGCAUCAAUUGCACAUUUUAUCUAAUAAGAUGAACUAUGAAGCCAUGCUAGUACAGCAGAGGCUGUAUUUAGAGCCCAAAGCCUGGCUUUCUCGUGUCAUAUAUAAGUUUGUAAUUUGUGAUUCCCGCUCUUCUCCACAACUGCCCAGUUCGAAUUCCCAUCGAACUCUGCAGCGGAUAGAGCAGAAGCAAAGUCCUACUCCAUCCACAACUCUCCCAGCCGCGGAAUGCCAUAAUUAACUGACUAGAAAUAAAUCUAUACUGUAACAAAUUAUAAGUCGUGGGUAUAUAUAUUUUAAAUGAUUUUGUCUUGUGUAUAUAUAUUUUAAAUGAUUUUGAAAUGAUUUGUCUUGGGCAUAUAUAUUUUAAAUGAUUUUUGUAAUUAUAGAAAUAAAUCUUUACUGUAACAAAUUAUAAGUGGUGGAAGCCUUGUUAGUGUGUAAGUUGUUGAGCAGAUUAGAAAACAUUACAAGGUUGUUAUGUGUGUUAUGUUUCAGCUCAUAGGCUGAGUUAUUGUGUAAAAAUGUAAUGUGUUGAUUAAGUCUCAUAGGGCUUAUCAUUUGACAAGUGUCUUGAUCUUAAGAUAGGUUGUUAUGGUUGGUUGAGAUUGAAUUGAGGUUAUGUCUCUCUCUCUCUCCAACGUCGGUUAAGUGUCUUUUCAUGCUCAUAUGCUCAGUAAGAAAUACAAUGAUAGAACUUCAAUAGUUGUGCUCUGUGUGUGUGUGUUCUUCUUUCGAAUUCAUCUUCUAAAUCUUUCGGAGUAUCCAUCUCAAAUACUGUUAGAUCUAUUGUGUAGUUGGGUUGCUAUAUUCUAAUAUGGCCUCAGAGCCUAGUUCGAUCUAAACUUCUAGGCGUCAUUUCUACGAGGGGGUGAGCUCGGAUUCACAGCAAAAGAUUAUUGCAGUGAUUCGAGUGUCUAACAUGGCUGGAUCUAGAGGAGGAGAACUCCGAGCGCCAAUCUUCAAUGGCGAGAAUUUUGAUUUCUGGCAAAUCAAAAUGAAGACCAUCUUUCGCUCGUAUGAACUGUGGAAUAUGGUGGAGAGUGGGUACAGAGCUCCGGUGAAGGAGGAGGAACUCACAGAGGCGGAGAGGAGGAGCUGCUGCGUGAAAAUGUGGUCAAGGAUGCUAGAGCACUGGGUAUUAUUCAAGGUGUCGUUUCAGAUCAAAUUUUCCUGAGGAUCGCAAACUCAGGAAAGUGCGAAGGCUACGUGGGACAUCCUGAAACAAGAGUUCGUUGGUGAUAAGCAAGUAAGAUAUGUGAAACUUCAAGGUCUUAAGCGAGAUUUUGAAUAGACUCGCAUGAAUGAUAGUGAAUCUCUUUAUGUGUAUAUUGCAAAAUUGUUUGAUCUGAUUAAUCAAAUGAAGAGCUAUGGUGAAAAUCUGAGUAAUCAAAGAAUUGUUCAGAAAUUGUUAAUCAGUUUACCUAAGUCCUAUGAUAGUAUUGCAGCUGUGAUAGAGAAUACUAAGGAUUUAGACACCAUAGAUGCACAUGAUGUUGUAGCUAUCUUGAAGGGGUAUGAACAAAGGUUGGAUAGACAUGGAGAGAGUAGUAUGGAGAAAGCAUUUGCUAGUUUGAAAUUUACCCCUAAGUCCAAUAAGUUUAAUGGCCAGCCAAACAGUAGCAAAUAUCACAAGAAUUUUAAGCCAAAAGAGAAACAAUGGAGUACCAAGGGUGAUUGGAGUAAUAAGGUUGGAUUCACUGUGAGAAUGAGGCAAAAAACACUGGGGAUAAGUGUAAAUUCUGUGAUAGACAUUAUGGAGAGUGUUGGGUUAAAAACAAGGUCAAGUGUCACAAGUGCAACAAAAUUGGGCAUAUUGCAAGGUAUUGUAAUGCGAACAAGACUGUGCAAAAGGUGAACUUUGCUAAUCAGGUUGAUGAAACUGGAAAUCUGUUUUAUGCAAAUCAUUCUGGAGAAGUGAAGAAGAUAAGUGAUGAAUGGUACAUAGAUAGUGGAUGUAGUAACCAUAUGACAUCCAGAGAAGACUUACUUGUUGAUAUUGACAGAGGAGUGAAAGCCAAGGUCCAAGUUGGCACUGGAGUCUUGGUUGAAGUUGAAGGGAAGGGAACACUGAUCAUUGAAACAAUAAAGGGUCGAAGAUAUAUAAAGGAAGUUAUGCUUGUACCUGGUCUUGCAGAAAAUUUGCUAAGUGUGGGACAGAUGACUGAGCAUGGUUACUUUCUUUUAUUUGGAGAUUAUAAAGUGGAUGUGUUCGAUGAUAGAUCCUUACAAAACUUGGUGGUCAGUGUGAAGCAGAAAGGAAAUAGAUGUUUUCAUUUAAUUCUCAACACAAAUAAGGAGCUUGCAUUGAGGACAAAUGUGCAGGAGUGUGUUAGGAUAUGGCACAAGAGGUUUGGUCACCUCAAUUUCAGCAGUCUCAAAUUAUUACAAAGUCAAGGGAUGGUUUUGGGACUGCCUGAAAUCCAAGCCAGUGAAAUUGUAUGUCAAAGUUGUGCACUGGGGAAGAAUCACAGGGAACCAUUUCCCAAAGAAUCAUUGUGGAGAGCAAGGGAACCACUUGAAUUAAUACACUCAGAUAUGUGUGGUCCCAUGAAAACAUCAAGUCUAAGUGGAAAUCGAUACUUUAUUACCUUUAUAGAUGAUUAUUCAAGAAUGUGCUGGGUAUAUUUCUUGAGAAACAAAUCAGAGGCCUUCUAUGUGUUUAAGAAAUUUAAAGCCAUGGUUGAGCUUCAAAGUGGAUACCAUGUAAAGAAACUGAGAGCGGAUAGAGGAGGAGAGUUCAACUCAAAUGAUUUUGGAAAGUUUUGUGAAGAUUUGGGGAUAGAAAGACAGCUCACAACUGCAUACUCUCCACAGCAAAAUAGAGUAGCAGAAAGGAAAAACAGGACAAUUGUGGAGAUGGAAAAAUGCAUGAUUCAUGAGAAAGAACUUCCAUAUAAUCUCUGGUGUGAAGCAGUAAACACAUCUGUGUAUCUGCUAAACAGAAGUCCUACAAAGGCAGUGAAGAACACUACACCUUUUGAGAAAUUCAGUGGAAGAAAACCUGGGGUUAAACACUUAAAAGUGUUUGGUUUAGUAUGUUAUUCUCUUAUUCCAGGGAAUCUAAGGCACAAAUUAGAAGAAGAAACAAGUGUCAUGGGUGUUUUCAUUGGAUAUGGUACUUGUGAAAAGGGGUAUAGGGUACUGAAUCCUUUAACUCAAAAGGUCUUGUUAUCCAGAGAUGUAAUUUUUGAUGAAAAUGGUAGAUGGGACUGGGAGAAACACAAAGUCAAGGAAGUUUGUAUUCCUUUAUCUGCAGUUGAAUUUUCAGAUUUUUGAUAAAAAUUUAUGAGAUGUCUGGAUCUUAUGAACAAAGAAGGAUUUUGAUGGGUCUCAAAUUCAAGCUGGAAAUUCUCCAGUCACUGCUAUUGGUGAAUCAAGUAGCUCACUGGUCUCACCUCAGUAUGAUAAUACUCCACUGAGGUAUAGGAACCUGAGUGAGAUCUAUGAGAGAUGCCAUCUAUGUAUUGUUGAACCUGAGUCCUUUGAUGAAGUUGCACAGGAUGAAGCAUGGAAAAAGGCAAUGAUGGAUGAAAUGAAUAUGAUUGAGAAAAAAUUAGACAUGGGAGUUGGUGAGAAGACCUUCAAAUAAGCCUGUGAUUGGAGUAAAAUGGGUGUAUAAAACAAAGUUGAAUUUGGAUGGGACAGUUGAAAAGAACAAAGCUAGACUUGUUGCAAAAGGCUAUGCACAAAAGCCCGGAAUUGAUUUUAACGAGACCUUUUGCACCUGUUGCAAGGUUAGACAUAGUUAGAACUCUAAUUGCACUGGCAGCAAAGAAUAAAUGGAAGUUAUUUCAACUAGAUGUGAAAUCAGCUUUUCUGGAUGGUGUAUUAGAAGAUGGGGUAUAUGUUGAACAGUCAGAUGGGUUUGUUGUGCAAGGAGAGGAAGAAAAGGUUCACAAACUACAUAAAGCUUUGUAUGGUCUAAAACAUGCGGGCCUGGUAUGGUGAAAUAGACUCAUACCUUAUGCUUUGUGGGUUUAAGAAAAGCAUCAGUGAGGCAACUCUGUAUACCAAGUGCAAGGGAAGACACAGAAUUGAUCAUAGUAUCCAUUUAUGUUGAUGAUAUUAUAUAUACUGGAAAUUGUCAAGAGUUAAUGGAUGUUUUCAAAACUGAGAUGAUGCAUAAGUAUGAGAUGACAUAUCUUGGUCUUUUACACCAUUUUCUUCGUAUGGGAGUGAUACAAACUGAGGAGUGUAUUUUCAUUCAUCAAAGAAACUAUGCUUUAUCUCUAUUGAAGAAAUUUGGACUUCAGAAUUGCAAAUUUGUGAGUACUCCUUUGGUUCUAAGUGAUAAACUGAGAAAAGAAGAUGGAAGUGGAGCUGCAGAUGAAGCUCAGUAUAGACAGAUUGUAGGUAGUUUGUUGUAUCUCACAGCAACUAGACCUGAUAUAAUGUAUGCUGCUUGUCUAUUAUCUCGGUUUAUGCAUUGUCCCACUAACAAGCACUAUGGAACAGCAAAGAGAGUAUUGAGAUAUGUUCAAGGAACUCUUGAUUUUGGUUUGGAAUACAAGAAAGGUGAAGGAACACUCUUAAUGGGAUACUGUGACAGUGAUUGGAGUGGCUCGGAGGAUGAUAUGAAAAGCACAUCCGGGUAUGCUUUUACCUUUGGCAACGGGAUUUUCUCUUGGUCUUCAGUCAAGCAACAAUGUGUUGCAUUAUCCACAGCCGAAGCAAAGUAUAUCAAUGCUUCUGAAGCAACAGCACAAGCUACUUGGUUGAGAUUCGUUCUAGAGGAUUUUGGUGAAAUGCAAACAGUUGCAACACCAAUGAAUUGUGACAAUAAAUCAGCCAUAGCCAUCACUAAGAAUCCUAUCUUUCAUCAGAAGACCAAGCAUAUAAACAGAAGAUACCACUUCAUAAAGGAAGCAUUGCAGCAAGGAGUAAUUGAUUUGAUUUACUGUCCUACUAAGGAGCAAUAGCAGAUUUUUACAAAAGCAUUGACAAGGGAGCAGUUCACUUACUUGAGAGAUCUUCUUGGAGUGAAAUCAGUUCACAACUUAAAGGGGAGUGUACUGUCCCUGAUGCAAUCGGAAAGCUUCAGAAGUUGCAGGGGAUGUAUUUAUAUCUUAACCAAUUUUCCGGGACAAUCCCAUCGACGCUAGGCAACUUGACUUCGGUCACAAGGCUCUUCAUGGAGGGGAAUAGGUUUGAGGGAAGCAUACCUCCAAGUCUUGGGAGCUGCCAAAACUUGUUGAUGCUUAACCUUUCUAGUAAUCAGCUAAGUGGCACCAUACCUAAAGAGGUUAUCGAGCUUUCAUCCCUUUCAAUUUCUUUGUCCAUAUCGAACAGUUCUUUGACUCGUUCUCUACCAUCUGAAGUGGGCGAGUUGGUACAUCUCUCGGAGCUAGAUGUAUCAGGAAACAAGUUAUCAGGUGAAAUCCCCAAAAACCCUUGGCAGCUGUGCUAGUUUGGUGCGUCCAUAUUUGGAAGGUAACGAAUUUGAAAGAACAAUUCCUCAAUCUCUGGCCAAGUUAAGAGGCUUGGAAGAACUUGAUAUUUCAUGCAAUAAUUUAUCUGGCCAGAUUCCUGACUUUUUGGGUAAGCUUGGAUCUCUACAGCAACUCAAUGUUUCACAUAAUCAAUUUUAGGAUGAAUUGCCCUCGGAAGGGAUAUUUUCAAAUGCGAGUGGUUUCUCGAUUCUUAGAAAUAAUAAGCUCUGUGGUGGCAUCCGAGAAUUACUUCUACCUGUAUGCACCAGCAAAAAAUCUAAAUCAUCUCGAGGACUACUUUCCCCAAAAGUAAUAAUCCCUCUAACUUGCGCACUUGCAUUAAUAAUUACUCUCAUGUUUCAUUGCUGCUUGUGCAAAGGUGAAAAGUCAAGAAGUUGACCUUUAACUUCACGCACCGAUGAGGACUCGAAAUCAUGUGUCUCUUAUUUACAACUCUUUGAAUCAACCAACGGGUUUUCAAAGGAAAAUCUCAUUGGUUCGGGAAGUUUUGGUUCCAUAUACAGAGGAGUACUUUCUAGUGAUGGCGGUAGUAGCUGUUAAGGUGUUAAACCUUCAACAAGAAGGAGCUUCCAGGAGUUUCAUUGAUGAAUGCAAAACUUUAAGAAGUAUAAGGCACUGCAAUCUUCUCAAGAUCAUUACUGCAUGCUGUAUUUUUCAGUUAAAAACUAAGUUGCAAAACAUUACGAAGGGAACAUAUUCAGUUUCAACAUAUUUGCAACGAAUUAAAGAUGUGAGGGAUCAUCUUUCUGCAGCUGGUGUAACAUUUGGAGAUGAUGAUAUUGUGAAAUUGGCACUGAAAGGUUUGCCUUCUGAAUAUAAUACCUUCAGGACAGUUAUAAGAGGCAAGGAAAAUGUGAUCACUCUUAAGGAGUUUCGAUCCCAAUUGUUAGCUGAGGAAGCAACUACUAAGCAACAUUCAGUUUCUGAGUCUUUUGUUACUGCAAUGGUUGCACAAGAAACAUCAGGCAAAGGCAAAGCUCUUAUGUUAGGAGAAGAGCCUUCCAGUGGUUCCUCACAGUCACAGGCUUAUAGUGGUGGUUCAACUAAUGGUGGCUACAAUAAUCAUUCCUCUAACUACAAUGGAGACUAUAUUUCGAAUGGUUUUCAAGGAAGAGGUAAGGGCAGGAUCAAUUUUCACUCCAAUUCAAGGUAUAAUGCAAGAUCUUCUAAUCCAAGUACUAGAAUUCUUGGAACUACCAAACCUCAUGUUUCCACUUGUCCCGAGUAUGGUUAUGAAGUUCCUACAUGUCAAAUAUACAACAAAAAGGGUCACAUUGAUGUAGAUUGUUUUUAGAGACAUUCCUCUACAACUUCAACACCAUCCAAAGUUCAAUGCCAAAUUUGCUGGAAGUUUGGGCACACUGCAGUUCAAUGUUAUCACAGGGGAAACUUCACUUAUCAAGGCAGAUCACCAUCUUCCAAUCUCUCUGCAAUGCACAUUGCAUUUUCUCUUUCUGCACCACAAGAACAAUUCUGGGUUGUUGAUACUAGGGCUACUUCUCAUAUAACCUCGGAUCUCUCCAAUCUUAAUCUAGCAACACCAUUUUCUCGCAAUGAUACAGUAACAACUACAAGUGGCUCAGGUUUGCCAAUCUCUAAUACAGGCUAUACUACUCUUCAUAAUCCUAAGUAUGCUUUCGAGUUAAAGAAAAUAUUAUCACAACAUUUUUUAUUUAUAUAUCGACUAUGUAAAGAUAACAAAUGUCGAUUCAUUUGUGAUGAGUUUUGUUUCUGGAUCCAGGACAAGAUCACAAGGAAAAUCCUCCUUCAGGGACUGUGUAGAGAAGGUCUCUAUCCUAUACCCUUUCACAUUCCAUAGCAUCUCAUCACUCAAGCACAAAAAUACAAUGCAUCCUUUCAGCAACAAACAUGUUAUCUUGGCAGUCAAGUCAAAAUAAAUUUGGGGCACCAAAGACAAGGACAUCCUUCCAACAUUGUUACUUCUGCAAUGUUAAAACAAUCCAACAUUCAUACAUCUUUAGAUCAUGUGUCUUCAAUUUGUAAAUCUUUUUUGGAAGGCAAGUUUGCCAAGCUUCCAUUUGUGUUACAACCUCUAGAGAUCAUAUAUAGUGAUGUUUGAGGUCCUUCAUCCAUUGUUUCCAUUGAAGGUUAUAGAUUCUAUGUAAGUUUUGUGGAUGAAUGUACCAAGUUUACUUGGAUUUUCCCCUUAGUAAAUAAAACUGAAGUUUUUGGUGUAUUUGUCAACCUUCACAGUUUUUUGGUUACUCAAUUUUCUACAAAUGUGAAAGUAUCUCAAAGUGAUGGUGGGGGUGAAUACUCCAAUCACAAAUUCAAACAAUACCUACUAAAAAAAAUGUAUAAUUCAUCAGAAGUCAAGUCCAUAUGCCCCUAAACAAAACGGUCUAGCUGAAAGGAAGCAUAGACACAUACUUGAAACAGCCAUUACUCUACUUCAAACAGCAAAGUUACCACCUAAAUUUUGGUUUCAUGCUUGUGUCAUUUUUGUUUAUCUCAUAAAUAGAAUGGUAUGUCAAACUCUUCAUAUGUCAUCUCCCUUUCAAUGCUUGUUUGGAACCCCACCCUCUAUAUCUCAUCUUAAAGUCUUUGGCUAUGCUUGUUUCCCACUUUUUAAAAAUAGUUGAACUCUAGUAAGUUGCAACCUAAAACCUCACAAUGCAUAUUCAUAGGCUAUGCAUGCCAGUAUAAAGGUUAUCUUUGUCUCUUAUAAACAAAAUAUAUGUCUCAAGACAUGUUUUGUUUGAUGAGACAAACUUUCCUUAUUCAUCCAUCAUUACCUCCAACCAUGCAUCACCACUCACUACAUACACAUCAUCAUAAUUACAACCAACAAUUCCUUCUUCACUAGUCAAUUCACAUAACAAUAUCAUUUCAACUGCUACUACCACUAAUGCCUUAGAGUGUUCCAUGUCCAUACUUGUUAAUACUUUGGGAUCUAUGGAAUCUCUCCCUCAUCAUUCAUCAUUUGCUUCAUCAAUUGCAGAUACUACACAGUCCCCAAUCCCUGUUGAUCUUAAUUUUCAACUUGAAAAUCUGUCAGUUGUCCUUCUCAUACCCUCGGUGAGUUUGCACCCUAUGCAAACUCGAUCUAAAAGUAGCAUAUCCAAGAAGAAGGUGUUCUCAGCUACAGUUAAGUCAUCUACACAAGUUUGAAAACCUGCAACUUUUAAGUCUACUAGUAAAAUACCAGAAUGGAUUGCUGCUAUGGAAGAUAAGAUCACUGCCUUGAAAUCUCAAAAUACUUGGUCUAUAGUUCCAUUGCAUCUAACAAAAACUUAGUACGCUGUAAGUGGGUCUAUCGUAUCAAAACCAAUCAUGAUGGUUCAAUGGCAAGAUAUAAAGCAAGCUAAUUGCAAAAGACUAUAACCAAGAGGAGCGAGUUGAUUACAAUGAGACUUUUAGUCCUGUAGUGAAACCUACCACAGUUAGGUUAAUUUUGGCAUUAGCAUCUUAGUUUAAAUGGUCCUUAAGGCAAAUGGAUGUGAAGAAUGCAUUUCUUCAUGGUGAUCUGCAUGAAGUGGUGUAUAUGUAAGAUCCCAAGAACUUAUUAUUGAAGAAGAGAAAUAUUUGAAAAAAAAAAUAUAUUGUGCUUAUUUAUUGAGAAGAUGGUGAACGUCAUUACGAGUUUGUAACAUCUUUCGGAUUACUUUUAGGAACUUGAAUGAAUUUUUAAGAUAAUUUCAUGUUGUACCAAUGUGUCGAUGACGCAAGACAGCUUACAAGUGAUGGAAUUAGCCACGUGGAGAUCAAUUAGACGGCCACCUUCCGCAAGAGAACCUAGUAGCUUAUUCAUGGUUAUAUAUUGAUAAGCUCCACCAUGCUGCUAAUUUAUAAGAAUUAUCAAGAAGCCUUGUUGUCAACUUUGGAUUGGCAUACAAGGAUGACUAUUGGAAGUUACAGGUUGGACGUGGCAUUAAGUAGUUCUAUGAGCAUCUACAGUGAUUUUAAACCAAGUAUUUGAGCUGCUUGUAAGUAGCCUUGCAGCUGAAGGUGGCAAGAGCGGUGUCAAUGCUUUUAUCAUGCAAUUGACACCACUUGCAUGUAGACUUUCUUUGCCUCUAUGUCAACCAAUGACAAGCUAAUUGGAGCAACCAUUUCCCUAUAAAAUAGGGACUUCAUUCUUUUUGGUUUUGGUUACCAACUAGUGCACGGGUUGGACGCUGUAGUGAGAUAUAUGGCUACAUGCAAGCAUGCAUGUUAAGCCUUUGUAGAGAAGAAUUUUUUUUGUUAAUCUUUCGAAAUUCGUAACUUUCAAUCCAAAAUUUCGAUUGAGGAAUAGUUUUCGUCUACAUGUUCAGUGAAUCGAGCUCAACAUUCUAAGGUAAAUUUUGAGGAAUUAUUAUUUAGGUUUGAAUAAUUCGUUCAAAUUGGGUUUAUGACUAAUUAGGCUUAAAUCUUCGAUUCAAGCUUGUUCUUGCAUAAUUUGAGGGCUUUGAAGCCUAUUUGAUGACUGGACAACGAUUUCUCAGACAUUAAGGUAAAGAUUUACAUAUGAUCAGAUUUUUGGGAUUUUGUACAAGUUUCAUAUGGAUGAGAUUUAGAAAAAAAAUUGAUGUUUGACUCGAAAUUCAUCAAAUUUAGUCCUUAAAGGACGUUUGUAUGGAAGAAGUGAGUUGUACUAUUGAUGGAUUGUGUUUUGGCUUGAAAGAUAUGUUGAAUUUCUGGGAAAAUAGACCUCAAAGCCACUGGUUUCAUACCAGGGACUGAACUACAAAAAUAGUUUUAGUUUUGGGGUAAUUGUGUAAAUUACUAAAAGUUUGGGGUCCAAAGUGCAAUUAUCAAAAAUUUUGGGAUCUAUUUGAAAUAAUAAAAAGUUCAAAUACAUAAUUUUUAUUCUGGUUAAGUGAAGGUCCCUAUUGGAUAUAGUUGUUGUUAUGGGAAUAAAGUUUAGUCAUUAUAUAUGGACAUAUAGUGGCAUAUUGUAAUUGUUGAACUAGGGACUCCAAUUACUCGUAGUGCUUGCGUUUAAUCGAGGUAUUGGUGAGGAAUAUUGCUUGCUUGGCUUGGAGACCAGGUAGGAGAAUCCUCACUUACCCUAGUUAUGGAAUUUUGUGCAUGUAUGUAUAUGUAAAUAUACGAAUGCCUAUGAAAGCUACAUAGAUUUUGUUGUGAUAGAACCAUAAGGAAAAAUGGUUUUGUUUUAUAUCAUGAUAUACAUGUUUUGUUUUAUGCUACAAAUUAAAGUGAUGACUUGAGAGUGAAGGGGGCAUAGCGACCGCCUUGGGUUUCGAUCCCCUAAACCUCCGGAGGGGAUACUACAAAGGGAUUAGUAUCGCUACCUUUCUAGGAGAGGUACUAGGACAUCUAAGGGUAGAGCAUUAAGGGACACUCUCGCUACAACUUACCAUAAGUAUAUUCGUUCGGAGUUGGUCCAGGUAAGCGAGUAGUUGGUCAUUAGACUGGUCAUCAGGCAUGUAGCAAUUUAUUGGGAUCCCUAUUGUUUUUUUAAAGGAAAUUGUGUGAGCAUAUAACCUAUUUUCAAAACUAAACAAAGCUUUUGUUGUGCAUCAAUCAUUUUCCUAUAGUAUAUAUAGUGUCGUAUACUAUUUUCAAACCUAGCUGGGGUGGAUUCCCUGAGGGGGAACGAUGAACGUUUGUGAUGCUUACCAUUACUUUAUUACAGGUCUGGUGCACCUAUAAGUAGACGAACUGGACAAAAGUCGGGACUAGCGUUGUUUGUUACUUGUCAACUUCUCAGUUGUUCAUAGCCUCAUCGUCUUGAAGGGAUUUUUGUAGCCAAACUCAACGUUUUGCAUUUUCAAAUCGUACUAAAGAGUUGGUUUAGUAUGAUAAUUACCUUAAACUCUUUGGUUUUGUUGUAGAUUGUGAAAUUCUUUUCCUAUGUAAAAAUUUUAUCCAAAUUCAGUUGCCCUUUUAUUCUUCGUUUUACCAAUAUAAUUUCCGCUUCCGUACUGCUCAAAAAUAAAUUAUUUUAUUCCCCUCAAAUAGCCUUACGUUCUAUUAGGAAUGUAGUGCUAUAGUGUUAGAUUUUAACACUAUAGUAUUAAGUUACUAAUAGAGCAUGGCAUUAUUACGUGCCUCUUUUUGGGGCGUGACAGUAUAUGUCUCAACCACAAGGCUUUGAAAGUUCAAUUCAUCCCUCUCAUUAUGUUUGCAAACUUAGGGAGUCACUUUAUGGUUUGAAACAAGCUCCCCGAGCCUGAAAUGAAAAAUUUACAAGCUUUUUACCAUGGUUGGGAUUUAAGGCUUCUCUUGCAGACCCAUCAUUGUUUGUGCAACACACUCAUCUUGGUACUAUUGUUCUCAUUUUAUAUGUGGAUGAUAUCAUCCUAACUGGCAGUUUAUCUCAGUUGAUUGAUAAAGUUGUUUAAGCAUUAACUAAGGAGUUUGACAUGAAGGACUUGGGUCAAUUACACUAUUUCUUGGGGAUACAGAUAACAUAUCAGUCUCAUGGUCUCUUUGUUUCCCAAACUAAGUACAAAAAGGACUUGUUCAAAAAGGUUGGUUUGCAAGAUUCAAAACCUAGUGCCACACCAUGUUUGCCUUAUCACAGGUUAUCUAAAACUGAGGGCACUCCUUAUCACAGUCCACAACAGUAUCGAAGCAUUAUGGGAGCCUUGCAAUACUUAACCUUUACAAGGCCUGAUAUUGCCUUCUCUGUUAAUCAAUAUUGUCAGUUCAUGCAUAACUAUAACAACCCGUCUCGGAUAUUUAGGAACAUAUGGGUAUUGUGGUAAAUUCAAUUGGGUUAUGGGAUAUUUGUUUAAAAUAUUAUUUUUGGGUCUUCUUUGGUAUGCCCAAGUGGGGCCCACCAUUAGUUUUUGUCCCCCAGCCCAACUCCUCAUUUGUUCCCCUUCCCGUGCACACCUUCACUCUCUCUCCCUCAGCUCUCUUUUCCCCCGAGCACCUACACACAUACACUAACUCUCUCUGGGACCUCCCUCACCUUUCUUGUCCAUCUCCCUCCUCUGUGUGUGACAACUCCAGAAUUUGGACACCCCAAGAAUUGGUACAAAUGCAUGAAGUAGCUCCAGCGGGUCUCCAUUACCCUCUACAUAGGUAGGUCUCGAAAAACACUCCAAAGAUUUCCUUUUUGGUUCCCAUAUUUCACUUCUAAUCAUAUAUGUGUAUUGUGGGCGUUGAAACAUCGAGAAAUCGCCUCGGACGAGCUAAACUUAGUUUUCGGCAUGUACCCGUGGCUUCUAUGGCGUUUUUAGGCCAACUCCAGCCACCACACGCCUUGAAAUUAGUACGAAUCUCUUCCUUGUUCCUUGGGCUUCAUUUUGGUAUAUUGUAUGACCUGUUUUGGUCAUGUUUUGGGGUUGAACGGAGCUUGGAAAGCUUCGACUUUCCUCUUCCUUAAAACAAGCACACCCCGGCCAGAAACUGGGUCAAACCCAACCCAAGAGCACUAGGUCGGCCCAAAGAAUUGGGCCAUGGAAGCUAACCCAAGUAACCCAACCUAGUCCUAAGCUAACCAAACCCAAUUCAAAGUUGGCCCAAACCCAUGGGCCUUGUAACCCGACCUAAACCCAGGCCCAAUCUCUAAACCUAUUAACCCAUUAAACCCCAAACCCCUUUGGACCCAGACCUUGGGCCUUCGGCCCAGUAGCCCCAAACCGUGACUUGGCCCGUUGAUCGGCCUUUGACCCGACCUAUUUGACCGUUGAUCGUUGACCUGUCAACAUUGACUCUUUGUUGACUUUUUUUCGGGUUUCGGUCGGGACCCCUCCUAGACUAAUUUCGACGUCCUAAAUCCGCUUAUGAAGUCCAUUUUCCAAAAUUCAAUCGUUAUGAUAGAGUUUUAUUAAUUAGACCCUUUAUGUGCUUAGGUGCGAUUAUUAGCGACGAUUACGUCAUAGCUCUUCAACGAUGAAGUAUCUGUGAGUGGACCCUUUCUAAAAUGCAUGUUUUAAUAGUAGAAAUGCAUACAUGAAAAGCAUGAUUUAAUGGUUACAUUUUAUGAAACGUUUUAUGAGUAAAUUAGAUUUACGCUUUAUGAUUAUCAUGCUUUAUGAAGAAUAUUUUGAAAUACCAUACUUUAUCGAAUUUAUGUUCUUUGUAGUAUAUAUGAUGGAUGACUAUAUACUAUUUAUGAACAUGUUUUUAAACUCUUUGUAGUAUUUAUGAUGAAUGACUAUAUACUAUUUAUGAACAUGUUUUUACACUCUUUGUAGUAUAUAUGAUGGAUGACUAUAUACUAUGAAGAUGUUUUAAGAUAUAUGUACUUAUGUUGGAAAGAUUAUAUUCAAUGUUUUUGUGCGUAUCUGGUGGUCACUGUCUUGCCUACGGGCGUAUGUUCUGCUUACGAGCGAUUGUCCUCCUAUGGGUGUAUGUUCUACCUACUGGCAUAUGUUCUACCUACGGGUGCGUAACGGUCCUGUCUACGAGCGUAUGUUCUGCCUACAGGGCGUAUGUCCUGCCUACAGGCGCGCGAUGGAGAGCCUUCGGGCGAUUUGAUACCACUAGUUAGCACACUAUAUAUGAUAUAUGUUUUAGGAAAUGUUUUAUGGCAUGCUAAGGUUUUCGGAAAAACCUAUUACCUAUUAUGUUAUACGAAUUUUCUAAACCUGGGGGUUAGUACGUUGUUGAUUAACUAUUUUAUUACUACUUAUAUAUCAACUUGGUCCACUCAUAUUUUGUUUUGCUCCCCCUCAGGACUUAGAAUCGAGGCGUACAAUCCCGGCGUCAAGGCACUCCCGCAUCGGCGUCUUUGAGUCCUUUCAGUGUAGGACCCAUCCUUUUGUUCAUUCAAUUUUAUAUUAUUCCUUUUUAGUGUCUAUGAUUAGUUAUAUGCUCUGAACACAUUCCAUAAUUGCAUAAUCAUUGUAUUUGAAUUUAUAAGUAUUGUUUAUAUUUAUUUGUUCUCAUGCAUCCUAAUAUGUCUUUGUCACCUUCGGGUGUCAACCAGCAAGUGCCUACCCUGAUGUUUGGAGAACAUCAGGGUCAGGUGUGUCAAUAACCCUAUGGCCUCCCAUGUUGUAGCUAUCAAAUGCAUCCUACGAUAUCUUAGUGGUAUUUUGGAUUAUGGUCUUCAAUUUCGAACAAGCAAGUUACAAUGACAAGCUUAUAGUGAUGCUGAUUGGGCAGGUGACCAAAAUGAUAGAAGAUCCACUUUUGGUCACAUUGUAUAUCUUGGUUCAAGUCCUAUAUCUUGGGCAUCUAAGAAGCAACAUAAUGUUUCUAGAUCAUCUACAGAAGCAAAAUAUAGGGCAUUGGCAAUUACAGCUGAUGAGUUAGCAUGGAUAAGGCAGUUAUGAUGUGAUAUGUGUGUACCAAUUUACACUGCACCAAUGAUCUAUUGUGACAACAUCUCAGCAAUUGCAUUAUGCUAUAAUCCUAUUUUUCAUUCUCGAGUGAAACAUAUCAAAAUAAAUUAUCAUUUUGUGCUGGAACAAGUCAUUCGAGGUGAUCUCCAUGUUGAUCAUGUGUCAUCAAAAGAACAAUUCAUAGAUAUAUUAACAAAGGGACUGUCUGCACCCUUAUUUCAGCUUCAUUGUUCCAAUCUUAUGCUUGGUUUCUCCAAGCAUAUGAUCGAGGGGGGUGUAAAGAUAUAGAAUCGUCGGAUCAUGACAAGUGUUAAUAGAUGAAUGAAUAAGCUUGUUAUGGUAGUUAAAUUAGAUAGUAGAAGAUUACUUAGUGUGUAAGGAAAGUCAGGCAUAUAUAUAAUUAUGUACUAUAAGAUUCAUUCAUUGAAUACAAAAAGGAUAAUUUAGUUGUGAUUCUCCCUCUCUCUCUCUCUCUCUCUCUCUCUCUCUCUCUCUCUCUGAGACUACACAGAAAACUCCAUCAAUGUUCUUCAUAAGUUAAAGAUUAACACAAACCACCUUAACCGAUUUUCUAUCAUCUAUCUAUCUAUCUAUAUAUAUAAAGGGAGAAGGCCAAAUAGGUGAAGCAUUUCAAAAUGCCAACACAGCCCCUUUGUUUUCUUCACAACCAAACCCAAAACAUUUCAAAAAAUGAGGAUAAACUAGUAAAAAAAACAUAAGAGUAUAAAAUUGUCUUAAAAAAAAAAAGCACAAGCAAAUUAAAAAAACGCCCAUCUUAACUAUAACAAUUGACAACUGCCAGAUGAAAAUACUUGCACUUCAAAUUCAUUUUGACCCUUGGAUUAAUCCUCCCACAAAUACUGCAUUGUGUCCUAUCUUUCCGAGAGAGAGGAAAAAGAGUAGACCUCUCGAACACCACAUCUAACCGCAAUGAUGAGAUGAAACUAUGGUCUAAAAUAUCCAUAAUAUCCCGAUAUUUUCAUCGAAAUUUUCGUGUUUUUGGACUAUCGAUAUUUUUUUGAACUACCGAUAUUUUCGACCUUGCUAAGUCACUCAUGUAUCUUACCAUGCAAUGUAUAAAGUAUAAAAUAUUAUACUAAUUCAUUAUAUAUAAAUGAUUAUGAUGUGUUUAAACUUUUUUCAUUAAUUACUACAUAUUUUCUACACUCACAAUGUUUGUCAGCUCGCUAUAUAAUCAACUUAAAUCAGUUAUAUCUAUCAUGCAAUGCAUUUCCUUCUAAUUUUUUGUGAUAAACUAAUAGAUAAUUGACUAAAUAAACAUCUUGCAAAGUUUCAAUAAAAAUUUUCAAGUUUUUCUUAUAAUUUCCGUGGUUUUUAUUCAAUUUUUAUCGAUAUCGAUAAUAUCUCAAUAUUUUCAUCGAAAUUUCCAUAUAUUUCCGAUAUCAUCGAUAUUUUAUAGCUCGGAUGAAACCGCCAUCUACUACAUGUUCUACAGAAACAACAGGUCAAACAUCGGAAAAAAUGAACCCACUUUCGUCUUCCGCACAGACCCCUCUUCUUCGUGUUUUUUCGAAGUUCCUUUGAAAUCCACACUCGAUUUAGACAAGAUUUCAGGUGAUUUUUCGUAAAUUCCUUCACUUUUUGUCUUUACAAUCAAUUUCGAUUGGAUUAUUAUUGUUGGGUUUUCAAUUAGAAAAAAACCUCAAAAUGAAGUAUGAGAUUUCAAAUUCCGAGGCUUUUGCGAUUCUUCGUCCUAAUAAACGACUUGGGUUUUGCAUAGUGUGAUUCUUCUGUUAUUAGAGAUUCCAAAUUUUUUGAAAACAGGGUUUUUUAAAUCCUCUCAAAGUAGUAGGAUAUGGAAAUGAACUCUACUGGAGAAGUAAUUCAUUGUGUUCAAAUUUCACUGGGUAAGUUUACUUUCAUAUUAAUUUUGGCAAUUUAUUUGUAGUCGUGCAGAAAUCAAGGAGAAGACAACGAGAGGGAGGGAGAAACUGACAGAUAGAUAUAUUAACAAAGACUCUUCCUCUACAUCAACUGAUUCUUAUCACAGGUAACUUUCAAUCUCGGAUUCUCCGUGAUCUCUGCAUUCUUUUCCAACAGUUGUCCACCAUUAACCAAAUUCAUUUUUCCUUCUAUUUUCAUGUAUGAUUGUUGGUUAUUUUCUUUUGAGUGAAAAACUUGGAUUUGUUUCUUCUCCAUGUAAGUGUCUUUAUGUUUCCCUCUGCAUUCGUUACAUUCCAAUGAAGCCCGUUGGUGAGGUUCUUAUGCUUACAAGGAAACUCUUGGCUCUGGGGAGUUUUUGUUUAUAUUAAUCCAUUUUCCAAUUAUUUGUCGUGCUUUUUCCAUUAGGUUUCAAAUCAUUUGUAUCGGUGCAGGCGGUGGAGAUAAAUGUGAUGUGUGUUGUCUGGGCGAGACUCGCCCAAUAUUGUAGUUUUAGUAGUAUGAAAAUUUUCUUCUACAUUUGAUUUUGCUUUCAAUUCUUCUUUUUAUUUUCAUGAAAUUUCUAAUCUUCCUUUAGUCAUGAGUACCUAAUCGAUUUCCCUUUCUAUUUUUUAUCCGCCAUUUUCUCUAAUUUUUGUCAAGAUGUGGUCUGCAUUUUCUCUUUUCCAGUGUAUUUGAAAUUCACUAAUUCAACCUCAAAUGUUUGUCGUAUUCAUCUCACAGAUAUAAGCAAUGUGUAGAGCCUCGACUGAAGAGUUUGAUAACGACUGCUGUAUAGGAUAAAUAUGCAAGUCGGUCAUGGAAUUUCUUCUACUUUUGAUUCAUUUUGGUUUUUUUUCCUAACCACUAUUCAUAAGUGGAAUUUCUUCUCUUCAUUUUUCCAGUUUUGUUGAAUUUAUUUUCUGUUCACAUCUUUCCUUUCGUUCACAAGUUGAUGCGUGAAACAAUUAAUUGCCAGAGUGCAUCAUUUGGUUUCUAUUUCUGUUGGGUUCUUAAUAUGGAUGAGUUGGUUGUGCUUAUAACAUAUUAGCCAAAAUGUUUAAUGUAAUAUGAAGUUAUUGUGGUUUUGGCAUUCUUUAAUUCCCUCCAAAUGGAGUUGAUUUCAAUUAUACUGCACAUUUGAGGUUUUUUCUUAUUACAACAAUGUCUGCUUAAUUUCAACGUGGUUUCUUAAAUUUUUUGGCAAUUGGCAUUUGUACGUUACUUUAGGGUUGAUCAAGUGCACAGCGAUUGCUUAAUUUCAAUUUGAUUUUUUUUUUAGUGUGAUUUCUUUUGGCUUCUGUUUUCUCUUGGUUGUUUUUACUGCACAUUUGGGUUUUUCAAUUGCAUGAUCAUCCACUUUUAGCUUCUGUUUUUUUUUUUCUUUCGGUUAAUUGAGUUUUAUUCCUCCUCCAUAGUUCUCAAUUAUUAAACUUUUGUAUUUUGUUCUCUAUCACAUUGCUCCUUAUUCCUUAAUGUCAAUCUUCUCAUGCAUUUUCACAUAAUUAUUAAAUUGAAGUUCUACAAAUCAGUUUCUGGAAUUUACUAAUCGUGGAACAAACAAGUAACGAGGUCUGAAAUUUGUUUUCUUUGUAAUUGAUACUGGCAUUCUGUUUUUGGCUUGAGGAGGCUUUGGCAAUGGUUAAGUUUUUGUUUUUGGUUUCGGUUUUGUUUGAGGAGGCUUUGACAAAUUUGCAGAAGGAAAACCCAAAGGAGCAUUGCUUGUUUUGCACCUUAAUCCAUCCACCUUCUUUACAGGUAUGCCACGUUUCUUCAAUUUCUGAAUUUUAUCUCUACAAUUCGAAUUAAAAUAUUGGACAAUAUUUGAAGAUGAACAGUUGGCUAAUUAUCUUCCUAUUUGGAAAAAAAAAAAAAAAGAUAAUUAUCCUCCUAAACUGAGCGGUUAUAAUUUAAACAUGUUGACAAAAAAAGUGGCGUUUGAUGGUCAUAUGAGAAAUGUUUCAUUUGAUGCCAACAUUGUAGUUCCUCCAACCUUAACAUAUUUCCAAAUGCUAUUCAUCCAAUAGUUCUGGAAGCCAUUUUUACAUCCCCUUAACCCAUUGUUUGUUUUGUUUGGUUAUUACUUUGGUCAUGGUAUCAAUUAAUGAACGAAUCUCCUUGCAAGUUGUGCAAUACAAGCAUACUUUUGGAAAAAAAUAUAGUUGAGCCAAAAAAUAACAAAAGGAAAAACAAAUAGAGGACAUCAUUUAGUCGACAUAUAGAAAAAGAUUGCCCAUUCAUAUACUCUUAAGGGUCUUCUUCCUUUUAUUAUUUCCAUUUGGUAGAUACCAUAUCAUGCUUUAGAAUUUGAAAAAACAGAGUAAAGAUUAUGUACAUUUGAGAACUCUUUUUUAUUUAUUGUAACACAAAUAGAUUUUCUUCUAAUGAGGAAAGGGGAUCGUAUAACUUGUAAGGAUUGCAAAGUUAUACCAGGAGAGAGCGUGGCUAAUCAACAUCGCUUGUUGGUGAUGGAUGUACAUAUCAAAAGAGGGAAACAAAAGAACAAGACUUGGAAGUGCCCAAGGACUAGAUGGUGGAAUCUAAAAGAAGAAAAACAAGCCAUUUUCAAAGAGAAGGUAAUCACCCAAUGUGUGUGGGAUAGAGAGGGGGAAGCUAGCCAAAUGUGGGAUUCCAUGGCUAGUUGUAUCCGAAAAGUAGCAAAAGAGGUAUUAGGAGAGUCCAAGGGCUUUGCCCCACACCAAAAGGAAUCUUGGUGGUGGAAUGAGGAGGUACAAACAAAGGUGAAGGCUAAGAAGGAAUGUUGUAAAGCCUUAUACAAGGAGAGGACCGAUGAAAAUGGUGAAAGGUAUAGAAAAGCGAAGCAAGAGGCGAAGAAAGCGGUCAGAGAAGCUAAGUUAGCGGCUUACGACGAUAUGUAUAAACGACUAGAUACCAAAGAAGGAGAGUUGGAUAUCUAUAAACUAGCUAGAGCAAGGGAAAAGAAGACAAGGGACCUAAACCAAGUGAGGUGCAUCAAGGAUGAGGAUGGAAAGGUUCUUGCUACAGAGAACGCAGUUAAAGACAGAUGGAGAGGUUAUUUUCAUAAUCUUUUCAAUGAAGGACAUGAAAGGAGUGCUUCUUUAGGGGAGUUGAGUAACUCAGAAGAGUGUAGAAACUACUCUUUUUAUCGUCGAAUCCGGAAGGAAGAAGUGGUUGUAGCUUUGAAGAAGAUGAAGCAUAGAAAAGCAAUAGGCCCAGACGAUAUACCAAUCGAAGUGUGGAAAGUUUUGGGAGAGACAGGUAUAACAUGGCUCACUGACCUUUUCAAUAGGAUUUUGAAAACGAAGAAGAUGCCAAAUGAGUGGCGAACGAGCACUUUGGUGCCUAUCUACAAGAAUAAGGGCGACGUACAAAAUUGCAUGAACUAUAGGGGUAUUAAGUUAAUGAGUCAUACAAUGAAGCUCUGGGAGAGAGUCAUUGAGCAUAGAUUGAGGCAAGAGACACGGGUUUCGGACAACCAAUUCGGGUUCAUGCCAGGGCGCUCAACCAUGGAGGCAAUCUAUCUCUUACGAAGAUUGAUGGAAAGAUAUAGAGAUGGGAAAAAGGAUUUACACAUGGUCUUUAUAGAUUUGGAAAAAGCGUAUGAUAGGGUCCCAAAGAGACAUUCUUUGGAGGAUCUUAGAGAAGAAAGGAGUACGAGUAGCAUAUAUCCAGGCUAUAAAGGAUAUGUAUGAAGGAGCAAAGACUGCCGUAAGAACUCAUGAAGGACAAACCGAAAGCUUUCCCAUAACUGUAGGAUUACAUCAAGGCUCAUCCUUAAGUCCUUACCUUUUUGCGUUGGUAAUGGAUGAGUUAACAGGACAUAUUCAAGAUGAUAUUCCUUGGUGUAUGCUUUUUGCAGACGAUAUAGUGUUGAUAGAUGAAACUCAGGAAGGGGUAAAUGCAAAGCUUAACCUUUGGAGAGAAGUGUUGGAAUCUAAAGGUCUUCGCCUAAGCCGAUCAAAGACAGAAUAUAUGGAGUGCAAGUUCAGUGCAGAUGGAGGCCAAAACGAGUUAGGGGUGAGGAUCGGAGAUCAAGAAAUACCAAAGAGCGACCGUUUUCGUUACCUAGGAUCUAUCUUGCAAAAGAACGGAGAAUUAGAUGGAGAUCUCAACCAUAGAAUACAAGCUGGAUGGAUGAAGUGGAAGAGUGCAUCUGGCGUGUUGUGUGACCGCCGUAUGCCACUGAAGCUCAAGGGAAAAUUUUAUAGGACGGCAAUAAGGCCGGCGAUGCUGUAUGGCACAGAAUGUUGGGCGGUGAAGCAUCAACACGUACACAAAAUGGGUGUAGCGGAGAUGAGGAUGCUUCGUUGGAUGUAUGGGCACACGAGAAAUGAUAAGAUUAGGAAUGAGGAUAUCCGGGGUAAAGUAGGAGUAGCCGAAAUUGAAGGAAAGAUGAGAGAAAAUCGGUUACGGUGGUUUGGACAUGUGCAAAGAAUGCCUACUGACGCUCCGAUUAGAAGAUGCGACUAUGGGACAGGUUCAGGGCCGAAAGGGUAGAGGAAAACCUAGGAAAACUUUGGAAGAGACUCUAAGAAAAGACUUAGAGUACUUGGAUCUAACGAAGGACAUGACACAGGACCGAGCACAAUGGCGUUCUAAGAUUCAUAUAGCCGAUCCCACUCAGUGACUUGGAUUUUCCAAGUCUCCAACCGAGAAGUUUUCCUCACUCGAAAAAUUAAGGGAACACUACCCCAACCUACAUGCUCCACUCAGAAAGCUUCAACAUACAAGCUUCAACAAAAGAAAAUUCAAAGAACUUAGCGAAGAAGGCUUUGGUGUAUCUAACACAAUACGUUGAAAUGAAGGAAAACUUAUUUAUUGAUAUCCCCGAUAAGCUACAAAUAUGUACAUAUACAUGAGUCAAAAUAAACAAACAAGAUGGAGCCUUCACAAAGGUUGCUUAGGAGAAGUCUCAGCAGUCGGUAGAGCCCCAGAAAGAGAAGGCAUUGAAGGGGGAUCAUUCGGAGCCUCAGUACUGGACAGAACCCUAGAAGGAGGAGGCAUCAGAGGUUGAUCAUUUGGAGCUUCAUUACGCGGUACAGCCCCAGAAGACGAAGGCAAUAAAUGCCUUUGGAACAAACCCACAAAUCUCUGAUGAUCAAGUAAAACCUGACCAUCAGUUUCCUUCAUCUGGUCAAGCUUCCUCUUCAUGUUUGUAGCAUAGUCAUGUGCGAGCCGGUGCAACUGUUUAUUCUCAUGCUUGAGCCCUCUAAUCUCCUGUUUGAGACUCAUCACUUCGGCCGCCAAUGAUUCAACUUGGCGGGUUCGAGCAAAUAGGCGUUGGGCCAUAUUAGACACAGAACCUGCACACUGAACACUGAGAGCCAGUGAAUCCUUAACAGCUAACUCAUCAGACCGUUUGGAAAGUAGUCUGUUAUCUUUAGGAGUGAGAAGGUUCUUGGCCACCACCGCAGCGGUCAUAUCAUUCUUCAUCACGGAAUCCCCAACGGUAAGAGGACCAGUAGGGGAGACGAAGGAUGGGCGCCAUAUGUUGUCUGGAGAAGGCGGGGCUGCCUUUUCAACAAGGUUUAAGUCAAAACGACGGUCGGAGGGGCCAGACAUUUUCAAAGGUAUUGAAGAGAGAAAAGGUCGGACAAAUCAAGAUCUUAGAAGUGCAAGAAUGGAGCUUCUACUGGUGGAGAUUCAAGUGUGCUUUGGAACUUAAUGCCAGCCCCUAUAAAAAGCUGCACUCGACGGAGCUUCAGACAUCGAAGAGGCGCCUGCUCAGAAAUCGAAGAGGCGUUUGCUUUCUCAAAAGCUGGGCUGCUUAGAGACCACGAGGGUUGAUCUCAUAAAUCGAAGAGGUGUUUGCUUUCUCAAAAGUUGGGCUGCUCAAAGACCACGAAAGCCGAUCUCAGAAAUCGAAGAGGCGCUCGCUUCCUCAAAAGCUGGGCUCCUCAAAGACCACAAGGGCCGAUCUCAGAAAUCGAAGAGGCACCUACUUUUCCAGCCUUGUCAGCACCUGUCACACGCACACUUAGCUUUGCGGAAAUUAUGGGUAUUCUGUCGAAGACUUCUGGGGAAGUAGAAAACACAUGAAUCUUACUGUCCAAUCACCCACUUCUCACACGCAGCAAUAGCUCAUGGGUACCACAGAUAACUUUGCCAAAGUUCUCUGCCAAAGUUGAGCACGUGAAGCUUGCAGCUCCCACUACAUCGCUCUGACCAAGAAGGGUAAAAGAAUAGCAAAGAAACAGCACUAACAAAGUUUAGACCCAUAAAUUUUGAAGGUCUAGCUACCAUAUUAUUACCCACAAGGGUAAAGGAACAAUACCACUGUUGGAUAAUUGGAAAGUCCCUGUGUGUCAACCUCUGUGCCUCGUGGCAAGGUAGACUAGCAAACAUGCCCAACCUUUACUCACAUUCGAGAAAACACUCCCAAUAAGAUUGCUUGCUCCAAAAUCGAAGAGGCACCGUCCUCCGAAUCUCGAGAGCCAGACUCCCAACAUGACUACUUUCUCAAAAAUCGAAGAGAGGGUAAAGGAACAGUAUCAUUGCUGGAUAAUUGGAAAGUCCCUGUGUGUCAACAUCUGUGCUUCGUGGCAAGGUAGACUAGCAAACAUGCCCAACCUUUACUCACAUUCGAGAAAACACUCCCAACAAGAUUGCUUGCUCCAAAAUCGAAGAGGCACCGCCCUCCGAAUCUCGAGAGCCAGACUCCCAACAUGAUUACUUUCUCAAAAAUCGAAGAGACACUGCUCCCCGAAUCUCGAGAGCCAGACCCCCAGCAUGAUUGCUUUCUCAAAAAUCGAAGAGGCAUCAUUCUCCGAAUCAAUCGAAGAGGCGCUCGCUUUCUCAAAAGCUGGGCUGCUCAGAGACCACGAGGGCCGAUCUCAGAAAUCGAAGAGGCACAUUCUUUUCUAGCCUUGUCAGCACCUGUCACACGCACACUCAGCUUUGCGGAAAUUAUGGGCAUUCUGUCGAAGACUUCUGGUGAAGUAGAAAGCACAUGAAUCUUACUGUUCAAUCACCCACUUCCCACACGCAACAAUAGCUCAUGGGUACCACAGAUAACUUUGUCAAAGUCUCUGCCAAAGUUGAGCACGUGAAGCUUGCAGCUCCCACUACAUCGCUCUGACCAAGAAAGGUAAAAGAAUAGCAAAGAAACAGCACUAACAAAGUUUAGACACAUAAAUUUUGAAGGUCUAGCUACCAUAUUAUUACCCACAAGGGUAAAGGAACAGUACCACUGUUGGAUAAUUGGAAAGUCCCUGUGUGUCAACCUCCGUGCUUCGUGGCAAGGUAGACUAGCAAACAUGCCCAACCUUUACUCACAUCCGAGAAAACACUCCCAACAAGAUUGCUUACUCCAAAAUUGAAGAGGCACCGCCUUCCGAAUCUCGAGAGCCAGACUCCCAACAUGAUUACUCUCUCAAAAAUCGAAGAGACACUGCUCCCCGAAUCUCGAGAGCCAGACCCCCACCAUGAUUGCUUUCUCAAAAAUCGAAGAAGCAUCGUUCUCCGAAUCUCGAGAGCCAGAUACCACAUACCACUUUUUUCAAAGUGCUCUGACAGAGUUAAAACAUGUGAAGCUGGCAGCUCCCACUACCGUGCUAUGACCAAGUAGGGUAAAGGAAUAGCAUUACUACUUGUUGUUAGGGAGACUCCUAUAUAUGUCGACCUUCAUCCCCAACGGACAGGCAGACCUGCAAAAAUGCUCAACCCUUCCUCAUAUCUGAGAGGGCACUCCCAACGAAGCCUUUUGAAAUAUUCAGCUUUCUUUCCCCCCGAUAAUACCUCUGCAAACAAGCUAUACUAGAGCAAGAAUAUCUCAUAUCAUCAGGGUUAAAAGCAAGAGUAUCCCAUAUCAUGCUUUUUCCCUGUCUUUUCCUUUGGCCUUGUUUUUACCUGCAAGACAAGGAGAAAGAGAGCAAUCAGUCAGCACUUGAAAUCAAGCUCCCAGCCAGGAACUGACAGCCUGGAACCCCUUACCUGAUUACUUACCUGGUAUUGCUCUCGAGUACUCAUCUUCAACAUCUUAUGUUGCCAGGGAAGAUACCCCAUCUGCUUGAGGAACAGAUAGGGCAAGUGCGAAGGAUACAAGGAAGCAUGUGGAGACAAGCGUAACAGCACACGUGCCGAUCCAUCCAUUACUCUGUCAAAAGCAAAAGUAUCCCAUAUCAGCAGGGUCGAACGUACUCUAGAUUUGAUGGACUUGUUUUGACCCUCAAAUUCUUUAGUCGGCCUUAUACUCUGGAGGAAACCAGAAAACCCUCCAGCUCAGUUCAAGAAUAAGCCUGUGGAAAGUUACUUCUUCAAAAGCAAAAGUAUCUCAUAUCAUCUCUUCUCAUUUUUCUUCUCUUUAUCCUUCAUGCUGCUGCAAGAUGGGGAGAAGGUGAACAAUCAGCCGGAGCUCUGAUUGCUUACCUUGUCUGUCACCUCUUUCAGCAAAUCCCCUAGCUCGGCGACUUGGGGGACUCCUACUACAUGGUUUGUAUCGCGCUUGACCAAGCCUGAAACUACAAGUAAGCUUCAAGUGACAUUGAUACAUUACCUUGUGCAUCUCCACCAGUUAAAGAUACCACCCCUGGAUGGAGGAAGAGUACUUCCAGAGAAGCUGCCACAUCUACCUAUGAGACAGAUAAGGCAAGUCAAGAUGAUACCACACUCCGAAACUUAGAAGUUUCGUGAUUACGAGAUCCUUCUCCCACAAUAUUUCCUAAUGUCAUUUGUACUCUAAUGUCAUUUGUACUAAAUCAUUCACUUGUACUCACUAAAGGAGAGCUUGAACCUAUGUACUUGUGUAAACCCUUCACAAUUAAUGAGAACUCUUCUAUUCCGUGGACGUAGCCCAAUCUGGGUGAACCACGUACAUCUUGUGUUUGCUUUCCUAUCUCUAUCCAUUUAUAUACUUAUCCACACUAAUGACCGGAGCAAUUUAGCGAAGAUCACAAAAAGCGACCGUUUUCGCUACCUAGGAUCUAUCUUACAAGAGAACGGAGAAUUAGAUGGAGAUCUCAACCAUAGAAUACGAGCUGGAUGGAUGAAGUGUAAGAGUGCAUCCAGCAUGUUGUGUGACCGUCGUAGGCCACUGAAGCUCAAGGGAAAAUUUUAUAAGACGGCAAUAAGGCCAGCGAUGUUGUAUGGCACAGAAUGUUGGGCGGUGAAACAUCAACACGUACACAAAAUGGGUGUAGCAGAGAUGAGGAUGCUUCGUGGGAUGUGUGGGCACACGAGAAAGGAUAAGAUUGAGAAUGAGGAUAUCCGAGGUAAAGUAGGAGUAGCCGAAAUUGAAGGAAAGAUGAGAGAAAAUCGGUUUUGGUGAUUUGGACAUGUGCAAAGAAGGCCGACUGACGCUCCGGUUCGAAGAUGUGACUACGGGACAGAGGUUCAGGGCCGAAGGGGUAGAGGAAGACCUAGGAAAACUUUGGAAGAGACUCUAAGAAAAGGCUUAGAGUACUUGGAUCUAACGGAGGACAUGACACAAAACUGAGCGCAAUGGCGUUCUAGGAUUCAUAUAGCCGACCCCACUUAGUGUGAAAAGGCUUUGUUGUUGUUGUUGUUGUUGUGUUAAUAUCAUUGUAGACAAAAGCAUUAUAGUAUGUAGUUACUGUAAAUUCUUCUUCGAAGAGGUUCUUCUUUCUAUUGUUUAGUUUUUGGUAACAAAAGCUAAUUUAAACAGCUCCAAAUGUCAACGAAAUGCAAAGUAACAGGUUUUAUAUUUGAUAUUAUCUUUGAUUGAGCUUCUGGUCAAUCUAAUUGGAUAUGACUUUUUUUUUUCUUACUUUUUGUCAAUGUAUGUAUUUUAAAUACUACAAACAAUUUACACUUCCACUCAUAUUUUCAUUUCAAACACUUCUUUUGCAGCUAUGGAAACAAGCAUUAAUGUUGUGGUAAAUUUGAAUUGACACAGCAGUUUCAUGUGGAAUGGGAAAGUGUGACAUAUAUGUCAAAGAAAAAAAAGUAGAUAUUACGCUACGAAACCAUAUACACUAUGAACUCAUCUUUAGCAACUUUUAAUAAGAUAAACUAUUCAAAUAGAUUUGAUAGAAGUGAUUCGGAUAUGUGGUACUGUAAGGAAAAGAUGAUGGAUAUGUAUCCUUAGUCUUCAGCUUAAUGUCAUAAAUUAAUUGUUUAGUUUGUUCUCUAACACUAUUAUAUAGUUCUUACUGUAUUUUUUCCUUUCUUUAUUACUAAUCAACAUGUAGCCAUAAUCACUGCAAAAUGACACAUAAUACUGUGUAGAAAAAGAGAACAAAAAUUAGUUGAAGGCUUCAUAUAUUUUUGUCUAUUUGCAUGUAUCUGAAAUGUUGAUCACAUUAAGCUUCAUUAUUUCAAUACAUUUCUAUUUAUUUGCAUGUAUGUCAUGUGGUAGUGAUGUUGAAAACCGAAUGUGUGAAAGUGAAGUUUUAGAUAGACGUGUGGUUGAAAAGAUACAACAGAUGUUGAACAACCAUAAUCCUUUUGUUCAUACAUCUCGGGCAACGCCAAGAUUUGCCGCAUUACAAGUUGAUCCUAAAAGAGCAACCAAUAGAUCAGCGUCAGUAUAGUCUACCAUCAGCAUCACAAGUUGCAGCAAUUAUAAUAGAUGGAGAUAAUGCCACAAUUGCAAAUGGAAGGGAUAUCGUGGUGGAAACAGAUACUGGUAGACUUUCUCACGUCCGAGACUACGUUGGAUUUUAUGAUCCAUUACAAUAUCCAUUAUUGCUAUCUUACGGUACAUAUGGUUGGGAUGUUAAUAGUCGUGAUGAUGGUGGAAGAGCAAUAACAUGUUGUGACUAUUAUGCUUAUAUGUUUCAAGUUUGUGCCGAUAACAUCAUUUACUCAACCAGUAUAUAUAGAUGAAUGAUGAUUCCCAUAGUAAAAGCAAUAUAUGAAAUUGACUUUUGCAAAUAUGCCAUAAUGGAUCCUCACUUUUGCUUCAAGGUGGGCGUAUCUUGCAACAAUAUGUUGUAGAUAACUACAUUAAAAUUGAAUCACAAAAACUUAUAUGGUUGCAUUUUAAUCAAGCCACAGUUAGAGUUGAUCUCUACAAAGGACUUGAACUCUUUAAAUGCAUGUCAACACAAUGCAGGUAUAUAUAUCGUUAAAGUCAUCGUUAUUUAGGAAUAUAACUUUGUUCAAAGUUUGUACAAUAUAUAUAGCUACUAAUUGAAAAUAAAAAAUUAUCAGUAGCAUCGACAGUAGAAUUAUUUUACCAUCAUUGUUUGUUGAAAGCCCACGUGACAUAUACCAACGAUAUCAAGAUGCAAUGACUCUGGUUCAAAGAUUCGGAAAGCCAGAUUUUUUUAUUACCAUGACAUGUAACCCAAGUUGGGAAGAAAUCAAAAGCGAAUUACUCGCUGGACAAACACCACAAGAUCGUCCUGACUUACUCAUUAGAGUAUUUCGUGCAAAACUAGAGCAACUAAAAGAAGACAUUAUUGAAAAGGUGGUACUGGGCAAUGUUGUUGCUUACUCAUACAUUAUUGAGUUUCAGAAACGUGGUCUUCCACAUGUGCAUAUGUUGGUCAUGUCAGAUGAAAAUGACAAGAUCAAUAACCCCAAAUGAGUAUGACCGAAUUGUUAGAGCUGAAAUACCAAACGAAGACAUAGAGCCUUAACUUUACAAUGUGGUAUUAAAGCAUAUGAUUCAUGGCCCGUGUGAGAUUCAUAAUCCUCAAUCUCCAUGUAUGAAAAAUGGGAGUUGUAAGAGAAAGUAUCUCAAAUCAUUUGCACCAAUCACUGUUCAAGGGAAUGAUUCGUAUCCAAUUUAUCAAAGGCGAGGAAAUCGAUUGCCAGUCUCACUUGAUCGACAAGGAAACAUAAUGGUUGAUAAUAUUUGGGUCAUUCCAUAUAAUCCAUGGUUGUUGUUAAGGUAUGAUUGUCACAUUAAUGUUGAAAUUUGUUCAAGCAUAAAAAAUGUCAAGUACUUAUAAGUAUGUUUACAAAGGCCUAGACAGAGUAACAAUCAAACUACAAUUACUACAAUCAGACCUUGAAUACGAUGAAAUAAGGCAGUUUCAGGAUGCAAAAUGGGUUUGUGCACCAGAGGCAUUAUAGAAUAUAUUCAAGUUCAUUAUUAAUCGAAUUUACCCAUCUGUUGAGCAAUUGCAAAUACAUCUUCCUAAUAUGCACCAAGUUCAGUUUCGUACCGACAAGAGUAUAACAAAUAUUGUACAUGAUGAGAGUACAAGAAAGACAAUGUUGACCACACUUAAUCAUGUGGAUGCAGAAGCGCGAUGGUACUUAUACAUGAAGAUCCCAUCACACUACAGAUAGAUUCAAGCUUAAAGAAAGUCGUCUAAAAGAAUGAAUCAUAACAAGGUUAUUGGGCGAAUAUAUGCAGUUUCACAUGAUGAAGGCGAAAAAUUUUACCUUCGGAUUCUUCUUAAUCAUGUUAAAGGACCAACAUCCUUCACAAACUUGAGAACAAUUAAUGGGGUUUUGCAUCCAACAUAUAAGCAGGCAGCACAACAACGGUUGUUAGAAAUAGAUGACAGUAUUCGACAAUGUUUGCUAGAGGCCUCCACAAUUCAGAUGUCGUCAGCUUUAAGAAGAUUAUUUGCCACCAUAUUGGUAUAUUGUGCACCAAUUGGUGUUCAAGGGUUAUGGGAUGAGUUCUAUCCAUUCAUGAUAGAAGAUUAUGUUUCCACAACUAACAUAACUCUCACACUUGCUACAAACAUACUCUUGCGUGAGUUAAACGCACUUUUGGUUCAAUUUAAUAAGAGUAUAAAAGAGUUUGAUUUUCCCCAAAUGACAAGAGGAAUUAAAUCAAGUUCAGGAAUGACAAGAUGUAUUGAAGAUGAAAUAUCCAUAAGUAUUCCACAACAAGAUCUUGAUGCAAUCAAAUGCUUAAAUGAUUACCAAAGAAGUGCAUUUGACACAAUAAUGGGUGCAAUUCAACGAUCAGAGAAUGCAACAUUUUUUGUGGAUGGUCCUGGUGGAACUGGAAAAACUUACUUAUAUUGUGCAUUGUUAGCAAGCUUGAGAAGGUUGGGGCACAUAGUAUUAGCAAUAGCAUCAUCUGAAAGUAACUACAAUAUUGCCUGGUGAGAGGACAGCCCAUUCUAAAUUCAAGAUACCACUUAGUCUCAAUGCAUCAUCGAUGUGUUCAACUAGUAAGCAAUCUGAUUUAGCAAACCUAAUACAAAAGGCAAAGACAAUUAUCUGGUAUGAAGCAACAAUGAUGCAUCGUCAUGCAUUUGAAGCACUUGAUCGGACGUUCAAAGACUUAAUAGAUAUUGACUUACCAUUUAGGGGGAAGAUAAUGAUAUUUGGAGGAGACUUUCGACAAGUUCUUCCUGUUAUCCGGAAAGGUACCAAGUCCGAACUAAUCCAAAUUAGUGUCGUUAAAGCAUCAUUUUGGCCACAGGUAAAGAUUUUAAAACUCAAACAAAACAUGAGAUUCAUAAAUGAUCAUGAAUUUUUAGAAUUUUUACUUCGUGUUGGUGAUGGGAAUGAAGAUGUUAUUAUGGACAAUAUGGUAAAACUACUUGAAUGCAUGGUGAUACCAUGGGAGAGUGAGCAUUCCAUUAAUCUUUUAAUUGCUAAAAUCUUCCCUGAUUUAGAGGAUCAUAUAAAUGAUGCAACAUACAUGGUGGAAAGGGCAGUGGUAACUCCUACAAAUGAAGACGUUGAUAUGUUGAAUGAAAAGAUAAUCAAUAUGUUUCCAGAUUUAGAAGAGACAAUGUAUUCAUUUGAUUCAGUUGAGGAUAACCCAAGGAAUUUGUAUCAGCCAGAGUUCUUGAAUUCAAUUUCACUUGGUGGUUUGCCUCCGCAUAACUUAACUCUGAAAAGAGGUGCUCCAAUCAUGCUUUUAAGAAAUAUUGAUCCGAAAUUAGGAUUGUGUAAUGGUACAAGAUUAUUGUGUCGUGGUUCUUACCAAAAUCUUAUUGAUGCUGAAAUUCUAAUUGGACAAUUUGCUGGAUCCAGAGUUUUCUUACCAAGAAUUCCUCUUAAAAGUACUGAUAUUGCUGGGCUUCCAUUUGAACUUACAAGAAAGCAGUUUCCAAUGAUACUAAGUUUCUCUAUCACUAUAAACAAAUCUCAAGGUCAGACAAUACCACAUGUGGGCAUUUACCUUCCAGAUCAUGUCUUCAGUCAUGGACAAUUAUAUGUGGCUUUAUCGAUAGGGGUCUCAAAAUCAACCACAACCAUGUUAGUAAAAAAAUGGCUUCAUAGUAGGCCAAGAAGGUGUAUUUACACGGAAUGUGGUAUACAAAGAAGUCUUGCUUCAUUCCAGCUAAUUAUGGUGAUUUCUAAUAGGUAACAACUUUAUUAACGAUAACCUUUUAGUAUGCAUUUCUCACUUAUCAAUUAACUCUUUUUAUUUGAUUUUUAAUUUUCUAACUAUCGUUUGUAGAUUGGCAAUGAAAAUGUGGAGCCUCAAUCAUGAACAAAUGGGUGGAAAUUGCAACAUUGAUGUUAAUAUGUAAACUUUCUUUCCAAAAGAAACAGUGACAUAUAGACUUCAUGGGUAUUGUGAAUAAUGUACGUAUUGUGAUGUAGGUUUUAUAUUUUGACAUUUAAGUUGUUUUGUAUUUUGCUACAAGUACUAAAUGUUUUCAUCUACUCUUCUUUUCUUUUUUUUUAUUUACAUCUACUUACUAUUGUUCAUGGAUUUUAGGUAGGAACUUGCAUCCAAAAUCCCACAUUGUUUGACAAUUGCAUGAAUAACAUUUAAAUCAUUAUGUUAUGCAUAGUAAAAACGAAAAACAUGACAACUUUUUAGGACUUGCAUGGUAAAGAAAAAGUUCUUCUUUGCACAAUACAUUUAAAAUAUAUUUUGACAAUUAGAAUGAAAAAAAAUUAACUCAAUACAACUUUAGGGGCACGUAACGCCAGUGAUGCAAAAAUGCCUCUCGUGCGUGCGGAGAGGCUAGUCUUAUCUUUAAUUGCGAUCACUACAACUUUAUCUCAGAUAUCCUCAUUCUUAAUCUUGUCAUUUUUCAUGUGCCCACACAUCAAACAAAGUAUUCUCCUCUCUGCUGCACUCAUUUUUUACACGUGUUCAUACUUGACCACCCAAUAUGACUUUUCACUAAACAGAAAAUUUAAGGGAGUUUUGACAAAACACUCCUGGUACUGUUUACUUUUAACGAAAACCCAUAUUUUUACCUUUCUCUGGUACUAUUCACUACACCUUUAUUUGUCAUUUUUCAUUAAAAUUAAAGUUUUUUUUUAACUUUUCGUUAGUUUUCCUAAAAUUUAAAGCUGUGAUCAGAAUGGUGACGUGAACUUUAUCCCUAAUAAUCGUGGGGGACUUUCCUAAGUGUAUCACAUCAGGUAACCAAUGGAAAGUAUUCCUGCAAAAAUUCUACAGCAUCUUAAUCUUUGGAAUGCUUCUUCAAACAAAUACGUGCCACAAUUAGGUAAGGAAAAACAAGAUGGUGAUGUGCUACAAUUAGGCAAUGAAUUUUUUCCAACCUAUCGCUAUAAAUUUUUUCCAAUUUCUACCUAUCACUAUAAAGUUUUUCCAAUUUCUACUUCACCUUCCAAACUAUCUUAUCUUUAAUUGCGGUCACUCCCACUUUAUCUUAGAUAUCCACAUUCUUAAUAUUUUCCUUUUUUAUAUGCCCACACAUCAAACGAAGUAUUCUCCUCUCCGCUACUCAUUUUUUGCACGUGUUCGUACUUGACCACCAAAUAUGACUUUUCACUAAACAGAAAUUUUAAGAGAGUUUUAACAGUACACUCCCGAUACUGUUCACUUUUAAUGAAAAACCAUAUUUUUACCUUUUUCCGGUACUAUUCACUACACAUUUAUUUGUCAUUUUUCAUUAAAACUAAAGAUUUUUUUGAACUUUUUGUUAGUUUUUCUAAAAUUUAAAGAUGUGAUCAGAAUGGCGACGUGAACUUCAUCCCUAAUAAUCAUGGGGGACUUUCCUAAGUGUAUCACAUCAGGUAACCAGUGGAAAGGAUUCCUGCUAAAAUUCUACAGCACCUUAAUCUUUGGAAUGCUUCUUCAAACAAAUAUGUGCCACAAUUAGGUAAGGAAAAGCAAGACGGUGAUGUACUACAAUUAGGCAAUGAAGAGCAAGAUGGUAACCUAUACCUACUAUUAUGACAGGUUUUAAGUUUCAACCUAUCGUUAUAAAUUUUUUCCAAUUUCUAGUUCACCUUCCGAACCAUUGUAUCUUUAAUUUCGGUCACUCCACUUUAUUUCAGAUAUUUUCAUCCUUAAUCUUUUCCUUUUUCAUGUGCCCACACAUCAAACGAAGUAUUCUCCUCUCCGCUACACUCAUUUUUUGCACGUAUUUGUACUUGACCACCCAAUAUGACUUUUCACUAAACAGAAAAUUUAAGGGAGUUUUAACAGAACACUCUUGGUACUGUUCAAUUUUAACGAAAAAUCAUAUUUUUACCUUUCCCCGGUACUAUUCACUACACUUUUAUUUGUCUUUUUUCAUUAAAACUAAAAAAAAUUUUUUGGACUUUUCGUUACUUUUUCUAAAAUUUAAAGCUGUGAUCAGAAUGAUGACGUGAACUUCAUCCCUAAUAAUCGUGGGUGACUUUCCUAAGUGUAUCACAUCAGGUAACUAGGGGAAAGUAUUCCUGCUAAAAUUCUACAGCACCUUAAUCUUUGGAAUGCUUCUUCAAACAAAUAUGUGCCGCAAUUAGGUAAGGAAAAGCAAGACGGUAAUGUGAUACAAUUAGGCAAUGAAGAACAAGAUGGUAACCUAUACCUACUAUUAUGACAUCUUUUAAGUUUCAAUCUAUUGCUAUAAAUUUUUUCCGAUUUCUAGUUCACCUUCCUAACUGUGAAAUCCCGUCCCUGAAUUUCACUAUUGCAAAUUACGUAUGUGUAUUAAGGAGUUAUUAUAUUAAUUUUGGGAUUUGUAUUAAUUGUAGAGUGUUGAGAUUGUGUAUUCAAAAGAUAUCAUGGUGAAAAAGCUACAAUUAAAAAGUUGCCCUUAAUUAAUUAAGGAGAAAAACAAAAGAAAAAAAAAGAUUAAAGAAAAAACCAUGGGGGGUGGUUGAAAAAAAGGGGGAAAUGGAGAAAGAAAAAAAAUAAGGAAAGGAAGAGGAAUUUGGGGAGAGAAAGGAGGGAGGCUUGGCCAACGGGAAGGAGAAGGAGAAAGGAGGAGCAGCCAAUCAAAACACAGACCAAGGAGGGGAAAAGAGAAAGACCCGAGUUAGGUCGUUUUUGACCCGCGAACCUCCAUUUUUGACCUGGCCAUAUCUCCUUCAUCCGAACUCCGUUUUGGGUGAUCUUGGUGUCCAUGGAAAUCCCUUGAUGAGCCCUACAUCUUUGUAGUGUUAGAUUUCCCAAUUUCAUUCCCAUUUUUCCAGUUCGAAGGCACAAACCCACGGGUAUUCCGGCCGCUUUAUUCCUUUUUCCGGUGGCUUCGGCAAUUUCACCGUCCAUGACCACCACUAAAAGACUUCCCUCAACCCCAGGAACAAAGCCCAAGUAGUGUUGGAGGCGUCAAAGUUCGAUUGGAAGCCGAAUCAAAACACACCCUUUUCUAGGGUUUCGGCGGGUUUGAGUGAAAUUGAAGUGUUUCUCGGCCAAAUUGGACUUGGCCACAGGUAUAAAGCUUGCUCUACUCUUUGAGAUCUUCAUUUCUGUAAUUUUUGGUAAUUCUUUAAAAAUAGUUUAAUUUUCCAGCAAGUCGGGGCGGCCAACCGCCACCCGCGGCGACGCGUGUGGCGGCGACCUAGCCAGUGGGCUGACGAUGUCCUUUUAAGUUCAAUUAGAUGCCCUGAUUUCAUAAUUGAUAUCCUUAUGAUAUGGUUUGAUUGUUUGAACCUAAUUUCAUUACGAUACGUGGUUAGGUCAAAAAUAUGAUUCGAUGAUCCGACCGUUGGAUCGUCACCAAACCUUACUGCGUGAUAUAACAUAAUAUUUUUGGAUCAUAGAAACUUACGGAUCGAGAAUCCGACGUACGGAUCUUCCCUAAUUGGAUUUCUAAGUUUGUAAAAUUAAAUGUCGACCGCCACUUGAAUUUUGAAAUUGGGGGAGAUCCGACCGUCGGAUCGUGUUGAGAUUUUAGUAUGGUGUUAUUUGAGCAUAAUGUGGACUUUGGAAAGUUACGGAUCUGAAAUCCAAUGUGUGGAUCUUCCGGAUUUAAUUGUGUAGAAUUGUGGACCCUACCUUUGAUCGAAAGUUGACUUUUGAUCAACAUGUCUCGAAACGUCCUAAUUACUAAAAUUAGUACUACAGGGGACUAAGUGAAGUCUAGUGGGCCUACAUUGGUUAGAUAGCGACUUGAAUAUAUAAAAUAUGAUUAUUAUCUUAAUUUCUUAUAUUAGUAUCAUUUGAUAAUAUGAAUUGGUCUUAUAAAUAUGAUUUUUAUUGAAAUGUGAUUUUAUAUAUUUAGCCAUAGACCAAUGUUUAUUAAACAUGAUUUGGAUCGUGUACUGUUGAUGAUUGCGAUAUGUGAUUUGACUUGCAUAUUUGAAAGGUGGUUGAUUUGCAUAGAUGGUAUGAUAUGAUAAAAUGUGAGUGACUUUAAUAUAUGUGAUAUAGGUGAUUUCCCUGUUUUCAUAAUUAUUGUCCUGAGUGGAUAUGAGAUGGUUUAUGAUUAUAUUUCCUAUAAAAUGUUUAAUUUUUAUAUUUAGCCAUCGUUGUAGUUUUAUGAUGUGGGAAUUGAAGUGCAUAUUGGGAAUAUGUGUUGUUUUGUAUGAUUAGUAUGUUGUGUAUGAUUACUUUUAUGACAAUGUGAUCCUAGAAUCCUAUUAGAAGUAUGUUGUAACACUUAUAUGCUUGUGUAACAUAUUAGUUGGUGGCCAUGAGAAGUGAAUAUGGUAGGUGACUACGUUGUGAUUAUAGAGAUGAUGAGGUUUAGAUAUACCUGGUACAUUCGGUAGGUACCAUAUCCACAUGGAUUCCGUUGAGUGAUGGUCCGGAAUCGUAUCCUUAUUUGGAUUCCAUUGAGUGAUGGUCCGGAAUCCCUUCUACUCCGCGAUUCCGUUGAGUGAUGGUCCGGAAUCGUAUCCUUGUUUGGAUUCCAUUGAGUGAUGGUCCGGAAUCGUAUCACUUGACUUGGUGGUUUCUUGGAUUUGAUAUCAGCUUCAAAAAUGUAGGCUUGGCUUAACUGUGUCACUCUAGCCUUAGUUUUAAUAUAAUUGUGAGCCAUGGUUUCGAGAAUCUUGUGAAUUGAAUUAGAAAAACUAUUGGACGUCUGGGUGACUCCUUCAGGAUUUUCUAUGAUUCGAUUAUGAUUUCAUAAGUAUGAAUUUAGAAGAUAUGGUUAUGGUUGUUAUUAUUUUGGUCAAAUGACUUAAUUAAUGUGGCUAGAGAAUGGUAUUGUGCUUCGUCGGUUCUUGAUGUGAUAUAUGUUGUGAAUUGCGGUAUCAUGUUGCGAUAUAAUGAAUUAUAUAAAAGAUGGAAGGAAAAUCAUGAUUUUCAAGUGGGUUUGUUAUGUAACCUUGAGUCUAGUAAUUUCAUGCUUGUCAAGUUCUACUGAUUGACUGAGAAAUGUUAUGCCUUUCGGCUUAAACGGACUGUGAUUUAUGUCGAGUUAUAGCGAAGAAGACGAACUACGAAUGGCUUGAUCCCUAAUGAGGGUACGUAGGCAGUCUAACGAGGAGGUUAGAUGCAGCCAUAAAGUGUACGAAAAAUUAUCAUGCAUCUGGAUCUUGAAUUAUACUUGGUACAUAUGAUAAAGGCAGGGUAUGUUGAGUUACGGGCAUUUAGUGACGUCAUGUGUUGAUCUUGGAUGUAUGUCGGGAUCGGGACGUGACACUAACCAUCUUAUCUUUAAUUGCGGUCACUCCCACUUUAUCUCAGAUAUCCACAUUCUUAAUCUUUUCCUUUUUCAUGUGCCCACACAUCAAACGAAGUAUUCUCCUCUCCGCUACACUCAUUUUUUGCACGUGUUCGUACUUGACCUCCCAAGAUGACUUUUCACUAAACAGAAAAUUUAAGGGAGUUUUAACAGAACACUCCUGGUACUGUUCACUUUUAACGAAAAACCAUAUUUUUUACCUUUCCUUGGUACUAUUCACUACACCUUUAUUUGUCCUUUUUCAUUAAAACUAAAGUUUUUUUUGGACUUUUCCUUAGUUUUUCUAAAAUUUAAAGCUGUGAUCAGAAUGGUGACGUGAACUUCAUCCCUAAUAAUCGUGGGCGAUUUUCUUAAGUGUAUCACAUCAAGUAACCAGUGGAAAGUAUUCCUGCUAAAAUUCUACAGCACCUUAAUCUUUGGAAUGCUUCUUUAAACAAAUAUGUUCCACAAUUAGGUAAGGAAAAGCAAGACGAUGAUGUGCUACAAUUAGGCAAUGAAGAGCAAGAUGGUAACCUACACCUACUAUUUUGACAGCUUUAAAGUUUCAACCUACCGCUAGAAAAAAUUUCCAAUUUCUAGUUCACUUUCCGGGACCAUCCUAGGUUUGUAAUUACCAUCUCAAUUAUUGUGGUCCUGCGGCAAACAUUUUGGCUAUGUGACAGAUUUCUUCCUUUGUUAUAUACUUUCAUCAUCUAAAAGUAACUUGGCUUCUGAUUUUAUCCGUAACUAGAACAAAAAAAAUGGUGCAUUCACGUACCUGUUCUUGCAAGGUUUUCUUCAAAUUUCUUCUCCUUUUAUGCAUGGCCACAGGUCUGCAAUCUGCAACACUUUCCACUUAUAGAAAUGAAUCCGAUCACCUGGCGUUGCUAGACUUCAAGAAACGAAUUUCUCAAGAUCCUCUCCAAAUCAUGAGCUCAUGGAAUACUUCAAUCCAUUUCUGCAGUUGGGUAGGGGUUACAUGCAACCACGCCAACAAAAGAGUCAUGAUUUUGAACCUGGAAGCUCAAAAACUGGUAGGCUCCUUAUCACCUUUCAUUGGAAAUCUUACUUAUCUUACUGGAAUUAACCUGAUAAAGAACAACUUUCAUGGUGAAAUUCCUCAAGAAAUUGGCCGCCUACUGAACCUACAACAUCUCAACCUUUCUUUCAAUUCUUUCAGUGGAAAGAUUCCAAGUAAUAUAUCUCAUUGUACACAACUAAGAGUGCUCGAUCUUGUUCUCAAUGAGAUUAUUGGUUCGAUCCCAAACCAACUCAGUUCAUUGUAUCAUUUACUUGCCCUAGGUUUUUCUGCUAACAAUCUUACCGGAACUAUCCCCGCUUGGAUUGGAAACUUUUCAUCUUUGGAAAUUCUAUCGCUUGCUAUCAAUAAUUUUACCCAAUGAGCUCGGACGUCUAACAAACUUGAGAAGGUUUGUACUCUGGGGAAAUAAUUUGUCUGGUACGGUACCUGCUUCACUCUAUAAUAUAUCAUCCAUAUACUAUUUCACUGUUGCUUCAAACCAGCUGCACGGAGAGAUACCACCAGAUGUCGGCAUUACGCUUCCUAAUCUCGAAGUAUUUGCCGGUGGGGUCAACAAGUUCACCGGAACUAUUCCACUAUCAUUGGCAAAUGCUUCUAGACUUCAAGUGCUUGAUUUUGCUACAAAUGGUCUCACCGGGACACUCCCUGCUGAAAACCUUGCAACCUUGCAAAGCUUAGUUAGACUGAACUUUGAUGAAAACAGACUAGCAAGGGGGAUAACCGAUGGCAAGGAUUUUCUUGGUCUCCUCGCUAAUUGUACGAGUCUAGAGGUGUUGGGUCUUAUGGGAAAUUAUUUUGGAGGAGAAUUGCCCGGAUCAGUAGCCAACCUUUCUACGCAACUGAGAAUUCUUACUUUGGGGUCAAAUUUGAUGCAUGGCAGCAUCCCCAAUGACAUUGGAAAUCUUGUCAAUCUGACUAGUCUAGGACUGGAAGGAAACUAUUUGGGUGGUCGUGUCCCCGAUGGAAUUGGGAAGCUUCAGAAGUUACAGGGACUGCAUUUGAAUGUUAACAAAUUUUCUGGGAGAAUCCCUUCUUCUUUAGGUAACUUGACGUCAUUGACAAAGCUCUUCAUGGAAGAGAACAUGUUUCAGGGAAGCAUACCUCCAAGCCUAGGAAACUGCCAAAAGUUACUGGUACUUAAUCUUUCAAGUAACCGUCUAACCGGCAAGAUACCUAAAGAGCUUAUUGGACUUUCAUCCCUUUCAAUCUCUUUGUCCAUGUCGAACAAUUCUUUGAUUGGUUCGCUACCAUCUGAAGUGGGAAAGUUGGUAAGUCUCGGAGAGCUAGAUGUAUCUAGAAACAAGUUAACAGGUCAAAUCCCAGAAGCCUUGGGAAGUUGUACCAGUUUGGAGCGCCUUCACUUGGAAGGUAAUGAAUUUGAAGGAACAAUCCCCCUAUCUCUUAUGAAUUUAAGAGGCUUAGAAGAAAUGGAUAUUUCGCACAAUAACUUAUCUGGGCAGAUUCCUUACUUUCUUGGCAAGUUUAGAGUUCUUAAGGAACUCGAUCUUUCUCAUAAUAAUUUUGAGGGUGAAUUACCUAAAGAAGGGAUAUUCUCAAAUGCAAGUGGCAUCUUAAUUCUUGGAAACGAGAAGCUCUGUGGUGGCAUCCCACAGUUACGUCUACCUGUAUGCUCCAUCAAAAAGCCCCAUUCAUCUCGAGGACUACGAGGCCUAAAAGUGAUCAUCCCUAUAGCUUGUUCUCUUCCGUUCAUAAUUGCUCUAUCAUAUUAUAUUGCCGCUUGUUCCAUGGCGAAAAGGUCGAGAGGAAAAUCGGUUACUUCACGUCCUCAUGAAGAUUGGAAAUCAGGUUUCUCGUACUCAGAACUUGUUCAAGCAACUAACGGGUUCUCUGCGGACAAUCUGAUUGGUUCGGGAAGUUUUGGUUCUGUUUACAAAGGAGUAAUCCCUAGUAAUGGUGCAACAGUUGCUAUUAAGGUAUUCAACCUUCAACAACAAGGAGCUUCCAAGAGCUUUAUUGAUGAAUGCAAAGCUUUGAGAACUAUAAGGCAUCGUAAUCUCCUCAAGAUUGUAACUGCCUGCUCAAGUAUUGAUAAUCAGGGUAAUGACUUCAAAAGUCUAGUUAUGGAGUUCAUGGAAAAUGGAAGUCUAGACCUCUGGCUGCAUCGUGGAGACAAUGAACAACCAGAAGGUAAGAGACUGAGUAUUAUCCAAAGACUGAAUAUUGCCAUUGAUGUUGCUUCUGCCUUAGAUUAUCUACACAACCAUUGUGAGAUGUGCAUUGUUCAUUGUGAUCUAAAGCCAAGUAACGUACUUCUUGAUGAAGAUAUGGUUGCCCAUGUUGGUGACUUUGGUUUAGCAAGGUUCCUCGUUGAAGCAGCGAAUAAUCCCACGACUCCCACACCAAAUCAAACUGUCUCAGUUGGGCUAAAGGGUUCCAUAGGAUACAUUCCUCCGGGUAUUGUUUCUAAAGUCCUUGUUUUAGUAUUCCUAAUAACUUAUGUCUCUAUUGGUCAAAAAGAUUUGCUGCUUUGUUAUUUACUAGACAAAAGUAUCUUCCCAAUUUUAAAUAAGAUAUGAACUCUAAAGUUUUUCCUCAAUACAUGAACUGUAAAGUUUAAUUGACUAUGGAAUCCUAAUGUAUGUAUUGAAAUGCAGAGUAUGGCAUGGGAAGCCAAGUUUCGAUACUGGGAGAUGUUUAUAGUUAUGGGAUAUUGUUGGUCGAAAUGUUCACAGGAAAAGGUCCAACUGAUGACAUGUUCAAAGAUGGUCUAAGCAUUCACCAAUUCACUGCCAUGGCUUUGCCUGACCACGUCAAUGACGUAGUUGAGCCCUCAUUGCUCCUCGAAACAGAUGACGAGGAUGAUGACAGUGACAAAGAUGAUGCAUACGGCAAUAAAAUACAGGAAAGACCAACAGCCAGAUACAAGGAUCCCGGCCCGGACAAAGCAAAAAGAUUGGAGGAAUGCUUGAAUUCAGUGAUACAGAUUGGGAUCUCGUGCUCCGCAAUAUCACCAGGAGAGCGGAUGCUUAUGAAUGUGGUUGUCAACAAAAUGAAUGCAAUCAGAGACUCAUAUCUCAACUUAAGGACAGGUGGAAGAAGAAGAAGAUGAUGAUGAUGAUGAUGAUGGUGAUUGCAAUGUGCAACACAGGCUAAGUUUUUCUACCAAUUCCAACCUAUAUAUAGCUUUAUCUUUAUGCAAGACAUUAUAUUUGUAUUUAUGCAUGUGACAUCAUGUAAUGUUGAAUCAGUAUUUUAUCUCAAAUUUUCUCAACUGCUACUUGUUUGACACUUUAUAUAUAUAUAUAUAUAUAUUUGUCUCUUCAUAACCGAAGGGCUUCUAAUUUGGCUAGUUAAGAACAUUCACUCUUGCAUUUGAAUUCCGUAGUUCAAUUCCCCUCACCUCAUACAAGGGAAUACUUACCAGGUCAUGAGGUAGCAGCAAAGUUGCACACCACCGCAAAUAAGUGUUUCCAGUAAAAUUACUGCAAUUUGAGUUUAAAUAACAGUAAAAAUAAUCAACUCUACAGUAAGAAUUCGUGUUUGAUUUUCUUGAAAAGGAGGGAGAGAAUUUGAUCGGUCUGGGAUUAAAUUUAGCAAAAGAUCCUUAAAAGAACUUUACUAUUAUUCCACUUUUCCACCGUUCUCAUGUUUACAUCAACUGCUCUUAUUUUAUUUUAUUUGGUAAAACAUCAACUGCUCUUUCAUUCAGAAAGAAAAUUAUUUCUUUAGCCUUUUGUAUUUUCUUUAUCUACGCCUAUGAUCAGACUUUAAUCCCUUCCUUUCGGCCACUCUGUACCAAAAUAAUAAUAAUAAUUUUAUUGUAGACUUGGAUUUAGCCAAAGAGAAAUGCUAACAGGACACUCUCAAAAGUAACUGAUCUCAUACCCAAUUGUUAAUUUGUUCUCUCUAAUCUAUAGUCACCCCAAUUUAUAACUUCUCCAAUCCCAAAUACAUAACAUAUCAUAGAAUAUCAGCGUAUAGCAGAUGGCGCCAUAACACAUUGGUGGGAAACAAUCAUACUUACGCAUCAUUGUGCAUAUUCGGUCCUCACUAAUUCUCCUUCCCAUAAUGACUAACUAUUUAAUCUAACACUAUAAUUUGUCAACAAAAAAAAAUCUGCUUAAUUAUGAAAGAUUUUAUUGAUAUAUUGUUGUAUUGAUAUACCUACACUAAAAGAAUUAGAGAAUAAAGUAGUUGCAAAUUCGUUAUUCUCGAGUUUCCAAUCUAAACUCUAUUGAUAUAUUAAUAUAAGGGUGGUGAUAUCCAUACACACAUUUUUACCUUGUCCACACCUCUGUUGAUUUUUUGUCAUUUAAUCAUCUUCAAUUCAUUUAAUCUGACGACGAGAUAUGAGAGCGAUGUGUGAAAGGUAAAAAAGAGUAUGUGAAUAGCACCACUCCAAUACAAGAGGUUUUUUAAAAUAUCUCUACUAAUUAAUAAAACACUCAUUGUCAACUAAAACCCUAUGAAAUUACCAAUUUAACCAUCUAAUUAAAACAAAACAUGAAUAAGAAAUAUGGGGCAGAAAUGUAAUUUCACACAACCAAAUUUUGAUAUUUUUUUUUCAAAGCCCCACCUACAUGUAAUCAUAACAUAUCUAUAAAAUUAUAAAUAAAUAAAUAAACUCACUCCCACAUUCUCUAUCACUCUCUUCCUCUCUUCUUCUAUUUCAAAAACAAAAAUAAAAAAGUUUCUCACACACUUUGUGUGUGCCCAUAUGCUAGUAUUAAUUAUUGAAAAAGAACAAACAUGAUGACAAGGGUCCAGACAAUUGAAUAAUUAAUGAAGGAAAGAAAUCCUCUCAUGAUCUCUUCCACCAAAGCCCGCGGAUCAUCUCACAGCCCGUCCCGAAGUACAACUAUCGACGAUGUAAAAUGACGAUUUUAUCCUCGAACGUUGAAAUUGUAGUGUGUGUGUGUCAUGCUUUUGACUUAGAUGUUAUUUUCUUUGGUUGAUUGGUGAACCACGUGGAACACACACACAAACCCUCCUUCUCUCCCAUGCCUUCCCUCUCUCUCCUUACUUUUGGAUUUUUGUAGAAAACCCAUACAAACGUACAGACAAACUCCAAGCUUCCAUUUCAAGCACAGAUCGACGUCAAGAAGGUAAGAUUCAAACUCCUUGCAAGUACCUGUGUCACGCCCCGAUCCCAACAUAUGUCGCAAAUUGACACGUGGCAAAGAAAAAAAAACAUUUGUUGAAUAUGACGUAAGUCCCUAAAAGAUAAAGUACAAGAGUGAAUCAAGGGUAACCUAACGCUCCACGUCUCUGAUAACCGCACUGCUACCCCACCUACGGACUUCUCGGAGUCUACUCAAACCUAUCACCUGUAUGAUCAGUGCCUACACCAUCAGAAUGGUGCAUCGGGCAAACAUCAACUUGAUUAAGCUGUGAAGCUUGAGUGAGUGACAAUAAUACAAAGUAUGUGAUACAAUAAUAAAACCAGCCAUCAAUCACAAUUUAUAAACCUUGAAUAUAAAUCAUGCAUGAGAAAUUAAUACCAAACUUUUGCAAAUUCCGAAUGAGUCACUCAGACAUUUAACGAUUCAUCUGAAACAAUCACAACAUCUCACAACCAUAUUCUCAUACAACACAAUGAAAGAUAGGGUUAGGGCGACAUAGUUCGGCCGAAACCUACACCUUUGAAGCUAUCUCAAUCCAAACUAAAAAAAUAAAAACUCAGGUGGAUACGAUCCCGGACCAUCACUUAACGGAUCGCAGAGUAUGAAGGAUUCCAGACCAUCACUCCACGGAAUCGCAGAGUAUGAAGGAUUCCGGACCAUCUCUCAACAGAAUCAGAGUGAAAAUGAUUCUGGACAAUCACUCAACGGAAUCACGAAAGGCCAACAACCAUAAUGUAUAACGGCUCAAAGAAAUGAGACAAGCACAAGUUACUUAAUUUACAAAAACUCAACCAAGGGAAAUAAAGCACAAAUACUAAAUGUAGAACGAAUAAAUGAAGCGGGAAAUGAAACAAUAUUGAAGCAACAAUUCCCCAUCACAAUGGGUUAACGGCCCACCACUAGCCUUCACAUUUCAUUACAUCAUGCCAAUCAAACAAAUCAAACCAUAUUUCAGUUUACAUACAUCAAAUCUCAUUUCAUAACUUGAAUCAAUGGUUAAGCAUUAAAAUUAACAAUUCCAUAGAAAACAUAUAUAUAUAACCAAGUCAUAUCCACACAGGAUAACAAUUAUGAAAACAAGGUAAUCACCAAUACCACAUAUGUUAAAGUCACUCACUUAUAGUCUGCGCUAAUGCACCCUAGCACGAGAGUCAAGGCAUCACGUUUUAUCACCGCCUAAACAAGGUACAAGUCCACAUUUAGAUUUCCUUUGAUAAUUCAUAUACUUAAAAACUCUCAUAUGUCUCCCACAAAAACAUUUAAUGAGGAAUCGAACCGUCAUUCUAAGGUAGGGUCCAUGAUCUUAUGUCACUUAUUCCGUAAGAUCCAACCACUAGAUUUUCACUUGUAAGUCCCUAAGGUCCUUAAACAAUAUCUACCAUAGCAUACUAAAAUUGGAUGUAAAUUCAAUGGUAAGAUCGUCAAUUGUUAGAAUAAUCAAGUGGUGGACCUUAUCAAUAAUAUACUCAACCAACAACAUUAUCAUAAAUCGAAUGUCACACAUCGGGAAAUUCGACUUUUUCCAAAAAUUCUCAAAUUUUACAAGAAUGAAGUUCUCAACAAGUAGAGUAAACUUUAUACCUGUGGCCGAGUCCAAUUUGGCCGGGAAGGCCCUCAAAUUGGCUCGCACCCAUCGAAACCCUAAGGUGGGUGUUCUUCAAUUCGGCUUCCUUGGUGUUCCAACGCCCACCCACCAGUUGGGCCUUGUUUAUGAGUCCGAGGGAAGUUGAAUAAGGGUGAUGGUGAAUGGUGAUACUCACCGGAACGACGAAUCGCCGUCGAGAACCCUCGGGUUCUCCAAUGGAGUUCUAUCCGAAUUAGACCUAAAAAAACCCUUGAUUUUUGGUGGAGAUGGAAGGGAGAAGAUAUUUAAGCAAGUUACAGGUGAAGGAGAUAGGAAAAUCAGCUGAGAAUUGGAGGAACUUACCUGAAAAGGGCCGGUUUUGAAAAUGGUUUGGUGUGCACACGGGGUUCACCAAAUGGGGAAGAAAGAAAAAUGUCCCCUUUUUCCUUCUUAUUUUGUCUCCCCCCCCCCACCACAAAAAAAACCAUUUGAUUGUUCUUUUUUUUUUUUUUGUUUGUUAAACUAACUUAACUUUUAAUCCACAUGUGGAAAUUAAACAAUUCCCACAAUCUAUAGUUCACAACUUCAAACGUCAGUAACUAUAUUGUUAUAAUUCGGACUCGCAAACGGUUUUCGCCUAUGCGUUCGUGGGUUCGAGAUCUAUUUAAAAACACUAGUUGUAACUUCGAAAUAUCAACGAAAGAUAAAGAUUGAUUAAGAAACUUCCAACUCGAUAACUAAUCAAUUACUAAACUUAAAAUUAACGGAAUUAAAAUUAACUAAUAAAGAUAACGUAAUCGCGAAAUACGAAUUUAAAAUAUGAGAUACAUAAUGAAUGGUGAAAUUCUGGGGAUGGGCUUUCAUACCCUGAGUUCAUAUAUGCCAUUUUUAGGACCUGAAAACCUCAAAAACCCCGAGAACUCUAACCUCCGAUUUGGUGCACUGUUUAUGCACAUGUAAAUGUGAAGGUUUCAGGUGAUUUGAAGUUUGUCGGAAGCUUUAAAACAUCCCUACGAAGCUCGGAGAAGAAAAACCAAGCGAUUUGGACGUCAGGAUCGUCAGUUUCAAGCUUGGCCGGUUUUUCUUGAAAUUCUCCGGUGAGAUCCCGUGGGAUUUAGGUCCUAAAAUUGGUAUGGGUUUGUUCUACUUGUCCUAAGCUUCAUUUUGAUAUAUAAUUCGUGAAAUUUGGUUAAAAAUCGAGUGAGAUAUCAAGGUUUUAAGAUUUGCCCAGUUGCCGACGACGGUCGUCGAAGUCCUAAGGUUAGGGGUGACGGAAUAUUCCUAACAGCGUUGGUUAGUUUAAACGGAUUUCAUUACUAUUUAACGGAAUAUUCCUAACGGCGUCACUGUUGCCGUUGGUGUGCCAGGCACAUGCCCUGGCAUGGGUGGCGCGUCUGACCGUGCCUUGGCCGGUGCGUGGGUGGUAGAAAAUUUUUUCUAAAAAUAUGGGGAUGUUCGUGAGGUUGUGUAGAUCACGUUGGUAUAUUCAAACACCCCAUUUAAGCAUUGUAUGAGAAGUUAUUAGUUAGUAUUGGUUAGGUGCUUAAAAUUAACGUUUAUUCAGUUAAUUCGCAUAUAGGUGAGACUUAUCCCGAGGACAAGUGCAGUCAAUGGCGACUUGGGAGCUACGACCCUUCGACAUACCAGUGAGUGGGCUUUUGGUUUUCAGUAUAUAUUUAUAUACAUGGUAUUUUCCCAGAAAAUACGUUUAAAUGAAAGUAUGCCUUGAAUGCCAUGCAUAUAAAUUUAUAUUUUGUAUAUGAAUUGAAUUGUUUGCAUAUACAUAAUUGUGGUGUUGUGGACGCUCAGGUAAGUAUCAGAUGAGUUAUGUUUUGUUAUGAGAAUUAAUGAUUAAUGGCAUGUGAUUGAAUAACGUUGAGCUCAUGUAACUGCACCUAGGGUGAUGUGAUUUAGCCAGAUAUAUAGCACAGGCCUGUUAUUGAUGUCACCUCCUGCACCAUAUGCUCACAUUGGAUCCAAUUUAGGUGCACAGCCUUGUCGUAUAGACCAUAAUAAGUGGUUCCGACUCGUAGGUGACUAGCGAAUUAUUGCCCAGCUAUCAUGAGAGAGUAGAAUUGAGCAUAAUUAUAUUACACCCAAUCUUGUCGUACAGACCCCUUUUUAGUGGUUCCGACUUAUGUGCAGUGUAGUGCCGUAUAGGUCAUUGUAGUAACUCCGACUAGAUUGACUAUUGAGCUAAGAAUUCAACCGUACAGACUACCAUAGGGGUUCCGGCUAAUAUGUUAUAUUUUCCAUGAAUUUAUUCUCACCUGAAUUACUUAUUUUGUUAUAUCUUGGCAUGGCAUACUUAUGAUUAUGAAUAUGUGAAGCAUGAUUUGAAUUGAUAUAUUUAUAUAUAUAUAUAUAUAUAUAUAUAUAUAUAUAUUUACGCAUAUACUUAUAUUCUAAUUCUGGGAAAAUUAUACAUGUUUUACGACAAGGGAUUAGAACUGUUGAGAAAUGAAAUGGUUUUGUAAAACAUUUGUUUUUGCCCACUCACGUUUUUUUGUUUUGCGCCGCUCCAGGUUUUAGGUAAGCUUGCUGUUGGUGGCUUUGAGGACUUCGGCGGUUCUGACAUAUAAAAAAAAUAGUAGGACAUUCCUAGUACUAUAUAACUAUUACUUGUCCUACUGGACUGCACCUAGACUUAUUAUGCUCUGAUUAGGAGUAUUUACAUUUGUAUCUUACUCCCAGCACUUCCUGUUUAUUAGUGCACAUUAGUAGCUUUCGGUUUUUAUUUAUUCGUAUAAUUCUUAUCUUUAUGGCUUCCGCACUGUGCACAUGGCUAUGUUACCCUCACAUGGAGGCCAGCAUGUCUUGAUCUCGGUCGGGGUGUGUCAGAUCAAGUGAUCCAAACCCUUGAAAUUUGAUCCAACGGCUAAAGUUAUUAUAACUUUUAAAAGUGGCCUCUGUUUUCAACUGUUAGAUCAAAUUUCAAGAGCCUAAAUCACUUGAUCCGCAGGCUUUGGUGAAAGAGAUCAUUAAUGAAAACAUUGUUACUCAUCACUCUCAAGUGAUAAUGAUACACAUCACUUUAUUUAUCACCAUUUGAUAGGUUUAAAUUUUAAGAUUUGUAAAAUGAGUAGACAUAAAAUUCAAAAAUUAAAGUAAUUAAUGUAACGAGCAUUACCACCAAUGUAUUUUGAUGAUCCCUACUUUAUUGACCACUACUUAUGUAUUUGUUUAUUGCUUUCAUUGCUCCACCUGAUGAUUUUCGUGAAUCUUUAUUUUAUAAAAACAAUAUUAUUUCUGAUGCCAAUAUUUCUACUUCAGCAGCUAUAGGUUUGCACUUUUAUCGUAUAUGAAAAACGGCUUCAGUGAUGAGAAAAAUGCACCCAUAAUCAAUCGGUGGGUCGCCUAUCUACCGACAAACAAUUUAAAGAUCAAGAUUAAUAGCAGCAGUGGUACCAAGCUUUCAGAAGUUCAGAUUUCUUAUUUCUAGCAAACAAGAAUGGAGAAAAUCACAAAUUUAUAGCUGCUGCAGACUGCAAUCUGUUGAGGGCAUGACUUCAUCUUCCCCUAGCUGAUUCACAGAACAAAGCAACUCCAGUUACUAGUAUUUCAAUCAGGCACUAACUCUUCAUUUAGGUCAGUUUUUCUAUGCUCUUUGAUUAUUUCUGAUAAGUUUCAACCCAAAAUAUUUUGAUAUAUGUUCUGGCAAUUCAAUUUCGAUGCACUGUUAACAAUAGUUGUCUCUUUUUUUCUGGUUGAAAACAUCUAAUUCAUCAAUAUAAUACAUGGAUAUAUAAAAGUGUUGUGGUUAGGACUUACUACCAAUAGUUUUUCUUAGACCAAUUUGCGCAAAAGAAUAUUUGAAUGUGACUAUCACUUUGUCACAUUAUUCGAAUUAUUAACAUAUGUUUUAUAAUAUGAGUGGACGAUAUAGUUGAUAUUUUUUGCCGAUUAUGAAACUCAAUGACAAAGCUACAUAGGCACAAGGAGGUGCGGCCACCCCUCCGGUCAUUGGGAAUUGUUAUUGAGAGUGAGGGUUCCGUCCCUUCGAUCUUCUAAACCUGCCAAAAUCUAGGGUUGGUGCACUGCGCUACUGGAUUUUAAUUUUGGGUAAUACUAUGGAAACUUUAUUUGUAAACAAAAUGACAUUGAAGUUGAUGAUUGAAUUAUUACUUAAGUGUUAAUUAACGUGCUUAACUUUAUUGAUGACAUCUCAUUUAGCUUGUAAAUUUAGUCUUUAAAUUUAGUGUACUUAACGUUACUCUUUAAAUUUCUCGAAGGAUGAAGACGACAUGAUUUUGUUCAAAACUGACCUCGUAGUUUACUUUGUUUACGCUAUUGGUUACAAAACUCAUGGAAUUUUUAAUGGAACAGAAUGGUUUGGUGGGCUCCCCUAGUUUCUCUUUAAUUUUUUUUUUUAUUUUAUUACCGUGGGCUUUUUUUCCAACUGCACCAUGAUUUAGUUGAUUAAACAUUAUUUCUCAAAAAACCAGCCCACCAUUUCAAUUAUCUUCCUUCUCUCUCAUUUCUUUAAGACUAAAGAAAAACCAAAGGUUGAUCUUUGUUAUUGUUCUUUUUUAAGAACAAAGUUUGGCUGUUUAAGAAAAAGCAAGAGCUCCAGCCCUCACCUAAUAACGACUUGACAAUUGUCCUAAAAAUGUUAUAAAAAAAAAGCUUGAACAAACAACUUGGACACUUUUCAAGUUGUUAUUGAGUGAGAGUAGCCAAGAUUUGUUCCUUUUUUAUUCUUGUUAUUAUUUCUAGAGUUUAAAAUUAUUUUUUCUUAUUUUCUUUUAAUCUUGAGAGAUGUUGACUUUGAGAAUUUAUUUCAUGAUAUACAAAAGUUUUGUCAAGAAAAUGAUGUAAAUGACUUUAAGACCGUUUUCUGCUAAGAGUAUUGUCAAAACAUCAUUGCGUAACAAAAUACGAGAUAAUGAUUGAGUGAUAGCUUUGUUUACAUUUUUUGCUUUUACUGAUAAUAAGCCUAUUAUGCGACGUUUUUAUGACAUGAAACAUCACCGUCAACAAUUACAAUUUGUUUGUAUUGAUGAAUUAUGAACAACAUCAAUAUUGUCUAGUAUCUAAAAGGAUUUGAUUGUGUACAUUUUUUUGAAACCUUAUACACUUUUAAAUUUCGCCCAACCCCCGACAAUUCCUGAUUUCGCAUGACACUUCACUUUCUUGACUAGUAGGCUGUGUUAUAUGAUUUUUUAUCUGUAUUUCGAAGAGGAUGAAACAUUCGUGAAGUCAGUCAUCAUGAUCGACUACUUUGAUACCAUCUCAAAAAUAAUGGGUUUGUGGUCAAUUUUCUGUAUAUUCCUUUGUCUCUCUUAGGAGCUCUUUAUGUUACAAUCUAUACAACUAAUAUCUAAAGAUUAUAAUUUCUGCGGCUAGUAUUAACUACAUUUUCCCACUUGACAAUAUUUAUAAGUAGUAACUAAUGUUGACAAUAUCCAUGUUGGCAGAUAGCAACUAUUGUUGAUAUCAGCUGCCCUUUUUGACAAAAGCAGCACCCAGAAUCAAUCAGUGGAUCACGCUUAUCAACUGACGAACAAUUUAAAGAUCAAGAUUAAUAGCAGCAGUGGUACCAAGCUUUCAGAAAUUCAGAUUUUUUAUUUCUAGCAAACAAGAACGGAGAAAAUCACAAAUUUAUAGCUGCUGCAGACUGCAAAAUGUUGAAGGCAUGAUUUCCCCUUCCCCCAGCUGAGUAUUUCAAUCAGGCACUAACUCAUCAUUUAGGUCAGUUUUUCUAUGCUCUUUGAUUAUUUCUGAUAAGUUUCAACCAAAACAAUUUUGAUAUAUGUUCGGGCAAUUGAAUUUCGGUGCAUUGUUGACAAUUGUUUCUCUUUAAUAUAAUACAUGAAUAUAUAAAAGUGUUGUGGUUAGGACUACUAACACUAGUUUUUCUUAGAACAUUUUGCACAUUGAAUAUUUGAAUGUGACUAUCACAUCGUCACGUUGUUCAUAUUAACUAACAUACCAUAUUAAUCGUUUAUAAUACGAGUAGACGAUGUUGUUCAUAUUAACUAACAUACCAUAUUAAUCGUUUAUAAUACGAGUAGACGACAUGAUUGAUAUUUCAUGAUCUCUGUCGGCUAUGACACUUCACCUUCUUGACUAGUUCUGCCGAUGCAGGAAAUAAGCAUGUAAGUCUUAGUUGCUUCUCGACUAGAAAUCUUUUCUCCACAAUCCAAUUGAAACAAAAUGCACAUUCAUAUUCAACCAAAUCACUAUAAUCAUUUUUUGCAUCGUAGAAUAACCCUACAAUUAGUCUAAUCCUUGCGAAAUUUUCGAAAGCAAUUAGAACUGGAAAAUGAGAUCUAAAUUUUCUGUCUCACGAGUUUUCCUAACAUCGUAUAGGACGUGAAUGCUAGUCUGUCUAUGUUGAAUUCCUCUCCAUGACUCUGUCCUAAUCAUGUAUACAAACUUGGUUGCUGUUUUUUUAUCUGUAUUUCGAACAGGAUGACGCAUUCGUCUAUGCACGAUGGGAAGCAGAUUUUGUCUAAAUUCCUAUAUGGGUUCAUUCUUUUAUACAUGAGCACAGGUCUGGAAUCUGCAGCAUUGUCAAACAGUACUUUUGGAAAUGAAUCCGACAGACUGGCACUGCUAGACUUCAAGAAAAGAAUCACCGAAGAUCCCCAACAUAUCAUGAGCUCAUGGAAUGAUUCCACCCAUUUCUGUGGCUGGAGAGGUGUUACAUGCAACAAUUCCAACAAAAGAGUCCUGACAUUGAAGUUGAAUUCUCAAAAUUUGGUAGGCUCCUUAACCCCUUCUAUUGGAAACCUCACUUAUCUUACUGGGAUUAACCUUACGAGCAACGGCUUCCAUGGUGAAAUUCCUCAAGAAAUCGGUCGAUUAAGAAGCUUGGAAUAUCUCAACCUGUCUUACAAUUCCUUCGGCGGAAAAAUUCCAACCAAUAUGUCUUCUUGUACCCAACUAAAAGUGCUCAGUAUUUAUUCCAACAAGCUUACCGGGUCGAUUCCUGACCAACUCAGCUCGUUGUUGAACUUAAAUCAUCUAUGGGUUGAUGAGAACAAUCUCACCGGAACCAUCCCUUAUUGGGUAGGAAACUUCUCUUAUUUGAAAACUGUUUAUCUUGGCAGCAACAAUUUACAAGGAAUCAUACCUAAGGAAUUUAGGCGUCUAACAAGCUUGGAGAGAUUCUCACUUCAGGGGAAUAAUUUAUCUGGUCUGGUCCCUUCUUCAAUCUAUAAUAUUUCUUCCAUAUACCUUUUCGAUGUUACUGAGAACCAGCUGCAAGGAGAGAUACCACCAAAUGUCGGCAAUACUCUUCCUAAUCUCAUAGGGUUUUUCGCUGGGGCCAACAAGUUCACAGGGCGUGUUCCUGUCUCAUUUGGAAAUGCUUCUAGACUUGAGAGGCUUGAUGUGUUCAGAAAUUCUCUCACUGGGGCACUCCACGGUGAAAAUCUUGGAAGCUUACGGAGCUUAGUUUGGCUAAACUUUGAAGAAAAUAGACUAGGAAGUGGAAAACCCGGUGACUUGACUUUUCUUACUUUCUUGGCUAAUUGUACUCGUUUGGAGACUUUAGGACUUUAUGGUAAUCGUUUUGGAGGAGAACUGCCAGGAUCUAUAGCCAAUCUGUCAACCCAACUAAUUAGUCUUACUCUGGGGGGUAAUAUGAUACAUGGAGUCAUCCCUGAGGGUAUUGGAUAUCUUGUAAACUUGACAGUCCUAGUACUAGAACAUAACAAUUUUGGUGGUACUGUCCCUAAUACAAUUGGGAAGCUUCAGAAAUUAGUGGAGUUGUAUCUGAAUAGUAACAAACUUUCUGGGCCAAUUCCUUCCUCCCUGGGUAACUUGUCUGCAUUGACAAACCUCUACUUGGACUGGAAUAUGUUCGAGGGAAGCAUCCCUCCAAGUCUUGCCAACUGCCAAUUUCUACUGAUACUUUACCUUUCUCAUAACAAUCUAUCUGGUUCCAUACCUAAACAGCUGCUUGCGCUUUCAUCCCUUUCCAUGUCUUUGAACAUGUCUCACAAUUCUUUGACUGGUUCACUACCAUCCGAAGUGGGUGAUUUGGUAAAUCUCGCAGAGCUAGAUGUAUCAGAAAACAAGUUAUCAGGUGAAAUCCCACAAACUCUAGGUAGUUGUAUAAUGUUGGUGCGCCUGCAUUUAGAAGGUAACAAAUUUGAGGGAAUAAUUCCUCAAUCUCUUAAAAAUUUAAGAAGCUUGGAAGAGAUAGAUGUUUCGGGCAAUAACUUAUCUGGGCAGCUUCCUGAAUUUCUAGGCAAGUUUACACUACUUGAGAAACUUAAUCUUUCUCAUAAUAAUUUUGAGGGUGAAUUACCUAAAGAAGGGAUAUUUUUUAACGCAAGUGGCGUGUCAGUUCUUGGAAAUGAUAGGCUCUGUGGUGGCAUCCCACAAUUGCAUCUGCCUGCAUGCUCCCACAAAAAGCCCCAUUCAACUCGAGGACUACUUGCCCUGAAAGUAGUCAUCCCUAUAGCUUCUUCUCUUGCACUCAUAAUUGCUCUAUCAUGCUUUAUUGCUGCUUGUUCAAUGGUGAAAAGGUCAAGACGCAAACCUGUGACUUUACGUUCUUAUGAGGACUGGAAAUCAGGUCUCUCGUACUCUGAACUCUUUGAAUCAACUAAUGGUUUCUCUAUAGACAAUCUGAUUGGUUCGGGAAGUUUUGGUUCUGUUUACAAAGGAGUACUAUCAAGUGAUGUAGCAAUAGUUGCCGUUAAGGUAUUGAACCUUCAACAACCAGGAGCUUCCAAGAGUUUUAUUGAUGAAUGCAAAACUUUGAAAAGUAUAAGGCACCGUAAUCUCCUCAAGAUCAUAACUGCAUGCUCAAGCAUUGACAAUCAAGGUAAUGACUUCAAAAGUCUAGUUUUUGAGUUCAUGGAAAAUGGAAGUCUAGAUCCGUGGAUUCAUCCCAAAGGUGAUGAGCAAUCUCAAACAAAGAGAAAAUUGAGCCUUACCGAAAGACUAGAUAUUGCAAUUGAUGUUGCUUCUGCAUUAGAUUAUCUACACUACCAAUGUGAAACGCCUAUUGUUCACUGUGAUCUAAAGCCAAGCAAUGUGCUUCUUGAUGAAGACAUGGUAGCCCAUGUUGGUGACUUUGGAUUAGCAAGGUUCCUUUUGGAAGCUUCAAAUUCGAACAAUCUUGCCGCAAGUCAAACAAUGUCAGCAGGUCUAAAGGGUUCCAUAGGCUACAUUCCUCCAGGUAUGAGUUUCUAUCAUUUUCUUUAUUGAGCCAACUCUGAAACAAGAACUAAAUCCAAAAGGUCAUUUGACCAUGGCAUUCUUUUGUGUAUUCAUUGGCAGAGUAUGGCAUGGCAGGCCAAGUUUCUAUACUUGGAGAUACUUAUAGCUACGGGAUACUGCUACUAGAAAUGUUCACAGGAAAAAGCCCUACUGAUGAUGUGUUUAUAGAUGGUCAAAGCAUUCACCGUUUCACAGCCAUGGCGUUGCCAGACCAUGUCAUGGACGUUGUUGACCGUUCAUUGCUCCUUGAAAUAUAUGAUCCGGAUGCUGAUGAUGAAGAAUACAACAAUGAAAUACAAGAAGGACCAAUUACAAAAUAUCAAGAUCGGAGCUCAGCCCAAGCGAAAAGAUUAGAGGAGUGCUUGGUUUCUGUGAUGGAAAUAGGGCUCGCAUGCUCUUCAAUAUCGCCCGCAGAGCGGAUGCCAAUGAAUGUUGUUGUUAACAAACUGAAGUCAAUUAGAGAAUCAUACCUCAAUCGAAGACGAACACGCUACUGAUGCUCAAGCAAGUAUGUUGCCUAAUUUAAACAUGUAUCCCCAUAUAUCAGCAAGCUAGUAUUCCACCGUUCGUUAUACGUCAGCUCUAAUUUUCUUUCGAUAUGUCUUUUAAUUUAAAACCAAUCUGCUUCGCAUUAGAAGGCAUUGCUCUCGUGUGUUUUUUUGUUUCUUCUCUUGCUUUGUACAUUACACGUUUAUAUAUUCAGUUCAAGCAGACGAUGUGAGCUUCUGAAUUUUUAUGUCUAUCUUUUGUAAACAUAUUCGUUAGUUGGUCCCAAGCUCGAUCUUCCUUCGCCACUGAAUAUAUCGCUUGUUAACUUUCUGUAAACCUCAAAAUCAGUUACAACUUUCCAUUCAAAAUUGCUUCUUUCGGUAUUGAAUUCCCGAAUAUUUGAGACAUUUGGAUUAUGAUGGUAGAGUCUAGCCCAUACUAUUUAUUCAAGAUUUAGAAAUUUAGAGUCUGUUUGGUAUUCUACUUGAAUCCAACUUUUAAACUCAAAAAUAAUUUUCAAGUUUUAUGCCUUAAAAACUUGUUUGGUAGGACUAUUUUCAAAAACUGAACUCAAGACUAACUUAAAAAUAUAGUCUAUUAUCUAAAAACAUAAAAAGUGAGUUUUUAGAGUUUUUAAACUUAAACUCACUCAUUUCUUUUCUCUCUCUUCUCCCCUCUCACUCCAAAUCUAUCUCUCUUUUCUUCUUCUCUUUAUUUUUUUUACACAUUUUUCGUCUCUCAUCCAAUCUGCUCUCUUCAUUCUCUCGGUUCUUUCUCUCACUUAUCUUCCUCUCUAUCUCGUCUGAUCCUCUCUCUUCUUUCUCUUUCCUUCAAUUAUCCCUUCCUUUCUUUCCUCCUCUUCUUAGACCUUUUUGUCUAGUUUAAGUCAUAAGAUUUAAAAAAUUUAAAUCGCAAACCAAUCAAAUUUUUAAGUCUUAAAAAAAGUUGUUUUCAAGAAAUGUUCUUAAGAAAUGUUUUGAGAAAUGAUAAAAAAUUUCAAAUAGAAUACCAAACAGGCCCUUAGUCACUCGAAGCCCCUCGAGCGUGAAACCCUGUCUAGAACUCCAAAGAAAUGCGCAAAUUCUUUAUUACUAUGCUUAUUUCAUUUCUUGCACGCACCCUUGUUUUCUCCUUCAAUAAAGUUCUCUGUAACUUACGUCACAUUCAUUUCAUGUUUUGAUACGACCUAGUAUCUACUAAUGGGAACGAUUAUAUGACAGAUUGUCUAACAAAGAUACUUAUGCUAUGUUUAAUCAUAUUUAUUCUUGCACGCACCCUCUUUGGAUAUGCGUUUUUUAGGCAUGUAGUAGUUUUGAUAUAUAUUUUUCUAAAAUUGUCAAAAAUAACUCAUAGAGUUACGAAUUCUCACAUCAUUGACCUUCCACCGCCAAGUUAUACUUUAUUAUUUGGGUGUAGUAUUGAAAUUUCUCAUCUUUUGCACCAAUGGACGUCGUACUAUGUUGAAUAAUAAAUCUCAUUUGAUUGAUGAUAGUUAAUUUUUUGUGUUAGAUGGAUGGAGGGGUCAUCGGUGUAAUAGCCUAUAACUUUAAAAAAAUAUUUUUGGUUUGUCAAAAAAAAAAAUCUUAAAAGGAUGUCACGUGCUAUACAUACGUUGGAAGUUAAAUUGUAGAGAAAAUAAAAAGAUAUUGACUGAGAGGAUUGAUUGAAAUUUCUGAAAAAGACAAAGUGGGAACCAAUCAACCCCUCACUCGACAUAUUUCAUAUUUUUCUUUUUAGGUCAUAUCAAAACCUUACACUUAAAAAUAAAGAAAACCAAAGUUUAAUUGAACCCUUUUCUUAUUUCCUUUGCUGGAGGGGGUUGAUUUGGGCAUACCAUUUUCUCCGUAACAAACACGUGCUAGCAAGCUAGUAGUGGGCUUUAUCAAGAUUUCAUAUCUAAUGGGUUUUGUGUAUUAUAGGCCCAAAAGGCUCUUCUAGCCAUCUAAAGUAGGUUUUUAAGCCAAAAUUCUCCCUGAGAUUUACAUAAUUCCUCAUUUUCGUUCUUGAGAUUUGAAAUCAAUAGAAUUGGUCUCUGAGUUUGUCCAUCAUCAAUCAUAUUGGUCCUUCAUUGAAAAAUCUUCAUUAAAUAAGAAUGGAAUGAUCGAAAUACUCUUAAUUUUUAUCAAAUCAUUUUGGCAUUGUUUAUUAAAUUGAGGGUAUAUUUGUUAUUUUGAUCCUUAUUUAAUAUAAUUUUGCACGAAAUAACCAAAAUGAUUGAUGGUGAACAAUCUCAUGAACCACUUAUAUUGAUUUCAAAUCUCAGGGGCCAAACGUAUUAUGUCAAUCUCAUAGAUCAUUUUGGCUAAAAAGCCAAAGAAAAUUAUAGGCACUUUCUCACGAAGUUUUCUUUAGUGUACAUCAAAAGUGCAAAUUUAUGUUGCACAUGUGAGCAACUAAAUUGUUUGAUCUAAUUAAAUUUAACGACUCUUAUUUAUAUAUAUAAUUUAGAUGCGCACUUUUCAUGUGCGAGAAAAUUCAACUUUCUGGCUUGAUUGAGUAAUUGACUGGGGAAAGUUGCCUUAACUGGAGGCAAAGAAUGCAAGUGAACGUGUCUAAAAUCCGAUCCAAAAGUCAUUCAGUACUACGGUCUGGUGGUAUUUCUCUUCACUUGGAAGUGAGAGGUCUUAAGUUUGAAUCUCGUGGAUGGCGAACUCGAUACCAAAUUAGGCUACCUAUUGUGUGACUUAACCGAAUUCUUCAUCUCCUUAGUAUAAAAAUAUUGACGUACUAAAAAAGUAAAAAAAAUUCCGACCCAAAAAUCAAAUAAUAUUUUCAGCCAACCCAACCCAACCCAAGACCAGGUCCAGCUAACUAGUAUUUUCAUUUUCCUCGGGUCGAUGACAACCCGGUAGCCCAGGCGGAAACCAAGGCCUAUGGCCCAUUUACCAUGAAAUUUUGCAAAGUUUUUAACAUUUAUAAAUUACCAAUAAAUGACCAUCAGCUGGGUCACGGACUCACGUGACACAAUAACUGUCCAAAGAGUAACUCCACUACAACUAUUUUUAAAUAAAUAAAUUUCCAAAAUUUUAUGUGAUCAAGUGAAGACUUGUAGACUUCACUUGUACCCAUGAGGGGUAAGCGAUGAGUUUUGGGGUUUUCUUCUUUAUCAAGGACAUUUAAAUAUUGCGAGGCCGAGAUAUCUCAAAAAUAUUAAAUAAUAAUAACUGUUUAUGAGAAGAUGGAGGGUACUCAAAAUAGACUGAACUAGAAGGACGAGAGAGGCUCAUGUUGGCCAAGUCAAUAGCAACAAAAUCCAUCUCACAAUAAGUACACGCCUAAUAUUAUAUGGUAAAUUACAUAAAAUUACCUCAACUAUUGGGUCACAAUUUCAUCCCCCUUCUUUAAAAAAUUUCAAUGUCAUACCUUAUCUUCGAAUUUGUUGCAAUGUCAUAUCUUCCGUCAGUUGUCUAUCAAUUCCUCUGUUAAAUGCUGACGUGGUUUGAGGCGGGGCUCAAUUUCUAUUAAAAAAUAAUAAUUUACCCUUAAAAAAAAACAAAAAAAACCAAACACCCAUCUUCCCUGACCCCUUCCCUUUCCCUGCAACCCAAAUGCAAAACCCAUAUCCCUUCCCCUUCCCUUUCCCUGCAAUCCCCGACCUCUUCCCCACACCCACAUCAACAUUUCCCCCCCCCCAGACCCACCUCCUAUUUCUCUGCCGCCCACCCCUCUCCCCAAAAUGGACCGACCCAGAUUCGUAAUCGAAGCCUCCCAUGCCGAAUCAAUGGCCAAGCAGUCCAACCUCACCGUCUUCCAGCUUUUCCCCUCUUUCGUCAAGUCCGCCCAGGCCCUCACUCGCCCCCCAUCUCCAAAUUCCACGUAGAAGCCUUCGGGUAUGAUUCAUCAGGUCGGAUCUUCCUCGGCAUCAACCUCGAGUUCUCGAGUCUCCCCCUCCACUACUCGGUCCACGUCGAGCAGUUCCUCGUCACCAACCUCUCAAUCCAAUUGAAAGAGGUGGGUCUGGGGGGGAGACGUUGGCGUGGGUAGGGAAGGGGUCGGGGGUUGCAGGGAAGGGGAAGGGGAAGAGGAAGGGAUCUGGGUUUUGGAUUUGGGUUGCAGGGAAAGGGAAGGGGUCGGGGAAGAUGGGUGUUUGGGUUUUUUUUUUUAAAGGGUAAAUUAUUAUUUUUUUAUUAUUUUAUUAUUUUAUUAAUAGAAAGUAGGCCCCGCCUCAAGCCACGUCAACAUUUAACAGAGAAAUUGACAGAAAAUUGUCGGAAGAUAUGACAUUACAACAAAUUCAAAGAUAAGGUAUGACAUUUAAAUUUUUAAAGAAGGGGUAUGAAACUGUGACUGACUUAAUAAUUUGGGUAAUUUUAUGUAAUUGACCCAAUAUUACCUGUGACGUUAUUUUGUAAUUUUCCUUUUGUCGGGUUAUUAUCCCAUUUACUUAUAAAAAAAAUAUUGAUCGAUGGUAAGUCUUGUAUUUGUUAAGUAAAAGUUAUCAUUUAUCCAUGUUAUUAUUCUAACAAGUUACUUUUUAUAGAUCGAGAGACGUAAUCUGAGCUUAGGAUCUUUCUCAAUAUCAUAAAAAGAAGUACCACUAAAAUAAGAGCUACUUGAUGUUUUAACAACCUUCAACAUCGAAAGAGAGAAUCGAACUUGCUAUCAAAGUUAAGCAAUAUGGAUCUAGAUUUGCUACUUAGCAUAGCUUAGAGGGUGUUGGAUAGAGGAAUUAGCUUCUCACGACUAAUUACAUAAUACUAGCGCCAACUUGCAUUUACCUAUAUAUAAGAUAGCAAGUGUAGAGUUUUAUCACAAACUGUCUCGGUACAAUGCACAAUAUAAUAAAGAUCUUCAUCAACAGGGCGACAAGACCAUUGGCACAUUACGGUUUCUUUCAACUAUCAAGUAAUACCUCCCAAUCACUGUCAAAUUUUGCAACCAAGGCUUAUCAUGUCUUUCUAUCAACCAGCAAGUAACUGAAAAAUCCACAAUUUUUGUCAUAUGAAAGUUGGAUUAAUGCAAUGAGUCGAACGACGUACUAAUCUCUCAAUGGUAAAAUAUUCAAUCCAACACUUGAUAGGCAUUAGACAUUUUCCUUUUUUGUUACAACAAUCAGACAGAGUCGACUGUGAUCUACUCUACCUUUGAUUCAUCAGCCACAAAUAUUCACAAGGCUCCUCUAAAGAAUGCAAACCUAAUGACGUGUUUAUGAAACCGGAAUGGAAUAGGAAGAAACUGAAUUGCACUUUUUGAAGCAUUCAUGCGCUUACCAACAUUUUAGUAACAAAUAAAAAAAGGUGGGAUCCACUCAAAAUCAAGAAUUGAAUUCCUAAAUCUCUUAGAAUUCGAUCGCCUUCAAGGAGGUGGUAUCCGGAUUCCAAAGAGAAGCCUCUUUUAGGAAUCCAAAUUUUCUACCUGAACUAUCCCUGCAACUUCUACCUUUCAGUCGAGUCAGCCGACUCCCUUGAACAUUCACCAGCUCAAUCUCAUCCAUCAUCGAUGGGUUUCAAAGCUGAAGUUUGUGAAGCAUAGGUUGUUGUUAGCAAAAAUUAGAUUUAGAACUUGUUUGGUGCACAUCUAGCGAAGACCAGAUAUAAAACUCGUUCAAUGUGCAUCCAGCAUUCCAAAUUCAACCAAAAUGUUUAAAUUAUUAGUAAUGAUAGAUGAGUGAAAGUUACUAGUUACUGGUUCAGCUUAAACCUAUUUAGGCACACCAACGUAACGUUUGCCACUUUUUUAGUGCUUACCAUUUGACACUAAAACAAUUUAAGGGUUGAGAUUGUCCGAUCUGAAAAAGCAGUCAUCACGGAGUAUAUGAUGCUCAAACAGUUAAAAAACAGUUGGUUGGGGUUGCAAAGCAAGAUUCGAUUCAAUUCAACCCAAAUUACCGAUGACGUGUCCCCAAGCUACACGUGGCAACAGAUCCGAUCCUUUAUCUCCCUACGGGGACCACACCGCUAUAUAUACCACUAGAACUGGAGUGCUCAUUAGAUAAAAAGUGACAGAGACCCCCACUAGCAAACAAUCCAAUACUCUCUCUCUCUCUGGAAAUCCAGAAAGCAACAAACUUUGAAGGCAACUCGGGAGGGUUGAUUCAGUGAGUCAGUGACCGAGUCAUGAGGACCCUGUCGAGUCCGAGUUCGAGGGUGGCGGCAGAGAAGAAGUGGGUCGGCGGAGAAAAUGUCUUUCUCCACAAGCUUGAACCUUGCUUCCUCAGGCCAAAGAGAAGCAGCGAGAAUUUCCGGUUCUUGAAUUUGGUGUGUUUUCUGAAACAGAGCAAGCCCAUCAGACCAGUCAUUUGCCUCUCGUCAAAAACCCAGGUGGAAUCUUUUUUUCGAUUUUCUGAAAACUUUUCGUAAUUGUUAUUUCAUUUCUUUGUUUUUUGAAAUUUUGAUGAAAUUCCCAUUUUUGUUUUCUCUGUUUUAAAAAUUUCUAGAAUAUGAUGUUGUUCUUGCUUUUUUGUGAUCAUUCUUUUCUUUGGGUUGCCAAGAAAGUUUGGAAUCGUGCUUUUUUGGGUUGGGAAAGUUUGGAAUCUUGCUUUUUUGGGCUGGGGCUAGAUUCUUAUUUUUUGUUUUUGUUUUUUGUAUGUUUAUUUAUUAUGGAGUAGAUUAUUAAUUGGCAGCUUUAUGAUGCAUUGAUUAUAUAAUCAUUUUAUUUUUUUAAUUUAUUUUUAAUCUUGUUCUUGAAGCAUUUUGUAUCAGAGAAUCAAUCAUGCAGUGUAAUCGGAUGUACAAUAUAUACAUAUACAUAUAUAUAGGUAUCUAUGUAUAUGUAUAUUAUAAUGUAUAUGUGAAUAUAUAUGUGUAUGUAUAUAUAUUAUAUAUACACAAAGCAAAAUGAUUGUCUAAGAUUUAUGAUCAGUCUAAUAAUUUGUUUUCAUUCUUUGGGAAUGUUGCCAUUUAAAAUAUUUCUUUGAAGAAAUUGUUUCCAUAUCAGAGAGUGUGAAUGGUGAUUAAGUAAUUAGAGAAUACCUUGCACUGAGAUAAUCAAUCUGAUUUCUGAGCACUCUCUUUGCAGACAGAAUUGGAGGUUGCAGAUUCUCAAAUGCAGGAAGCAUGUAAGUUCUUGCCUUUUCUUUUAAAAUAAUAUAUAUAUAUAUAUAUAUAUAUGUGUGUGUGUGUGUGUGUGUGUGUGUAUUUAUGUAUGUAUAUAUGAGCAUAUUAAUCUUACUGACAAUGCCAUGUUGUGCAGAUCAUACAAAAACUAUCCAUGUGAAAUUCCAGUUGCAGAAAGAGUGCUCGUUCGGUCAGGAGUUCCUCAUUGUGGGGGAUGAUCCUAUGUUCGGUUUGUGGGAUCCUGCAAGCGCAAUACCGAUGAACUGGUCAGAUGGGAAUGUGUGGACUGUUGAGAUGGUGAGUGAAAUCUACUAACAAGUGCAAUUUUUUUGUUAGGUGAAUACCGGAUUUGUAGUUUAAUGUAAGUCUUUGUGUUUGAUUAGGAUAUACCAGUUGGGAAAUCGAUUCAGUUCAAGUUCAUACUAAAAGAAAGCACAGGGAAUAUCUCGUGGCAGCCUGGCCCUGAUCGGAUUUUCCAGACCUGGGAAACUAAGAAUGCGAUCACUGUUUGUGAAGACUGGGCAGAUGCUGAGCUUCAGAAAAUAAUAGAGGAAGAUCAUGUUUCAGAUGAAGGCGAUGGUUCCAAUGUUAAUGCAGAUAUGUUGAUUGUGGAUGAGAACCUGACACAGCCGAAUGAUGAACUGGCCUUCAAUAUAACCAAUGAACCUACGAUCACCAGUAGUAACACUGAUCCGGCAGAGAAGCCAUUAGUGGAACCAUGGAAGGAACAAAUUGGUGCCAGAAAUGGUUCUCCUUCACAAGAGAAUGUGACCCCUAAAUGGCCAAAUGCAUACGUGGAACCAUAUGAGGAACAAUUUGCUGCAAGAGCUGCAGUGCUUAAUGAAGAGAGAGUUAUUUUUCCGAGUGAGGAUUGUGCAGCCAUCUCAAGUAAGGAGUUGUUGGUGGCAGACAACAUUUUCGGAAAUAAUGGUGGAGCUGCAACAGUUGAACCUUUCAAGCACUCAAAUCGGGGGAAGUCUAAUUAACUACGAAGAAGGUCCUGUUCUGGUACCUGGGCUGACUCCUUCACCAGCUGUUCCAACUGAAGAAGUGAACAAAGAGGGCAUCGACAAACAGAUGUCUUUUGAUGGUUCGGUUGGAGCCUUUGAAGCUAAGGAUCGUAAUAUGCCAGAGGUAACUGCUUGAUGAGAGUGACGUAUCUUUUAUCUUUUUCUGUUUCUUCUUGUACUGCAUUUACCUCAUCCCUGAAAUAACAAUCCAUUCCUUUUCCGUAAAACUGCAAGUUGUCCAGGGCUAUAGGAGAGAUUCUUUACUACUAGCUAGUUUUUGGUUUCAUCUUGUAUGUUGUUGGAAUCUAUGUUUUCCUUGAAGAGAAGUUCAUGAUGAUGAUGUAUGGCAAGGCAAUUAUUUAAUUUCAUCGAAAUUGAGCAAUUGUCCAUAAAUUCUCAUGAAGAAAAGUUCAUGUUUUUAUCUUACAAUCAUUAACCAACAAAGUAGACCAUCUUCGCACAAUAUCAUUGCAGUGUAAUUAACGUUGUAAAUAUAAAUCCCGGGCCAAGUAUUCUCCUAUUGCAAAUCGAAACUGCGCUGUCUGAUUCAAAUUGAAACUAUUAACACUCUGGAAUAUGACACCGAAUUCUCUAUCAAGCAUUUCGUUUAUAUAUUUUGUUUCUGCUGGCAAUUCAUGAGCAUUUCCAUAUGGUCAACUAUUCAUAUGUAGAGGGACCCUAUUCCUAAAAACAUAUGAAAGAGUUCAUAUAAUCAUAAUUAUGAUCAAAGUUAGACUGCCGAUGCGUAAGGCGAUGUAUUGUUGCCGAACAGCAGUAUUUGAUAUAGAUGUUCUUCUCCCUUGAUUAUGCUAUUAUUGAUGUUCUCCUUUCUGUUAUCUUUUCAUGCCCUCAAACAAAUGGUUUCAGCUAGAAGUGAAGCAAGAACAGUACAGUGACCUACCUCAAGAAGUAACAAAUGUAAUGAUCAACGCUAAUGGGGGGAAUUUUGACGAUGAAAUCAAGCAAACGCCUCACCCUGCAAAUAAGGAAGAACAGUUCCACUCAGAGCCAGUCAAUGAUAAGGUCUUGUGCAGUGACCAACCUCAAGUGGAAACAGCUGCCGCAAUCAAUGAUAACGAAGAGAAUUCUGCUAAAAAGGAGGAACAGUCCGACUCAGAGCCAAUCAACGAGGUCUUUCAGAAUGAUGUGCAAUGGGGUCGUAAGAUGCUGCAGAACCUUCUGUCUAACUUCAGAUUGCUAUAGCAUGCACAUUGCCGAUAACCUGGGAAGAAAUUUAGGGAAUUCAUUUGAGCCCGUAACUCUCCUGCUUUGUUGCUGAUGUUUUCUGGUAGCCUACAAAGAGUAGAGAGAGGCAAUCUUAUAAGCAAACUGUUAUAUGUGCAUAUGAUAUGAACAUAGUUGCUGAGAGAGUAUUGCCACUUUCCUGUGCUGUAAGAGUACUCAGGUUUUUGUUUCUUUUAGUUUGUCAUGUAAAUAUUUGUACCGGAUACAAAGUUCUGUAAAGCUUCCUCACAAUGCUGAUUUUGGUAAGGAUUUGGUACCUUCUUAGAUUCGAAUAUCAUGAAUGGCAGAUUCAAUACCACAUUAAGUUGUCCAUUGUGUGAUUUAACCGAACUUUCCCCUCCAUUAGUGUAAAAAUAUCGACGUACUCCAAAAAAAAAAAAAAAAAAAAACCUCUUUUUCCAACCAUCAAUAUUCCUAAACUGUUAGUGAAUCAAUUUAAAUAAUUUCCAAAAAUUUAAAAUUAGAACUGAAAAUAAAAAAACCACCCCAACCAACUACUCACUCAACUCCAACACCACCCAACACCUUCUGCUUAUGACGGCCUUGACGUAUCAUUUUUCCCGUGUGGACUUUCUACGUAGGAUUGUAAAGGGUGAGUUUUCUGAAAUGGAUGGCUGAGCUCUUUUCUUUUCUUCUUAUUUUUUAUUUUAAUUUUUCAGUUGACAACUUCUUCCAAUUUGAAGAAAGCCAUGUGUUCUCUUUGCGUUUUUAAUUUUUCUUUUUCUUUUUCUUUUUCACCAUAUCCUAACAUAUUUUUGGGGCAAAUGACUCCCACUUUUCUUUUCUUUUUCUUCACCCCUCGUUCAUUUCUAACACCUGGAUUGGAUAAAUCAACAGAAAAUCGAAUAAUAGAAGUGAAACAUAUGGGGUGUGCGAAAAUCAUUUCCAGACUCAAAAAUAAGGUCGAUAUUUAAUUUACUUCUCCAGCGAUCAGGGACAGAGCUAGAGCUUCUUACAUACUCGGAAUCUGUUUGUAUCUAUACAGCCCGAUUACAAAGAUAAAAAGAUUUUAAAAGGAAGCAAACACAAUGCCAUUAUUUAUCGACUUUGACGGGAUAACAAAUUUGUUACACGUCUAGGGAACAAGAUGGGUCUCAAAUUUCAGUUUCCAUGCUCAAAAUCUUAUGAUCAACCACAUUUACGUAAAAUAUUUGGAGGAAGAAAAUGUGUGUUGUAUUCGAAUAUGGCAAUCCCCAACCUCAAGAUUCACGACGAUGUAUGCAAGCAAGAAAAGAUGGAGCAAGAUGAAAAGAAAUAUAGCCCACCUUUCCACCAACAAAACUUACACAUACGCCUCAAGAAAUAUAGCCCUGGCAAUAUUGAAACCAGCAUUCCGAAAGGGGAAAAGAUAUUCUGAAUGUACAAGAUGCCAGAGUCGUGCGCCUCAAAACGCCAAUCUUUUCAAUUUUACUUGUUCCCUUGUUUUCCAAAUCUUCAAGCUAGUGCUAAAAUUGGGAGGCUGGGAAGAGAUGGAGGCACUGAACCUCUUCGAGACCUCCGUUUCGUUUGUGAGGAGAGGAAGAAUGUGCUAGCAGGAGCCUUGAUUGAAACGACUUCGGUCUCAAAGUUUGUCUGUAACCCCAUUCUUCUGUUGCCGUGAAAAUGAUAAACUUCGUGAACCAUGCAGUAUUUCUUCCUUGGAUCGUUUUGCAACAGACUCUAUCAAUCUGCAAAAGGACGGUGGUAAUGAAAAAUUUUGGGGUACAAGGAUUUGUGAAAUAAGAGCAAUGAACUCAUAGAUCGUUUUAUUAUUCAACAAAGUUCCAUGAGAAUAUCGGGGCCUUUUAUUCUAGAUCCCAGGCAGUGUCUGACCAUCAUCUUGUCCUAUUCAUCAAUCUUACAGAUACACAAUUUGCGUAUAGGCUAGAAGUUUGCUUUGUUUGCCUUCUAGCUUACAGCAGCGGCAAGCGGGGAAAAAAAACAACCUCAUUGAAUGCUUCAUAAUGGACCAUGAAGACAUCCAAUAAACAAGCAGAAAGAAGCAGCCAAAAAUCAACAUUAACCAUAACUUGGCCGUACUCUGUCCAGCCAAGAACCCUUGAGGAUUCCAGAAUUAGCCCAGAAAAUAACAAAGGAACUCAGUUUCGGACAUGUCUCGACUCAAACAGGGUGAAAAGAAGCGUAAUGUUACCUUGGGGAACUGGCACGCUUUAGAACUUGCUGACUCACCGUAAAAGUACUCCCCGGUUCAACUUCAACAGCCUGUAUAUUUCGCAUUGAAAACACAGGAAUUUAAUCAGGAAAUUCAACAUAGUCAAAAAGUUUACACGCUAGAUUGAGGUCUCCUGUUUUCUAUUCCUCCAGAAAAGGAAGAAACUUUGGGUUCAGAAGCUUCCCUUUCACAGGAGGAAAAAGGAGAUGGUUUCCACAAUGCACAAGUUAGAUCCGGCACAAACAUUGGGAAGAAAAAUGAAUCUGUGAGAAGUUUAAAACGAGUCUAUGUGAAGUUUAACAUUCAACUAGAAGUGAUAAUGGUGAUGAGGAUGUCUAAAAACCUAUCGAUUGAGGUACGGAAUAAUUGUUCAUUCAAACCAAAAAGAGAAAAGAACAUAGCUAAAUCACGCACAUUGGAAUACUUGGAUAACGGGUAGAAAUGAGGGACUGACAACCAAGCCCAUACCUUUCAAAACAGGAAUUGAUGGAGCCAAUAAGGCAGCAGUAGCAGACAUUGAAGCCAGCUCAAUCCGCUUUCAGUGUUUUAGCCAUCACAUCUUUGUCAGAUGCAAAAUUCAAAAUGGGAGUGGUUCUCCUUUCAGUGUCUUGCCCACAUACCCUUUAUCCAAGCAUCACCUAUGUUUUUAAACAUUGAAAAUCAAAUCAACUAAUGAAAGCAUCAUCAAUUAUCCCCACCUCAGAAGUGCUUUCUGUAGGCAAUCCAUCCCUUAGUAGCUCAGCUGAUCCUGGACCAACCAUGUCCAAUAGAAAUCCGUUUUCGUUUCCUUUAUCUAAAUCUCUGUCCACGACACCAGUAUGAGGUGCAAGAUAUGCAGCAUAUUUAUCUGCCAUCCCACACACGAAAUAUAUUCAGCACAUGCGAACAAAUACAUCUCAAAAUAUUGCAAGGAAAAAAGAAACUUGUGGUUUUAAGAAUAACAUUACCAGCCAAGCUGUGAAGGGCAUUCUCAGCAGCCUGUUGUUGAGCAUCCUUCCUCGUCCUACCCGUUCCAAAACCUAUCUUCUCUCCAGUGAAAAGAACCUUUAAAACAAAGUUAACAAUUAGCACAUUAGAGUCCAAAACUGAUAAAAGAUCGCUCCUCAAAUCAAAAUUAAAACAUAAAUACAAAAUGUAUAAACAAACAAAUUGAGAAGGAAGCAAAGUCUUGAAUUUUUCUCCAAGUUUUCUCUUUUCGUUCUACCAAACUAAAAAACAUUUUUUUUAUGACUCCGUAUUAUUGAUUUGACAUUUUUUUUCUGACUCUGUAUUAUUGAUUUGUUCUGCUUAAGAAAGAAAUAUGACAAAUCAGGGUCAGCUUAUGUUAGGAAACACCACACCCUAAGACAACAUUUUAGUUUUACAAUAUCUAUUGUUUAUAUAACUAAAUCAUUUCACAACAACUUCAUGCAUUUAACGCAUGUAAAUAAUAAGUACAACAGCCGUGAUGUAAAUAAGUGGUAAAAACUACCAAAGUACAAAGGGAAAAAAAGUAUAGAAGGAAAGUUCACUGACCUCAACAGAAAACUGCAAAUCGUUGCUGGUGCUUAAAACAGACCUGAACUCAAUCUGAGCAACGGGCAACAUCAUGAUAAACUCCGUUAGGAAAAAUAAGAAGAGAGAAGAGAGAGAUAGGACGGAAUGGGGCACUGCGUUGGGGAGAUAAAACUAAAGCUAUUUGUACCUUUGAACUGCACCUCCGUCCAAUUUCCUGCAGCACUCCAAUAGAUAAAGGGGAUGGCAGCAGGGUCACUUUACCAGAUUCUAUUUGAGAUUCUCUAUUCAAAGAAGAUGCUUGAUUCUGGGAUACACCAGCCUCUGCACGAAAAAACUAGGUUAUAAAACGAUAGGUAUCACUCAUAAAAAGAACCAUAUACUAUUAAUCCUAAAGGAAGAUUAUAACUUAAAACCAAACAAAGGCGAAUGAUAAUCCUAUUCCCAUCCUCCAAGUUGUGAGGUUGGAUAACAGGCUAAAAUUAAAACGAAAGGAGAGAAAGAUAAAGAUGAGAGGAAGGCUCAUUAGGCACAAAGCAUAAAAUUUUCAGUCUCAAAACCGACACAACAAUAAUCUAUACUAAAAUGGAAGGACAGUAGCCUCGGACUCUCGAUUUCUUCUUAAUAUCUCAAAAACAUUCCUCAUAUAAACUUCAAAAUUAAAAAGUAUAAUGAUGAUUAGGCAGCAAGCAUUUCAGAAAAGAAAACCUUUCAAACCGCUUGAGAGAACAAGGACACAUCAAAAGGAAACUUAACAAUCUAUAUCUAAGAUUUUCCAAGGUCCAAGGAACAUCAACGUCUCGCAUCUAUGUUUAAAAUUUGUAAAUAUAUGGAUUAAUGCAUUGACCACUCAAAUCCAACACAUCAUUCAAUGGAUCUUACAAAUCCAUAUGAUGCUUUCCAUUUGUUUGACAAUCUCUUCUCAGGUUACUUAACUUGUGCAUGAAAAAGAGGACAUAAGAAGACUCAUUUGCACAGAGUGUACCAUGAUACUUUGACUGCAAGCUAUAGUGUUAUUCUAUAAUAUCAUCAAGGUGACAUGACCCAAAAUACAAUACAAAGCUCAGCAACCUACUAUUCAAAAGAUGAUGGCUAGGAAGUGAAAGAUACAUUCUAAUGAAAUCAUCCAAUUCAUUCCAGUUCGACAUGUAGGUUUCUAUACCAGGCGAUAAAGUAAAUUACCUGAAGGCUGACUUGGAAAAGGAAGAUUCUGUUUUUGCAAAUCACGCCCAGAAGAUACCUGCAAAUAGAGAAAAUUUUAAUCACUGAGACAUUUCUGGAAUUCUUAUAGUAACACCUUAAUUCAAAUUGUCAAAACAAGUGACUCCGAAAGAAAUUUAACAAAUUCUGGACAUACCUCUUCCCUCUUCAAAUCGGAUUUGUGUGAGAGCAAACCAGUGGGUGUAGAACCUGGUGUGGCAGGACCGAAAGGAUUCUGGUAAACUGACUUUUCAGGUUUUGAAACACCAGGCUGUUGAACAAGCUCAGAAGUGUGAUUACUCGAAUGUCCUCUGUUGUUGUCAUCAUCAACCAACCAUCCUCCUUGUGCAUUUAUUGAGGAUGCUGGCAGUUGUCCAGGCACUUUAGAUAAAAGAGGGGGCUCAGCAGAGCUUUGACUCCUUAUAUCUAGACCAGGAUUUGUACCAAGGAGUCCUCUCCUCAUCUCAUGGUCACGAUCAGAAAAGCUAUCACGUCUAACAGGAAGUCCAAGCAGACCAGGUUUCUGAGAAGGUAUGACCGGCCUCAAAGAUGUCGUACCAGCAGCAUUGGGAAGAAUUGCAGCCAGUGCUUGAGAGUUGUCAGAUCUUGACUCAGCAUGAUUUUUCACAGAAUGAACCACCGACUCCACACCACCCUUAUCAUCAGAUAGGUUUAAUCUUCGUUCCACUUCGACACCAUUCAUUCCUUCACUAAUGGGAGCAUUAGCAUUUCCAUUUGGUGCAAAACCAGCAUCCUCGGACAUCAAGUAAUUGCUCACAUCAGGAGCAGGAGGCAAAUUUACCACCUCAUCUUCAUAAAAAACUCCAGAAAUUCUUCGCAACAAAAUUUCAUCAAACUCUUUGAAAAAACAACCUCUGACAUUGCAUGCAACAUUUCUUGCUACACAGAGGACUGGAACUGCACUAGCUGUCUCUGCUUGAGGAGCAUAAUAUGGGCUGAAAGCUGGAACAACAUGGACUCGAGGUUGAUCCUUAUCUUCCCAGACAUUGGAACGGUCAUCAAUAACCAUUGCCAUCUUUGGAUGGCACACUCCUUGUUGGAAGACAUUCAGUAAAGAUUUCUUGGAGCCUGAUUUAACACAAACAACACGGUCCAGAAGUUGCUUUGAGCCUAUUAAGUGUGACCCUGGGUCAAGAAGCCUCCACAUUUCUAAGGCAUAAUCUCUUUCAGCCAUAGUACAGACGUAAACUUCAAACCUCUUGCGUCCUUUUGCAGUUAAAUAACUUCUCAAAUCUUCCCAUGCAGGUCGUAACCGCACAAGCACACUGGUAUCACGAAUCUGCAUUAAACAACAAUAUUGUAUUGUAGUCUUUUGCACACUUGCAUGAGAAUAUGUAGCUAUAUUUGCAGCUACUAUGACGAGAUUGACUUAUCAGUUAUCACUCAUUCUACUUUUUUGUAAGAUGACAGUUGUUUUACUAAAUAACUUCUAAAAGCUCCCUGACUAAUCAAACUGCCACAUGAAUUUUGGAUAACUCAAGGGAACAUAUCGCACAGAUGGGUGAAUGUAUCAAUGGAUCUAAAAGUUAACAAACAUAUGUUGAUCAAAAAAGCACUGCAAUGUUUGGAAAACCUACCGAGGUUUAGCCAAAUGAAAAAAAAAAUCUAAAUUUCUGCAAACAACAUUAGGCUACACUCCUAGCAUGCAGCUAAAUUAUCUCUGCCUAAAGAACACACUACGUAGUUUUCAUAAAUUUUACAUUAGGAUGGUGUUGUUCUCAAGUCCUAGUAAUGAAUGAUAUUACAACAUAUUGUCUCAAUGCACUCAUUCAUUAUCUUCAAUAACAGCAUUUAGGGUAUUGAAUUCCUAUAAAACAAAAGGGAAACAAACAAAUAAAACAUACAGAAAAAAAAAAAACAUGACUAGAGGAUCACCUCGGGAUUGAUGCGAGUGAGCACAAUGUUCUUCUCUGGCAAUCUAAUGAUAGGCCGAAUCAUUUUUUCAUGGUUAUCAGACAGUGGAGGAACCUCCUCCAGUUGAACUUUAUACAACUUUCCAUUAUCCAUCACACAAUCGUUAUCUAUAUAUUGCUUCAACAGCCACCUCUCGUCCAUGUACCGCUUCAUUUCAGCAGACAUUCCAGCUAUUCGCACCCCAUCACUCUCCCGUCCAAUCCAACUUCGUAAAGCCUCGAUCCUAUCCUCAAAAGACUUCAUGGUGUUGGCAACAAUCAACGUCUCAUCGAGAUCAAACACAAUUGAGAGAACCCUCAGAUUCAGCAUUCCUAGAGAAGCACUGUACAGACCAACAGGAACCGCAUAGCACCAAAAGCACGGAAAUUUCUUCUGCUUACUCGGCAUGGCUACCAAGUGAAUCUCCUCAUCCCCUACCAACACAAUCGCCGUCUGCUUAAGACAAUGAAUCACCUUAUUAGUACACUCCGCCUAAUUAACUCGAAAAAAAAAACAAAAAAAAACAAAAUCUGGAUCACAUUCUUGAUUUAACCACGAUACUAACUGAGCUAACUUUACUAGGUCAGUUAACUAACCGUUAUCCAAUCAAAUUACCUCCAAAAACUUCAGAUUAAAAUUUAUGUGCUGCCGGUACAUUUUCUUGGGAGCCAAACAGAAAGCUCAAUCUAAACAAUCUAUAUAAACAAAUGCAAACAUCGAAAAAUGGAAGCAAUUGAGUGGGAACCUUGAACUCGUAGAAGCAAGAGGCGUGGAGAUUGAUCAAAUGCGGCUGUUCGACAGGGGAGGCCGAUUCGAGUUUGCAGCGAACAGAAAACGAGGAAAUCGUCUGGAGAAUUGAGAGCGGAGGACACCUCUCGCUUUGCUGCGAAAUCCGGUGGAUUCGAAUCUCAUUGUUCGGGAACCGGAAAUUCCCGUCCGUCACCGGAAUAGCGUCCAGCUCUCCCAAACGCAGCUCGCCAUGGUAGACUACGGACUUGAACCCUAAACGGCUCAUUAAUUUAGAUCAAAUUUGAGAGGGAAAGCGCGAAGAAUUUGAGGUCAAAUCGUAAAUGUUGAAAAGAUCAGGGGGGUUUCUGUGAAAAAUUGGGAAGUAAUUCUCCAGUUUUGCUAUCCGCUCCUCCUUUCUCUCUCACUCCUCUCAGACCUCUUCGCUCUCUCUCUCUCUCUCUCUCUCUCUCUCUCUCUCUGCCUUCGGUUUCAAACAAUGAGACUCGCCGGGUAUUUAUAUGCCCAAGGGGGCAGUUAUGUGUCCGAAAUUACCAUUAUAUCCAUUCAGCCCGGAAGUCCGUUGAUUUCGGAUGGCCGCCUCUGGACCGUUUGAUCAAAGGUAGGAUUUUGGACUUUUGCGCACCUUUAGUUUGUUUUUUUUUUCUUUAAUAAGGAGAGACAAUUGACACAAUUAUCUAUCAUUUUUUAGAGCCGGAAGACUCACAAAUGUAUUUCAGCAUUUUCUUAACCAGAGUCAAGUAGACUCACUAGUUUGGGUCUUGAACCCGAAAUCUCCUUGUCCUUUUAUAUUUUAAGAGCCGAAAUUCGCGCCCUUACAAUUAGAUCACUGUUGUGGUUUGCGAAUCUUUUAGUUCAAGAUGCAUAAAGUUAUAAGGUAUUAUAUUUUAAUUAUUUUUGGGUUUAAUUCUUUUUUAUAUUUUAUUUUUAAUCCAUGGGAAUAAUUUAAUCUUUAUCAGCUAAUCAACGGAAACCAGGCUGAAUUUUGUUGUUAAUUAACCGUGGUUUAAAAAUUUAAUCUUAGUAAUGUUGGACUAUUUGUAAUUUUAUAUGAGGUCCAUUGGGCUUUAUUUAAAUGGGCCACUAAAAAUUGCUUGCAGUAACUUGGCCCUCAAAAUCCAAUUAGAAAACCCAAAUAGCAUCUGACAACUCAAUUUAUUGAAUGGAAAAAACCAAAAAACCAAUUAUGCAACAGAAUGUUCAAAAGCUUUUAUUUCAUAAAUAAGAAGUUGUUAGCUUAGUUGGGCUAGUUUGGUAUUGUUGUAUUUUUUGAAAAAAAAAAACUGUUUCUGUUGUACGAUGAGAAUAAACAGUUGUAAAAUAAAGUUGUUGAGUGCUUGGUAAACUUUUUUUUUGUAAAAGUGCUUUUAACCAAAAAAAAUGUCCAAGUGUUUGAUAAACUUUUAUAUAAAUUAUUGUGAAUAUGUAAAAUGACUAAAAAUAAUAUGGAAUUUAAUGUGAUAUUAAUAAUUGUGACAAAGAAUAAUGCAGGGGCAAUCACUGUAAUUUUGUAAUAUAUGUGGAGAUAUAUUUGUCAUUUGAUAAUUCCAUUAAAUGAGCACUGAUUACUAUGCUUUGAAAAAAAAAAACACUUUUUUUCAGAAGCAUGAUAAAACCUGCCCUGAUUUUUUAUGAUUUUCUACUGUCACUUACAACAAUUUUUUAAAAAGUACUCUUUUUUUUUAUUUUACCAAACACAUUUUAUGUUCCAAAUCUGUUAAUAAGCUUCUUUUUUAAAAAGCACCACAAUCCAAAACCAACCCUUAACUAAAAACACCUCUUAUAUUUGAGGUUCUAAGUUCGAUUUCUCCUCCUUGCUAUUAUUUGUAUUAAUUUUUUUUGAGUUUUUAUAAAUAAAAAAAUAGUUCAACCUCUUCAAGCUAGCCCCUGCAAUUGAAAAUCGUUCAAUAUAUUCCUUGAAAAUGGGUGUCUCAAAUUAGAGUGGUUCUUCUGUCACAAUUCUGUCAAAGAUUUUAUUAUGUGUUGAUGUGGCACAUAAUCAGAUUUCAUAAGUCUAAUUAAAUAUUACUAUGUGAAAUUAAAAUAUUUAAAUAAAAAAGAUGUAUAAUUAGGCAACGCACGACACCACACUGAUAAGACAAACAUGGUUUAGCAUAAACCUAAAUCUCGAACGAAGGAUGUGAGGGUCGAAUCACGCAUGCGGAUUUCGCCCACUUAAUUCACUUAAUGGCGAACACUAAUCAAUCUAGAGAAAUGUUGAACAAAGAAAAAAUGUUCGUGAGAACUGUUGCCACAUAAGCCAAAAAUGAUGUACUUUGUCUUAAGUUACCCGACUGUAAAUUGGCUCGAAACAGUUUGAACUUGUACCGAUUUCUACUUGUGUUUGGCUCAUCGAAGCUCGACUCAUGAAAGAACCAAGCCAAGCAUAGUUCAGCUUGAUUAAAAAAUAAGUCAGACUUGAGCGUUAGUAUGUUUGCCUUGUAAAACUUGUGAACAACUCGAAAUUUUUCAUGAGACAGGUCAAGGUAAGCUUGAGCUUGGCUUGGUCAUUCAAGCUCGACAACUCUUGAGAAGUACGUAUCUAGAGUCCCAAGUCUAACUCAAUUAACAAAGGGGUGUGAUUUCCGUACACCCCAUUUUACUUCUCACAUAUUUUUUAAUUUCAACCGUCGGAUCAGAUGAAUUGAAGAAGAUUAACGAACAAAAAUUAUCAAGGGGUGUGUGAGAAGUAAAAUGGAAUGUGUGGAUAGCACACUCCUUAACAAAACAAAGAAUAGCCAUUUAAUAUUACGAUCUGGCUACGGUCUAAUGAUAUUCUUCUUCACUUGAAAUGAGAAAUCUUAGGUUCAAAUUUAUAGAAUUGUGAGUUCAAAACUAAUUUAUUCCACCCGCUUACCGUAAAUAUAUUGUUGUAAUAAGAAAACCUAGAAAUGAUACUUUGAUGGGGGUUCUUCCUCGUGGAACCAAGUACAAAUAGGACUUCAUGGUUGUCGCUCAAAGAAGCCCAAACCAUACAAGAAGAUAAGUAAAAAUCAGCAACCGCUUGCAUACUAUAAGCUUUGUUACUCAUUUUAUACUAACAAAUAAAAGGAAAAAUGUGAAGCAGCCAGAGGCGGAUCCACAUAGGGACCAGGGAGGUUCCAGGACCUCUCGACGAUCCUAAAAUGCUGCUAUAAUUUUUUCGGGGGACCCCUCGACGAGAACACAAGGUCUAUGCUGCAGGUUGCAAUAGAGAAGAAGACAGCGGGGUUGCGGGGGAGAAGAAAGAAAACAGGGUUUUUUAAAAAGUUGGUCCAAAACGUAGUGUUUUGGCCUUUUUUUUGUUGUUGUUAAAAGCUAAUGAGACAAAUGGUGCCGUUUGUCAAUUGUCCAUGAUUCCAUACGUCUAGCCCCACAUGGGCCAUCUUUCCAGAGAGUCCCUUUCCUUUUCCCGUUCCGUUCCUCUGCUUUUCCCCCCUAAUCCCCAUCUUUCUUAUAUUCACCCAAAACCCUAAAUUUCUAAUCCCACCCAAUCCCGUAUUAUAAUUAUUAAUUACAUUACUUCAAUAUCAUACCUCCACUUGUUUCAAUUCUCCAAGCCACCACUAUUUGGUUCAAAAUUCAAUUAAGUUUUUUGGUAUUCUAAUCUAAUCUCAAUUAAAUUAUAUUAGAUAUUGGUGGAGAUUUUUAGUCUAUUAUUGAUAUGAUUGUUGAUAUGUUUUAUGUUUGUAUACUCAUUUUAUAAUUGAAAUUUAGAUGGAAUUUUUGUUUAUUGGUUGAUUGGUAUUUGUUUUGUGUUUUUGGUUAAAUGUGUAGUUUAGAAAUAAGAAAUAUGGAACGAUUUUUCAAGCCAAAGCCAAUAGCACCAUUGACUUGUUCGGAUAGUUCGAGCAGACAAAAUGAGUGUGACAUUGAUUUUAAUAAUCUUGAGAGAGACCGGGAAAAAGAAUUUGAAUGAAGGACUAUCCUUCUAAUAUUCAAGAUGAGAUCCGAAAAGCAUAUUUGCAAAUGGGACCUUGUAGGCCUACAAAGUAUGACUUCCCAUACACUUUGAAUGAAAUGUAUUAUAUUUAACUUUUCAAUGUUAUUUUUAUUUAUAAAUUUUUUUGACCUCUAUUAUUGGGACCCCCCGAGUUUAAAAUCCUGGAUCCGCCACUGCAAGCAGCCGGGAACUUUAGCAACGUUCCAGCAAACAGUUGAACGAUACCGUGCAAAUGAUCAUCUCGGAAGUAUUUGUGUUUCAGGAUCGUCAAAGAUCAACGAGCUGGUGGAAGUUAUAUCAGGGUUUGCUGUUGAUUUCUUGCGUGACUGAGAUGAUGACGAUGUCUCCUCCAAUGAACUGGUACCGCCAAAUUUUCCAGGUGCAUGCAUCCUCGGCCUUGGUUUUGUUAGUGCCUUCUCAUGUUUCAAUCGGAAGAGGACGUUUAUUAACGAUUGAAAUGCAUAACAUCAUCAUUCAGCACCUGGGAAAUCAUAAGUACCUUCUCGUUUAGGUGGACCUCUUUGGAAAGCAUUUCCACAACUUGCGUCAUUGUUGGUCUCUGUUGCGCAGUGGCUUGAGUACAAAACAGCGCAACCUUGAUGAAGCGCAUAACCUCGGCCUCUGGAUAUGCAGUCAAUUCUGGAUCAACAAGUUCCAGGAGCCUUUCUUCUUCUCUUAGUUUCCAUACCUGAAAAAGCAUUUAUACGAUUGUCAAGGUACUCGGAAUAUACCUCUUGUAAGUAUGUUUUACAUUAAGAUGAAUGCACGCAGAACAUCCUGUUAACGACCAUUGCAUCAAAACAUGAAAAGGGUUUCUAUGAUUCAUUGCCUAAGAAUUUUGUACUUUGUCUGAGCACAAUGUAAAAAUUUAUACAUAACAGAAGCAUACCCAUUCGACGAGAACCAGCAGUUGCUCCCCAAAGGCUACCUUACUACUACUUCUGCCACUAAUUAUCUCAAGCAAGAGCACCCCAAAGCUGUACACAUCUGCUUUCUUCGUAAGUUGUCCCAAAAGCGCAUAUUCUGGGGCGAGAUAUCCCCUGCAGAAGCAGAACAUUAUUGUUGUUAGUGCACAAAACAUUAGUAGGAACAUCUAUAUUAUAUCAGUUGCUAAUGGCUAUUGGUUCCUACUCUCCUACGCAGUAUGCACUACAAGAUUAUUGACUAAAUUUCUGGCAGAUUAAGAGCAACUAUGUACUUCGUAAACCCUGAUACUGAAUUGAACUUGAAGUUAGUACUCGAUCAUAUUGGUUAUUCAUUUUAAGGAGGAAACCUCCAACACACCACAUUCAAAAACUAAUUUCUGAACUACAUAGCUGGGUUGCAGUUAAAUUAAAUGUUAUAAGAAAUUCUUACUCCGUUCCAGCUACUCUAGUACUAAGAUGAGUGACAUUAUCAGGAAAAAGUUUUGCCAGCCCAAAAUCUCCAAUUUUAGGACGAAAAUUUGCAUCAAGAAGUAUAUUGCUAGCCUUGAUAUCUCUGUGGACAAUUUGCUGUUCAGCUUCCUCGUGAAGGAAUGCAAGACCGGUAGCUGUACCAAGGCAAAUCGAAACUCUCGUUGGCCAAUCUAGAAAAACAUAUUUACUUCUCGAACCUGGAAAGAUAGUUGUUGCAUAUUAGCAUAUACAGAAUGUUUGACAGAUUAGAAUAAAAGGGAAAAACGAUGAGAUAAACGGCUCAACUAAGCGGGUUAAAAAUCAUGUCAAUCCCCCCGCGGGUGGGUGAAAAAUUAACUUUAGAAAAUGAAAUCUGAGGUAAAACAUAGAACUUAAAUAUUCCAAUAAUUACCAAGCAAAGAUCUAGAAAGACUGUUGUUCUCCAGAUAUUCAUAUACCAAUAUCCGAUGGUUGUCCUCCACACAGCAACCAAGGAGCUCAACAAGGUUUGGAUGUCGUAUACGCGAUAUCACAUUAAUCUCUGUCAAAAAUUCAUUUGCUCCUUGUCUAGAUUCUGCGGAAAGACAUUUGAUCGCAACUUGGGCAUCAUCUCUUAGAACUCCCUGAUGUGAUAAAUGAUAUUAAAGUAUCAGAAAUAAAGAAACCGUAUAGUAGUCAAUCUUGAACCUUUAGACCUAGGAUUAACAAACUUUCAUUUUUAAGUGCUUCAAUGCUGGCCAUCAUGAAGAAAUUUAGACCUACUACACAAAUAAAAGCUUCAUUGACCUCACCCUAUAGACAACUCCAUAACCUCCUCCACCUAUCCUGCUCGAUGGAUGAAAGUUCCUAGUAGCUGAUCUCAGAGAAUUAUACGAGAAAAGCCUUACGUUGUUGUUGAUAAUCCCUAAUUUCCAUACAUACAGACAUAAAAACCCUUGUGAGAUCAAUUUAUCCAGUUCAGAAAUAAUAUAAGAAAACUUCUAAUAGCAUGUAUGUAUCCGACAGCAUAAUCUAAGCCUAAAAUGGCAAACACAUUUUUCGGUCUUUCUUUUCCGCUUCAUAUGUGUGAUUUCUAAAUUCAUUAGUUGAACAGAUGGUCAAAGAGGUGGAAGUAGAAAUAAAUAAAUAACAGGGUCUUGGAGAAAUUAAAGACAUAAGACAUAUACGAAUCUGCAUAAUUUUACUCUUCUAGCUUGCUAUGAAAAUUCAAUUUAUCAGGGAAAGAAAAUGGAAAUUGGACACAACCAUUUACCAUGGUGGUGAUAUACAAACACGACACUACCAUUCGUCAUGGUGAUGAAAUGCAGACACAACACAACCAAUUAAUUUACGCUACAGCAGCAAUAGGAAUCAUUGUACUCGGGGAGCUUGCGUUCUGCUAGAUUUGAGAACUCUCAUUUCUUACAUACAACACAAUAGAUGUUUCACAAGCUCAGAACCUGAGCUACAUUGCGGCCGUUGCCCACAAAAAUUUUAACCCUUGUACACCCACUGAAAAGGUACAAAGGUGCAAACUAAAGCUCUAACAGAACCCUUUUGCAUCCACUCGAAAAAAACCUGGACUUUGGUUCUGAAAUUCAAUAAUCGAAACGAUAAUUAUGCUACAAGCAACUUACAGAAGGGAAACACACACAAAUGGAAAGUAUUGACUAUUUUACUGCUUUUACCAUAUAAAGAGUUCAUUUGCUAAUUAAUUACUAACAAAUCCUUACCUUGCUCCUGGAAGGAAGACGAGGAAGCUCUUUCUUCUUUACGCCAUUUCAGCACAGAGAAGCAACCACAAACCAUUGCAGCACACAAUUUAGUUGCCCUAAAACCCUAACACCAUAUCUCCAUAAACCCUAAUCUGAAAAUCACAGAAUCAAGCUCCAAAAUCCAGCACAACCCACUAAGCAAAAACACAACGAACCAAAAUUAAAGUCAAGAACUUUUUGUUCUACAAAAUGAAAAUUGAAAAAGCAAAAGCUGGGAACUUUGAAAUAAAGCAGAUCACUGCGGAAUCUGGAACCCUAACCAGAAUUGGGAACCUCUGGAAUUCUUCUUCUGCAACAGGAAAAAGCCAGAAAAGCGCCUUUGCUUUUCUGGGCCAGUUGGGUUUUUAAGCAAAAACAAAAACCCAAAUGGCAUAGAAACAGGGAAGGCAGAUGAAAGGUGGGAAAUUAAUAGUGGAGGAUUAAAUUGAAAACCCAUGUUACCCAUGAACAAAGGUAUUAGAAAUAAGAAGUGGGAAACCUGAUAAAUUUUGAAGGGUCAAAAGUCUGCUAUUUACAGAAACCAGUGAACGGCUUCUGAUGGUGACAUUGUUUUUCUUUGGUUUAAUUUCUUACCCAAGUUGCAAGAGAAGGGAAAGAUUAAUCAAAAUUAAGGUUGGGGUUUUGGGAGUGAUCCAAGUAAGUCAAAGUUGAAGAUUUGGGCGUUUAUCCUCCGUAAUUCUUUAGGCCUUUUCUGGUGCUGGUAGGUAAUCGGUCACACACGAACUGCUGUAGUUUCAAACUCACCUACACCAAGUUUUGUAUAAAAGAAAUUUUUUUAGUUGUUUCUUUCUUUAUACGCGGAAACCAUUUUCCUCUCUUGACCCCCCACAAUAGUUUUUUUAGAAAAAUUAAUGAAAAUUAUUUGAAAAUUUUGAGUUUUAACGAUAAUGACAGAAUAAAGGAUAAAAUGAAUAGUAUCAGAAUUGACAUUUUAGUGUAAAAAUAUGAUUUUUCUUUAAAACGAACAGUACCGAAAGUUCUGUUGUUAAAAUUUCCUAGUUUUUUUAGUGUACCCAACGACCAUCACGUAAUAUUAAUUUUCAACGCAUGACAAAUGUUUCGAGUACACAUAAUUUCUCAUAUCCCACGUCAAUAAGCAACCUAAAAUUAGCAUACACCAGAUAGGACAGUUGGCAAAACUGAAGUUACAAAAAAAAAGGGUCAUUUUGGAGUUGAUUGAGAAUCGAACUUAAGUUAACAAGUGGACGUUGUCAACCCACCUCUUUAUUCUUAAUCUGUUUAUAUUAAAAGUACACACGCAAAAUUAACAUUUCUUAAUUUAUAUUAAAAGUAGACGCAAAAUUGACAUUCUCUAAUGUAAAUAUGAUUUCAUAGUAUGAGUUUUCUUUUCUUUGCUGGACUAUGAUUGAACACACAACACAUCCAUUUUCUUUGUUUGUAAAAGUUUAGGAGGAGAUUGGUUACUCUCACCAUUAACGUCAGGAUAUACCCACAAUCUCGAGCAAGAAUAAUUUAUGUGUGGCACCUAACUAUCGGUUGUCACCUGUAUGGAUUUAUAUAAGAAUUUACAGAUCGCACACCAAUAAAAACUACUAUCAGUGAAACUCGAACUUUGAUACGAUCGAUGACACACAAAACAAGAACCUUACCAAUCAUUUGUUACUAUUAGACAAAUUUCUCCUUUGAUUUUCUUCUUAUUCUUUGCCAUAACGCCCGUUCGGGACAAGUUGGAAGAGGAAUUCCCAAUUCUUACAUGGAUGAGACCGUUGAGCCAACCCUCGUUAGAAUUGAAUUAGUCAAAUCGAACCAACCACAGUCCACACCUUUCAUUUCCCCUAUGCAUCACACUUUUGACAAAACCCAAAGGUUUUUUUAUUUUUUCCUUCUUUUUUUUUGUCGUCGUCAAACGAUAGAUUUUUAACUCGGUUAACAACAUCAAGUGUUAUAAUAACAAUCAUCAAAAUUCGAUUUAACCGUUGCACGAGCCGUAGGGCCGGUUACUACGAUCAGGAUUUUACUUCUUUUCUUUUCAAUGUACACCAACUUUUAGUCGGUUAUGAUUAAUAAAUUACACAACGCAUACAUCUUUAAUUUAAAGACUAAUUACCUGACCAGUCCUUGGAAAGGGAUUAGUUGAACUAACACAUUUCGCACAUCUGUUGUAUAAGAAGGCCCACAUCUCAAAGUCUUUAACGAUGGAGAUUAACUGCUUAAAAACCAUAACUUUUUAACGUGUAUCCUAUGAAAGUAAUUAUGUUUUUGAGUCCCCACAUUACAUGUUCUAGAUACAUGAUGCACGGGUGAGCAAUUCUUUUUUAUUAAUUCAAGCAUUUUUCUAAGAAGACUCCUUCAAAGUAAGACUCUCAAUGAAUUAUCUGUCAUUUCACAAUUUAAUAUCAAUUCCUAUACCAAUAUUAUAAAAAUAUUGUGCUUUGACAGAAAACGUACAAAAAAUCUCACGUCUGAAAGAAUUUCAUUUGCAUUUCUCCUUUUCAAAAUAUCUGUAAAUAGGUUGGGUAUUCUUUCCAGGACUAGUGGAGUCUGCACUUCUGAAGCAAAAAGAAAAGAUUGAAGUUUGAACGUUUUCUUCCUUUUUGCUAAUUCUUACUUUAUUACUGAGUGGGUUCGGUGAGGAAGCACUAGUGGAAGAACACGCAGAAAAUGUUGUAUAUAAUAUAUAUGCAAAGGGAUCUCCAUUUGUUUUAAAAAAUGGGGAUUAAGUGUGUGUGAAACUCACUUCACAUCGAACUUUAACGAUCUAAAUCAUCUAUUUUGUAAGUCUCGAUUCAUAGAUUAUCAUUACAAUAAUUUAAUUCAAUCCGAAACCAUUUAUCUAUUUAAUUAUCAAAAGAAAAUUUCAUUAUUUUUUAUAUAACAAAGUAUUCGUUAAUUUAUUUGAACUCAAUUAGAUAUCUUAAACAUUUUCGAUUUGGCUAAUAUCUUGCAAGGAUGAUCUAUGAGGUGCAACUUAAAAAAUAGACGGUUCGGAUCAUUAAAGUUCAAUAUGGUGUGAACCCUACAACUAAUCCCAUUUUUAUAAAAAAAAAAAAAAAAAAAAAAAAAAUGGAAUCCCUUCCCUUAAAGGUUCCCUAUAUAGGAAAAGGAUUCUCGUUGGAUCUUUUUUCUCUGGAUCACAAAAAUCUCUUGAUCGUAACCGUUCACCGUAUAUCGUACGUGUUGACAAUUGACAGGACAUCUAUUCAUUCAGUUGGAGCAUAUGAACACUUGUUCGAUUGUCAAACGUUUGUAUUUUUGUCUCUCUCCGCAAUGUAUACGUUGACAAUUGACAGGGACAUCUAUUCAUUCAUGUGGAGCAUACUUGAACACUUGUUCGAUUGUCAAACGUUUGUAUUUUUGACUCUCUCCGCAAUCCGAAUUGACCUGGUGUCUCUAGUUUUCAUUUGGUUGUCUAUUGUCAAGAUGCAUGAUUAAGCAGGACGAUUUCCACACUCCCAUUUUCUCUUUUGCACUCACCCCUUUUUUCGUUGUGUUUGGAUUGAAUAAAUCAAAGGAUAAUGAACGGGAGCGUGUAAGCAACUCCCAUGGAAUGUCAUGUCUAAUAUGAUAGCAAUAUGAAGAAUGAAACCUUAAUAAAUUUCAAGUUUCAUAGUAUGAACAGUAAAUUGUAAAUGCUGAAGGAGGUCUUCAACUUGCAAAUCAUCGAAAUCUAGUACAAACAAUCAUGGCUACGGAAAAUAUGGUUCAUCAAAAGCACCCGAUACUUGUUCUGGCAUAGCGAGGACUGAUACUCGGAAUCGACAUGACUCACAAACUUUCUCUAACAUUUACAGAUCAGCUUCGUUCAGGUAUGCGCUGUAGCUUAAAUAUCGCGCUGAGUAUGCCAAUUUCCCGUGUAAAAUAAUACUGCUGGGAGAAUGAUGAGGCUGGCUGCAAAUAAUUCGGGGUCGAUGGUCCCAUGGGGCGGUCACCUACCUUGGUGUCUUGCAGGAGGAGUUUCCUCUCUCACUUCCAGGAUCAAUAGCUUCAAUUUCACACCCCUCUAAACUAAGAGGAAUGUUGUUGACACUUGGUUCGGAGCUAGCAUUGCUGCAUGUGGCAAGAGGAGAGUCCAUCGCACCAGUUGUAUUGCUUUUUGUUGGUUUAAUUCUGACACUAUACCCAGAGGAAGCUGGAACAUUCGUCAGAACUGGCCGUAGAUUGCCUGGCAUGCUUCGCCUUAUAUCCUGUAUAAAGAAAAUUCCAAAAUUUAAGUUAAAUGCUACUUCUGAAAACGGGUUUUGCUAGUCAUGUGGAUAAUUUAUGAAUCAAACCAAGCAUAAUUUGGAAUUGGAUAGUACAAAGUGGAAUGCAAGAUCCGAAUGAAGGGAAACAACAUGCACUUGAACAAGGAAAGUGAUGCAUACCAUGUGCCUCAUAGCCAUAUCAAUGGACUUCUUUGAAAGAUUUCUUCCAAAGCCUGAGCUUUCAGAGGAUGAAGACUUCCCACCGGAACCGUUAUCAGUAUUAUGAUGGUCAUAAUGCUUAGGUGGUGCCAGUUUCCGCGAGUUUACUACUCUCUCAACCAUUUGUGUUCCAAUAAGUACAGGGUUCACAUCAUCAUUGUCAUGAGAAGAUGAUCUGCUUAUGACUCGAUGAGAGUUCCCAUUGGUAGUGGUACUAACAUUUGAAGCCCGUGCUCUAGAAGGUGAACACGAUUGCUGUCUUGGUUUUCCAUUAGAACCAGCCAUAACAGAAGAUGAUUUAACACUUGGCGCUCCAGGCCUAUCCCUAGAGGCUGAAGCCGGCCUUUGUGGCACUGAUGUUCUUAAAGUUGGGGGCGCAUCAUGUGAGAAACCAGGAAUCUCAGAGGAUUUCAAGGGCCUUGGUUUUACCGUCGGAGAACUUCCACGUGAUGAAACUGGAUUUUUUGAACUUGUGGGGCGUAACUUUGAUGCUGAAGAAGAUCGACCAGGAGGGGCAGAUACGGCAGCUGCACUUGAUGAACUUGAUGAACUUGGUCGAUGGGUUGGUGUUGCUGGUCUUGAUGUUGACCUGGAAGCUGGUGCAGAGGGUCUGGUAGUUGGUGCAGAAGGUCUGCCAGUUGGUGUAGAAGAACGAGCUGUGGACCUAGAAGGAGUUGAAGACCUUACGGGAGGAGCCACAGGCUUUGGGGAUGAUAAGGUGGCUCGAGAAUUUGGGGUGGAGGAUCUUGAGGGCUUGGUUGUUGAAGGUAAUGUGGACCGUCCAAUUGGUGUUGCAGAUCUACGAGUAGCAGGUGAUGAGGGCCUUCUGUUACCGGAACUGGAAGAGUUCAGUCCAGACGGCAAUGUUGGCUGCUUAGAUGUUAUAUUGUUCCUUGAAGCAGAUUCUAGCUGGUUGUUUGCUAGCUGAAAGUCCCAAGUUAUGGGAAACAUGACAACAUAAAUUUGCAAAUGACAACUUCAUAAGUCAAACGAAAUGUCUCCCAAAACAAUCAAUAGAACACCAUUUGCAAUCAUAAGUUUGUAACUUGUAAGUAAGGAAGACUAAAACUAUGGGAAGAUUCAAGUCCAACCUUACUAUGACACACAUACAUCUCAUAGAAUCUACUAUCAAUGAGUCAAAUGUACAAAUGCUGCACAUACAUUUCGUAGAAUUAACAUCAAUGAGUACAGAUGCUGCGCAUGCACUUCAUAAAAUUAAAAACAAAUGAGUCAAAUGUCCGAAUGCUACACAUACAUCUCAUAGAAUUUAACGCUUCUAUGUAUUUAGAAUGUGUUAGCUAAAGUCCUUACCCGAGAUUUUGGGGCGGAUGCACGGUCAUUAGUAAUCUCACUCUGAUUCGUCGUAGUUUUCUGCACUUCCAUAUCCAAGGAUGAAAAAAGUGGAGUAGCUGGUGGUGUAAGAAGCCUGGACACAGAAAAGAUUACCGAUAGAUCCGAUACCACAACAAAUGACUCAACAUUACUACGACGCGGGAGUCCAGACCAAAGCAUAGAGAUUAGAGUGAGAAAUAGAAGUCUACAAAAUUGAACAAGGAUUUCUGUCAUAUGAAGCCUCAAUCAGUUUUUCUUGAAAACAGUCCUUAGAAACAGAACUGCCCCUGAUUUUUCAAACACCUCAGCAAAAUGUUUUAGAAAUCAGAUCCCAGUUCAUUAGUCCUAGGAUAAUUUAAUCCCACCCAAUUUAGCAACCCAACAGUUUUCUUCAUCAAUUCAACAAGUUACCAUAACCAGAGACUUAAACUUUGAUUAGUCCUACGGAAAUUUAAUCCCACCAAAAACCAAGACAACUUUGACAAUAAUUUACUCACCAAUCGUAGUCAGAUUUCUCAUUCUCCGAAUUUAAAAACUCAUCCACCCGGAUCUUCGGCUGGGGCGGUGGCGCCGCCCCAACAGUCCUGGAAACCGCCGCGCCUCCGCGGUUGUCAGAUUCUGCAGAAACCAAACACAACCCACCAUCAAAACCAACCUCAUAAACCCAAAAAAACAACAAAGACUGAAACUUUAAACCAAAAACAAGAAACCCAAAUGCCGUCGUACCCGGAGGAGCAACAGCGGCAGCAAUAGGGUCGAGCUCGUCGGCGUUCUUGUUCGGGGGAAGGAGGAGAAAGCCGGCAUUUUUCUCCUUGUCCUUCUCGCGCCUCCGCAUCUCGAGAAACAGAGCGAGCUCUUCGUCUCUGUCGUUGACGUUCACCACCUUCCCGAAGCUCCGUUCUCGCGCCCUCGACUCCACAGUAACUUCCAUGGUCGUCUCUGCAGCUCAGCAAACACAGAGGCUUCGAGAAGAGAGAGAGGAGGGGGGGGGGGCGGAGUAUUUCUGUAGCUGAAAUUUCGGGUGCUGAGUUUUUUUUGUAGUAUUUUUCUGAUUGCUUUGACAAGAAAUAGAAUAUCUCAGUCAGUCGCUCUCUCUCUCUCUCUCUCUCUCUCUCUCUCUCAAUCUCUCUCUCUCUCUCUCUCUCUCUCAAUCUCUCUCGUUUUGGAAGCAUUCAGAAAUUUGAACAAAAAAACGAAGCAUUGGGAAAUUAAUAUUUUAUUUAAUGUGGGUAAUUUGUGAAGAUUGGUGCUGAAUAUGGGCUGAGAUAUGGGGAUAAUUACGACUGUGCCAUUGGAUUUGCUCUUGCGAGACGUGGCAUUCUCUUGAUCAUUUUCCUCAUAAACGGUAGACAUGUGAAGAAGAUACAAGAUUCAUGAUGCAUGUGAACUUCAUGGAAAGUUUUGGCCUUGGAAAAUAAAUGAUUUUGGGGUUAGUGAAAAGCUUAAAUUUCCUGUGAUAAGGUGCUCAUAAUAUUUGCAAAGAAUGAUCGAGAUUUGGACACGUAAUUUUGAAUGAACAAGGUUAACCUUAUUAACAACUUGAGUUGCAAAAUUUUUAAUUUAACAAUUUAGCAUGUAAGAAGUCAUUGGGAGAGGAUUACAUGAGGUUAAUUUUCACAUUGUUUGUAACUAUAGCCUAUUAAUUUGGUAUAUAUUAUGUUCUUGAUUGUUAAUAUUAUGUAUGAUUAAUGAUCAUGUAAAAUGCGUGAUUAAAAUUAACAGUCUAACAACUUAAUAUGUUGAGUGAUAGAAAAUACUAAGCUAUUUUGUCAUAUUUGCACAUGUACAUGUCAACUACAACCUCAACCAUACCUAGGUUUUGUAGUUAAGCAUAAGCUAAAAUCAAUCAUCAAUCAAUAAAUAACCCUAUGAAUUUUGAUGAUAAACAAGUUUAAUUUUAUUAUAAUGAAACGGUGAGACAUGAGGAAUAAGAUGGAUUGUUCCUCGUCAAGACGUUGAGUCGGAUCAUGUCGUACAGUUUUGUUGUUUUGUUUUUUUAAUUUAAUGAAACGGUGAGUUUGUAAAUGGGGGUUUAAGAUUUUAAUAUUAUUUCUAAAAACAACAUAUUCAUCUAUUAUUUGCAUACAUCCCUUUUGCCCUCCUCUUACGAAAAGAUGCAAACCUGAAUUAUUUUUGUAUGUUCUUUCUAUAUUUUAAAUUUUUUUAGCGGUUACCCUACUCUUUGCCUCCCACUAAGUUGUAUUGCAAAGUUUUUUUAUUCUCUCUAUUAAACUGAAUGGGUCUUUCAAUUUUGUAAAAAUUACUUCAAUUAAUCACGCAAUGAGUUCAACAUUUUUUCCCAUACAUAUAUGAAAGGCACUCCUUCACAUAGAACCCUGACUCUACCACAGUGAGAGGACCAGAAAGAAGAGAAAUUUGAAAAUAAGAGAAUCCUACUCUCCAUAAAAGAUUAAAACUUGCAUAAAAUACUUGAUUACUUGCAAUAAAAGAAAUCUCAUAAUUAAUAGGUAACAUUUCAUUUUCUAAUAAUAAUUGAGAGGAUAAUAUCCCAGUAUCCCAGAUUUGAAGCUGAUGACGAAAUGAGUGGUAAUAUUGUAAUUAAGUGCAACGACAAACCCAUUUAAUUAUGAGAUUUAAAACGGGAGAGAAACAUUCCCGUUAACAAUGGCACAUGCUAGAAGCCAGGAGCCUUUGACUGACGACACGUCGUAUUGAAACGCCGAGGAAUUUAAUUCAAACUUCGUUGCUCAAAAGAUGCUCGGAUUUAAACGUGGGCUGUUGGAUUCCUUUCCUCGAGAUGACCUACUCCGCAUCGGACGGAUGCUGUUGGUCGGCGAAUUUAAAAGGGGCGCAUGGCGUGGGUCCCGCCCAGAGAAUCGUGUGGUUUAAAUUUUGGGUAUCUUUUCUCAAUUCGUGGGCCCCGAUUAGAUUGCAGAUUGCCGUGAUUGGUCACUAACCUAUGGCCCAAAAAAAGCCCAACCUGAAAAGGAUCAUAUCAUGAGUUAUUUUUAUUCAGCUAAAAAGUUCUUUAAUUCUUUUCUUUAUCAAUAAAUCUACACUUUUAGGCCUUUUAGUUUAAGAUAAUUUUCACUUUGAAUCAUGUAAUUUAUAUUUUAGAAAAUUUUAGACAUGCAUUUUGUGUACUAUUGUAAUUUUGAGUUGCUAAUCUCAUUAGAAUUGACGAUGAAAUAUGAUAUUGCAGUACAAACAUGUUUCAUAUGUUAAAUUUGAAGACAAAUGCUUUCCAAAUCAAUUCGAGAAAGGAUUUUGAGCAUUUGAACUAAAUAUCGUUUUUAUGGCACGUUUUUCAAAAUCAACGCACUUAAAAUCUCAACAAAGUACAAUAUAAGUAACAAAAAUGAUCCUUCCAUUUUCAAUCCUCAAACAAAAAACUUAGGAAUCGAUUUUUAUCAAUUUUCAUUUCUGCGUACCAAACAUAGUGUGUUUUUAAGUUUCGAGACAAAAAUGAGAUAAGAGCAAUUUUAAGUAUGGAUAGGAAUACACGUUUGUGUUACUUGUGGUAUUUUUGGGGUCGGAAGUGAGUGAGACGUAGGGCAUGUCGCAUGCUUAAUAAUCCUCGAUGUUUUGAGCCCCAUGCAGGGGUAGGGGCACGUGGUUGUCACAUUAAAAAAAAUUUAUGUUUGGUAAAGAUUCAAUUUCAGUUUUUUUUCACAAUUUUUGGUGAAAAAAAAGCCAAAAACAAGAAGCUGCAAAAUCCAGCUUUAAAAAACCGGCUUUUUUCACAUCUGUUUUACAUAAAAGUUUACCAAACACAAUAAUACUGUUUUUUUUUUCAAAAGCAUUUUUAUAAAAAAGUUUACCAAACCCUCUACAGCUUUAUUUCACAGCCGCUUAUUCUUACAGCACAGCAGAAACAGUUUUUUUUCAAAGCAGAGCAAUACCAAACUAGUCAUAAGUGUGGAAUUUUUGGUGAUGAUCCGAGCAAUCAGUGCCAAAGACAUAAACAAGACAAUGAUCAGGUCCUAUCGUCCUCAACACAAAUAAUGCAUUUCUGGCUGCAGGGAAUAAGAACAAUAAUUGCAUGGUGGUGGGCAUCACCACAUAAUUGCAAGGGAGAAGUUAGCCACCUUUUCAAUCCAAUAUUCUUGUCUUACUUUUUCGGUUAUCUUUUUUUGAUGAUACAAGUUGAUUAAAAUCAUCACUUUUUGGAUCAUCCUUAACAACCAAAUUAUGAAUCUUUUAACGCACAAUUAACAUUGUAAAACAUGGUUGUCUAUGAUUAGAUGAAUGUUAGAUGACUAAAAAAUUUCGGAUUUGGUUGAUUUUGACAAGUUGAUCUUUAAAGAGUGAUCAUCGUGCAACAUUACGGAUUGAGAAAUAGAGCCGAGAAUCUAGAACGACAAGGUUCAAACGAGAUGGUUGCUCCUCUAAUUGCAAUAUUUGAUAUUUCUGUCCAUUUUCCUGAUAGGCAACUCAAUCAGUGUAAGGCGAACGUAAACUCAAGUACUUAAAAAGCAAUUAUUCGCUCCUGUCGCAGUAGGUUUGUGUCAAAAACUGUCGCAGGCAAUUAGAUUCAUGCAUAAAUGAUGAGCUCAUAAACAAUAUUUUGUUUCUGUUGGGCAACUUUUUACUAACUAGAAGCAACAGUUACAGGAAGGUGAACCUCUCCUAACCAGAAAAACAAAAUGAUCCAUUUGAUUAGACUCGCUCGGACUAAACAAAAUCAUCCGUUUCAUCCUAGGACUUUCGAAGGUUCUUUGUCGGAAGAACUGUAACGCUGUCAGUUGGUUCUUCAGGAAAAGCGUCCAGCAACUCAAUUCGCCAUGGGUGAACCACUGCUCCAACACCUCUCAACCCCGAAGAGGCACUGCAUCCAUAUUAAAGCCCUGAAAUUGAGGAGCCUCCGGUGGAAAAUGGAUGAGGCUAUAUGGAGAGAGGAGAAUGGCGAGCAUGAAAACGGUCACACCACAAUAGCCAUCACAGAGUGGAGAAGAAGGGCAAGGUAGCGAGGAGUGUGAUCAUGUAGAACAUUAUUCCUUUCACUACAAAGAUACCAAUUGAUGAAUCGGAACCAACAAAGCUCCUGCCCUGACAAGACAUGCCGCAGCUGCUUCCAUAAAUCCAUACCAGCACCUCAACACCUUUGGGAAGUGCAUCAGUAAAAGCCGUCGUCUCCUACUUGUCCAAACCAUACUGCAUGCCAACGGUUCAGAACUUACCCCACAUCUGAAGCAUGAGGCUGAGUUCCCCACCCAGUGCUUGGAAACAGAAUGCAGGAACGCAGAAGGGCAUGUCAUAAACAAAAUAAUCAAAUCCUUGUACCUUGGAACUUCCCAUUUACAAGAGUAUCAUAUGUAUUGUCAUCUGGAACAAGGCCUUUGUCAAGCAUUUCAUCAUGCAACCUAAAAGCCUCUUGCAAAUUACCCUCCUUGAAGUUUCCAGCAAUCAGAGUAUUAUAAAUGAACACUAGGAGUCAUACCCCGCCUAUCCAUGUCUUCCAAGUUCUUGCGUGCACUCUCUAGCUGUCCUUUGUUAUGAAGGGCAUUUAUCAGAACCGUAUAUGUGUUUGUAUCAGGUAUAAUUCCCUUCUGAAGCAUCUCUGAGUAGAGAUCUGUAGCAGAUUGUAACUCACCUUCUCUUAGCAAUCCAUCGAUUAACGUAGUGUAUGCCUUCAAAUCACAAGGAAUACCGUCUCUAAUCAUCUUGUUGUGCAUGUCAAGGGCUGCUUCCAUGUUAUUUAAAUUCCGGAAGCCAGAUAUCAUGCUACUGUAAACAACUACAUUUGGAGAUAAACCAACUUCAAGGAGUUCUGAGAAAAGUUCAUGGGCAGUUCUCAUGUCUCGUCUUUUGCAAAACCCAUCAAUGAGAGCAGAAUAUGCAGUAACAUCCACUUCGAUGCCCUUGUUUUUCAUCUCAUUCCACAUUUUCAAAGCCAUAUCAAUUUGAUUGCUUUUGCAAAACCCAUUAAUAAUGCUGGUGUAAGUGACAACAUUGGGGGAGACUUCACCUUCACACAUUUCUCUGUACACAGCCAGUGCAGAAUUAAUGUCACCCUCCUUGAUAUACCCAUCGAUAAUGCUAUUGUAACUAAUACAUCCAGGAACAAAACCCCUUGCAACAAUUUUCUUUAGCAUCUCACUUGCCUCAGACGUACGACCAGCUCUGCACAAGCCAUCAAUGACAAUGCCAACUGUGAAGCCUGUGGGAGAAAUCUUGGCAGCCACCAUAUCAUCAAAGACAUCAAAGGCACGCUCUACAUCACUGUUCUUGAAGUAGCCAUUUAUCAAGAUAGAAUAAGUCACAUCAUUUGGUUUCAAAUCCCUUUUAAGCAUCUCCACGAAUACAUCAUGCGCAUGCUCCAUAUUCCCUAUUCUGCAAUACCCAUGUAUCUUGCUAUUGUAGGAUACAACAUUAGGUACCACACCUUUAGACAUCAUUUUAUCCCAUAAACUACAAGCUUCACUUACUUUACCCUUCCCACAAAGCCAUGAUAAGAUAUUAUUAUACGAGAAAACAUUAGCAACACCACACUCAACGGCCUCAUCAAAAAACUUAGAAGCAUCUUCAAAUGACCGAUAUUUCAAAAAUCCUCGUAUCAAAUAAUUUACAAUGAAGACAUCAGGCAAAAUAUUCAUAUGUUUCAUUUGCUUGUAAAGCUCAUACGCCUUUUCCAUGUUCCCAUUCUUACAGCAGUAUUCUAUAAGAAUUGCAUAUGUAACCCUGUUUGGAGUAAGUCCAUCCUCUAUAAUCGUAUUGAACAAAGCCAAAGCACUCUCCAAAUUCCCUUGCACACAAUAACCCUUCAUCAAGCUUGUAGCAACAACCAAAUUAAUUGGGUUCCCACAACUUACCAUUCCAUCCUUAAUCCUCGUGGCUUCAACCAUAUUCCUCUGCUUUACACAAGCUGCGAUGACACUACUAAAUGUGACCAUGGAAGGAACCCAACCCAUUUUUCUCAUUUCAUUCAACAACUCCAGAGCCAAACACGAAUUGGGCUUCUUACAAAAAGCCUCAAUGGCAACACUAUAGGAUGCUGCAUCAAGUUCUACCCCUCUUGCCCUCGCCUCUCUAAAGUACUCCUCUGCCUCAUCCGGCUUCCCCUGCUUCAAACAACCACGCAUCAUCACGUGUAGAGUGACACGAUCACCUCCAAAUCCUCUCAAAGCCAUUUUAUCACACACCUCUCGUGCUUCCCCAAUCAUAUUUCUCCUAACCAAUUCUGUUAAAAGAAUAUUCACAUACGUAACACAAGGAUACAUCUCAUGCUCUAGCAUUCUAUUAAAGCAAUCAAUCGCACAUUCGAUUCGAUUGGCUCUAACAUAACUGUUCAAUAAAUAGCCAAAAACCUGAGAUUCUAGUUCAAAAUCAAACCUUUUGGCGCAGUCCACCAAGUGAUCGACAAAUACUCCUGGAACCGGGCCCGAAUCACCGGAAACGUACUGGUUAAGCAACAUCUUAGCACGCUCGUGAGUAUUCGGAGAGCCCAUCAAAAUGUGAAGCAACACACAGACAGCAUCGACACCUCUGACAAGGCCUCGCUCCCUCUCAGCCCAUUUGAAGUAUUUAAUUGCCGAAUAUGGCUUACUUUUGUGGCUAAGAAGAGUGCUAAUCACACUGGUUUGUGUUAAUUCGGAGUCUUGUGAAAUUGGGGCGGCGAACUCGCCCUGAUUGGGGUCUGAUGCAACUGGGUUUUCGUGAAAUUCGAUUUCUAAAGUGGGUUUCUCUGGAAAAUCAGAUUUUGGAGCGAUUUCCUCUGGAAAACCUGAGCUCGGAUUGGGAUUCUCGGAAAAUGGUGGCGAUUCUGAACGGGGUUUGGAAGAGAGGAAUUUAGGGUUUAAGAAAGGAAGGCGACGUAGUGGAGGAAGUGGUGAGGAAUUGAGGGGCUUCAUUGUUUUAGGGUUUUUGCUGCAGAAGAAGAAAUAGCAGAAACCCUAAUGGAGAUUAAAGGUUUCGGCUCGGCGGCGAGAGUGAUGAAGUGAGGAAGGGGACGACAACAGAAGCUGCGGCGCGAGCUUUGGCCAUUUUACGAUUUACCCCUUUGAGUUAAAAUUCAAAAGCCAAAUACAUAUCAAGGAUUUUAAUUUUUUUUUUUGGGCAAAUCAGAAAAAUGGUGCUUGCUUUAUAAAAACAUUACCACUUGAUUAUUUGUAUGUGUGUGAAUGUGUUAGGUUGGAUUUUCGGAAGCUGGGAGUUGAAUACCACAUGCAUAUGGUGGGCAAAUUAUGUGACAUAAAAAUACUACUAUAUUCGAUGGGAAAUAAUUAAAACUUGGUGUUAAUGGACGGAAACACUAACUCGACGGUCUUAUUUAAUUCACAUUUGCAUUGCUUCUUGACUCAUCUAUUUUGUUUACCAAAUAAUAGAGUGUUUCUUCUUAUUCAGCGCUUUUAAGUUCAUUUUGUAAGAGACUUGUAGCUCAAGUGGUUAAGAGUAUCGAAUUUAAAACUCAUUUUUUUUAUAGAAGAGAAAAUCAAACCUCGAGAGUGUGCAGAGGCAAAUGCUUUAAACCGCUACUCCUACAAGCCUGCUGCACUAGUAGUCUAUUUUUAAGAUUAAAUUUGCUACUCCGUAUAGCUUCUUUUACCAACCGAGACAUCAGUUGAAUACGAUAAGUAUCGACAGUGUACUUAGUUCAAGAACUUGAAUCCAUGAGGCCAAAGACACGAGAUUUUGCCACAUCUUCGGAAUAUAUCCCUGUAUGAGUGUCUCACUCGUCACGUAAUUUGGCUAUGCGAAAAAGACUAGAGAUCCAUCUCCAAUGAACCUAAAAGCAAUAACAAACCAGAUGUACACUAAUUUUUUUUUAUCCGAGAACUUGAUUAACUGUUCUGUAUCGGUCUUCAAUGACCAUGUUCUAAAACAAUUAGCAAUUCACGACGGUACGAAGAACUUAAAGAGUCCUGGCCUACAUCAUCGAUGAAGAAAUUUUUAAUCCCAAUAGCCUACUCGACGAGAAAAUAGGUUGCUAAGAAUUUACAUUUGAAAUUAAUAGUUCAAUUUCCUGAAUGGAUGGUAAAUCAAGCCUCAUCAGUCAUCAACAUCGCUUCCACCAAUCUGAGCUUCGAGAGCAAUCGAGUAGUUGCUUCCAUCAGGACCGAGAAUCUGAAAUCUGCUAAAGAACAAAGAAAAUCACUCUAAAAACUUUUAAUGCAGCAACCACAGACACCAAUUUGGUUUUACCUCUCAAGGAUAAACUUUCCUUCCUUGUACUUCUGGGAUUUCUCAUGUGCAGCCUCCUGAAAUUGAUAACCAAAAUAUGAGUUUCAUACAGCCAUCAGCGGUGAAAGUACUGUAAAUAUCCACACAAAAAACAUAGUUUUGGAGAAAAUAUCUUCUUACAUAUUUCCACCCCACAUUUGAGCCACAUGAAACACAAAAUAUGUCAGCUACAGUAUGCAAUCCUGUUAUCAUGAUCCGCUCUUCUUGCUCUCCAAGUGUGACAUUUACACUGCCAUUGGGGAAACAAAAGGUUAAUUCAGCAUUCAUGUGUAUAAGCUGCAGUUGGUGUGAGUUAUGCAUAAGCCGCCUUCAUAGGAUUCAAGUGAACGAAAAUGCUUUUUUGAGACAAAGACAUUAUGCUGUCAUCGAUUCAUUAUUCUCUUUCUUUUUCCACCCUCAAAGUUAAGCUUUCAAAUUUAUCAACAUAAAUGAAUCUUCUGGCCAAUGUCAAACCAUGUUUGGUUUGCUGCUAUAAGUCAUUCUGUAUCGGUGGACAAGAAAAAAUACGUGCACAUGGAAUGAGCAAGUUUUUUGUCACAAGUGAGACCAAAAUAACUUGCACACCCAUGACCCUAAAAGUACAUAAGCAUGCAUCAGCAUAGCUAUGGGUGAAUCAAUUUCAAAUUUUCAAGAGUAAAAUAGUACUGCACUUACACUUUAUCGAAAAGAUAAGCCUUUCCAUGCCUGCAGUGAAAAGACUGGAACAAAAACAAAAGCAAAUCACAGGGUUAGAAUGUCACUAAUCAAUCCUGAUAUCAAACAUAUAACAUCAUAAAAGAGGGAUUAAUGUACAUAAGCAUCAAGCAAGAAGUGGGAAGAUAUGAUCGAAAAAGACAAGCCAAGAAAAACCUUGCUGCUCUCAGAUGGGUAAUGUAAUCAGGACAGUAUAAAGAUAGCUUUUUUGAGAAGAGGACAGUAUAAAGAUAGCUUUGCGGCAUAAGUUUUACACCGAUACAAUAUUUACAGGGAUAUUCAAGCUACUUACAAUUAACCAGAAUUUAAGAGGUGUUAUAGUGCGCAAAUAAAUAAUUAAAGAGCUACCAAACUGCAUCGCUUUUGUUUCCAUAUAGUUGACGUUCAAACCAACAAUAACGCAAGUAAGCCGGACAACAUUUUGGCCUAUAAUUAGAGUCUUAGAGAACAGAGACGCAAGUUCCCAUCUAAUCUUGCAGCCAAAUUUAACUAUUAAACCAGGAAAGUGUAAAGUAGAUAUCUUUGACCUAAUCUUAGCAGGAAUUAAGUACCUAAUUCUUCUCCAGCAAGUAAAGCAUUAAUCUGUGCUCCAGCAAGUAAAGCCAUAAUCUGUGUUUCUAGAAUUGCAUGAUUAAAUCCAAUACCAUCAUAGAGGCUUUACAGAUAAAGGUUCUAAAUUUUGAGCAUUUUGUAAUGAGCCAUAAACACAAUUAGGAAAUGAAACGCGCAAGCCAUUUCACAAGAAGCCAAAGCUGAUUGUAAUGAGCCAUAAACACAAUUAGGAAAUGAAACCCUGCACCACUAAUAAAAGAAGGAACCGAGAAACAACCCAAUGUUUAAGCUUCCAAUGUCAACCACUUUGAACAUGAACGAUCGCAUUGCACUACGGUAUAACGGUACCACAACUCCUCAAUAUCACAAACAAAACACUCCAAAAAAAAAAAAAAAAAAAACCUAAAACCAACAAUGUACAUAUCACAACUCCUCAACAUCCAACGAUUAGACCCACACAAAUUACAUUCAUACGCCUAAUACCGAUCAAUCUCUCUUCGAAAAUCGCCACACAUUUACAUAUCACAACAAUGCAUCCCAAUUUCACAAAGUUCAUGAAUGUCUAGGUAGAGUGCAUUAUGCAAAUAAACAGUAACAAUCCAUAACAAACAGAAUUACGGAGAAGGCGAUUUCGGACCUUAGAGAUUACGUCGUCCACAAGACCGAGAUGGGUUCUGCAGUGCUUGCAGCUAUACAUGUUUUCCUCAAGAGUGGUCACAAACAGCCUUCCCAUUUUCUCACGUACAAUUCAACUUUCUUGAUUUCUUGAUUUUCUUUCCCUGCAAAAACAACAAGAUCGGCCUCCAUGUUAGAAAUUCAAGCAUUCCAAACGAAACCCAGAAAUUAUCUCGACGAAAAUUUGAGAAAAAUCAAUGUGACUAAAACCUCAAAAUUUCAGGGAAAAAUAACGAAAAAAAGAAAGAAGAAAUGGUGUACAAUGCAGGCAUGUAUUUCCAAUAACCGUGUAAUAUGAAGGACAAGAAGAAGAACAGAACGACGACGUACAAAUGGGUUUUUGUGUGAUCUUUGCCGGUAGUUACAGAGGGAGCUGAACAGAAACGAAAGCUUUCAUUGAGAUUUGAGAAGAAGAGAAGUGAUAGCUUUUAAACAGAGAAAGUGCUUUUCCGAGUGUAAAUAUAUAAUAAGACAAUUAACUUUUUUCAUUAUCUCAUUUUUAUUUCUUUUAUCUUUUUUAAGUAAAAUAAUUUGUCUUUAAAUUAUAGAAAUGUAAUUUAAAAAAAAAAAUUAGAAUGAAUCUGAUAACUUCAAUGAAAAAAAUGUAGAUUUUAAAGAAAAGAUUAAUACCAGGAAAAUCUAUGUGUUGGGUGGGUUUUCGAAGGUCAUGUUUUGGUAUGUUGGGUUGUUUAUCGCUAAUCUCUCAUCCCUCGUUAGAGUUAGCAAAAUAAAUUAUACGUAUUUUUUUAAACAGACGAUAUUAUUUACACUGGACGGUAAAAAGGUGGGUUUAGCCUCACAAUAGCUACCAAUAGUGCUGUUCAAAUUCGUUUAUAUUUAAAAGUUAGUAUCAUUCUAUCACUUAGUACUACGGUCUGGUGGUACUUCUCUUUACUUGAAAGUGAAAGGUCUUAUGUUCGAAUCUCGUGGAUAGCGAAUUCGAUACCAAAUUAGGCUGUCCAUUGUGUGGCUUUGCCAAACUUCCCCUCCCCUUAAUGUAAAAAUAUCGAUGUACUCAAACAAAAAAAAGUUAGUAUCCUUCUUUAAUUUGAUAUGUUAAUCUAGAAACUGUUAAUUAAUAGUCUUUGCAUCACUAUCGAAUAAUGUUAAAUUCUCGGAUUAAGCAUUAAAUUCUCUAAGAAGAAUGAAUUUUCAUUUCUCUAUUGUGUGAACCGAUGACUCAUAGGAUUAAAAAGACAAUAUAUUUCAUUAUUAUUCUUUGUACAAACGAGAUUCAAACUCAAGCGUUAGGAGAUCACUCCGCUCGCUAACGUGACUACGUUCAUAUGCAUCACGUUAUUAUUAUUAUUUUUCUGAAAUAAAUAAAGUUUGCACAUGUUUAAAACUUUUCAAAAGAAAAAAGAGGAAGAAUUAUCAUGGCCUAUUGUUUGGUAAAACAACUCGUCGCCAAUAGGAAAAGGCGACGGUAGAAAGGGGUUGGAGAAAGAGUGCGAGGAGGAAAAAGCCAUUGUUUAGACCAUCUCCAAUCCUUGGGCUAAAAACCAAAUUUUUUAGCCCGGAAAAUUUAGCUUGUAGCCCAGAAACAUAUUUUCUGCUUCAACCCUUCUACCCUAAAAUUUUAGCCCGGAAUUAUUAAAGAAUAAAAUUAGCCUAAAAUUUUUUCUUAAAUCAAUUUUAAAAAAAUAAAUAAAUAUGUAGAUUAUUGUAAAUUAAUUUUAUGAACAUUUUAAUCUAAAAAAAUUUAAAUUCCGAUAAACAUUUUGCAUUUAGCCCGGGGGGAAAGCUGGGGGGUAUUUGGCCCAGAAAUAGCAUUUGGCAUUUAGCCUAAAAUUUUAGCAUGGGUUGAAGAGUGUUUGGGAGGUAAUUUGGCUUUUAACCCAGGGUUAGAGAUGGUCUUAGCGAGACAUGCCAUGAAACCCAAUGAGACUCUGAUUUGGCUGGAGAACGUAGAGAAGAUACAAUUCACCAAAAUCCCUUUCCCAAGAAGGUGCCAAAGGACACGAAAGAAACGUUUCACUUGGUGUGACUAGACCGAGGCAGAAAAAGCCAACCCAAUCCAACUAGACAUGGUUCUCAAGAGUCUAACGCCUAAACAUCUAGGCGGGCUUUAGGCGGGCGUAGGCGAUUAUUUUAAUUGUAAUUAAAUAUAUUACAUAGCAUAUAAAAAUAUUUAUUUAUACUUAAAAAAACAUAUAAUUGUCUCGCAAUACAUAAAAUGUAAAGUAGAGAUUAUCUAUUUUUUAUCUAUGUAAGAGUUGCAACAUAGGCGGCCUACGCCCAUUCUUAGAUUUUAAAUGCAUAAAGAUUAAUCCUGAUGGUGACAACCGCCUAGCGCCUAGGUGAGGCCUAAGCGGGGCUUUUUAUUUAGAAUGCUAGACAUGCAACUUUUUUCUUUCCCCUUUGUUUUCCUCUUUUGACAAGAAAAUCUAUACCAUCACCAGUUUUAUGCAGCCAUGUGUUUACUUUUGUUAUCACGCGACUAUUCACGCUGUGAUGAGAGAUAGAUACGUAAUUGCUCUUAGAACUUGGUGAUCCCACAUCAUAUAACGUACCUUAAUUCUUGAAGUGGUUUAAAGAGCUCUUGGUCACCUUUCCCUUACAAGUAGAUUUUUAGGGGCAAGUUUCUACUCUUAGUAAUUGGUACCAGAGCUAGUUUCACCACGCAACUGGAUCCAACUCCAGGGAAGGGACAAGCCGCCUCUACGAAGGGCUACCGCUAGGUCAGGGUACAAAGCAAAACUUCCCCAGCCUCUAAAUGAAAUCAAACCAGUUGACAAAAAACUAAGUUUUUCUUGAAACUAAGUUUUUGUUGAAUCAAUAAUCUAGAGACUGUUAAAUUGACCAGUGGACGAGAUAUAGCACAAGAAAAUAACUUGAUAGAGAACGAAACAAGAGCUAAGACAAAGGAACUUGAUGAGCUGAUGGCUAAACCUCGAGGAGGGCCGGAAGUUCAAACGACCUUACUUGAUCUUCCUUGACUAAUAAUAUUCCAAUAAAAGGCUGCUGCCAUGGCAAAUGGUCAAAAUAUAAGAACUCCAGAAAGAAAAAAGUAUAUGUUCUCCCGUUCAAAAGUGGGGAUCAGCAAGUGUGUCCAACUAUGACGAUGAAAUCGUGUCUUGCGGUGUUAUUCUCUCAACAGCACCCAUUCUCUGAGGAGGCCACACAAUGUGGGUAACCCUUCCUUGAACUAAACCCAGAGGAAUCUGCCAACAACAGCUUGUUUAACUUAGCCAAAGUGUCCAAAAAGUAGAAGAAAGCCAACAUGUUCAUAGGUAACUUCUGAAAGAAAUUCCUAAAAUAUGUCAAGCACUACACUUAGCAUUACAAAAACAUCUAGCAUAACCUCGGGUUGCAAACUUCUUCCAAAAUGAUAAGUCUUGUGCUAAUGCCAAACUAAUUAUAUAUACAGCAAUUCAAAUUUAUCGUGUCCUGAAAUAACAUACUGUCUCAUUUAAGCGAUUUCCAUCCUACUCCGCAUUUCAAAAAAUUUUAGAGUAUGCAUAAACAAGCAGAGUGAUUUGCCAUAAAUAUACAGAAGUAAGUUCAGAUACCUAGUCAGAGAAUGGUUUCCACAUCUUUAGGCACCAAAUCAAUAUAAUUAAGGCCACGAUGAUAAAUUAUACUAUCGUUAAACUAAUUGUUUUUAGUGCACAAACUUAGCAGUAAGGGGAACUUACUGGUCCAAACGACUUUGAAUCCAAGCUAGAAGAUGAAUUGUCUCCCUCAACCCAACAAUGUCCUUCUGGAAUUUUCACCACGUCAUAGGAACGACGCGUUCCAAUCCACUCACCAGGUAAGGCAGUUAUUCUCUUUAUGUGACUCUCCUUGUGGUUACUUGGGGAGCUGCAAAAUGUUCCAACAAGUCUAGUUUCUUAUUACAAUUAACCAGACAGGCAGACACAAAUGGUAUUCGAGCAGCAUUGGGGGCAAAAAUUACCGGAAAACUACCACGUCACCAUGUGAAAACUUGUAGCUUUGAAGACACCGUUUCUCCACCAAAACAUAGUCAUCUGCAACCAAAUCACAAUCAGAGCACUAAAUAAAGCAUCACAUUGCACAGCACAACAAUCUUAACAAGAUAUCUUUCAAUAUACCAACCAAUUGGCAAGCCCAUCAAAGAAGUAGUUCCAGGGUUUAACGUAGGCGACAUAGAGGAACCGCGCACCGGAGCAACACUCGCAAAUCGGUCUGAAACAUAUAAGCCUAUGAUCCCACAUGUGAAAAACUUGUUGCCGAAAUUCCACAAACCACUCCGAGUUCCCAUGGUCAAUCUUUUUCCGUAAAUAUUCACAUUUCAUGUGCAAAAUGCAACCAUCUGUAACAUUAUCAUCAAAUUUACCAAACAUAAAAGACAGUUCAUAACUAACGCAAAAGAUUUAUACAAGCAAAAACAGUAUCAGGUCUCUCAGAGGCAAACAAUCAAACACCUGGUGAGCCCAAUGGACGAGAGGGAAAGGAGAAGGUUACCAUUAGGAAUGUUUCAAAUUAGCUGUCGAAGCAGCUUCCUUCGCCGGCGGGAGUCUUCGUUAAUGGAGAUGAGGCGGGAGGAGGUAGGUCGUGUACUGCCGCCGUCGUGGACUCGUGAUUUGGAGGAGAAGCAAAGUCUGGACUAUUUUUCGGAUUUUGAGCUAACAGAUGCUUUUUGCUCAAGGGAUUUGAAUUUUACCGGAUUUGGGCCGUUUGAAGUUGCAAAAGUGGGAAUUCUAAGCCCAAUCCAAUCGAAGAGUUAAGACUACCGAAGGAGGGGAGUUGAAUUUAUACCGGUUGCAGUGGUAAAUACUCUUUGUGAUUUUUGCUACAAGACCUUGUAGAACUCUAUAUUGUUUUUACGCGAAAAAAAUGACUCCAAUUAAGUUGAUUAUUGUAGUUUCGAUCUUUUUUUUUUAAGAAAAACGACAUUUUAUAAGGAGUGAGAUUCUUAUUCGUCGCCAAAUUAAUAAGUUGUGUUAUUAUGGUUGAAUCUCGAACUUGAUAUGCUAUGUUUUCUUUUCUUCAAUUGGGUCCUUAGGGUUUUGAAAUUUUCAAUUUUCAAUUAGAUAAUUGUAAUUAGAUUUUAUUCACCCACAAGAACAUCUUAAAUAGUCGAUCAAGGCUAAAAGAAAAUUGGUGAAUGCAAUAUGUUUAUUUUCAAUCAAGUUUCUAAAGUGAAAAAAAGGUCAACUUUUUCUGCCUUAAAAAGGGAUUAGCUGAUGACUUCAUGACUUCAACACGUGAGUCCAUCAUAUCGAAGGUCGGGAAGACUCAUAAAGGUAUUUCAACCUUCCCUAACCACCAUCAUGUGAUUCAUCAAUGCCAUAAUUGAAUUCAGAACGUGUCAUAUAAAAUACGGGCCUAGAAUUCAUCCCCAACCACUGAGUCAUCUCGUGGUGGUUAAAAAAUAUACUUAUUAACUCGAAAUAAAUUGUUUUACGUCUAAAGCAAGCAUCGUAAUAUAUCAACCAUGUAGUCAUUUAGCAAGUAGGAAAAGCUCACAUGCCAUUGCAUACACUAAUCCUUUGAUCCCAUCACAAUCUUUACAAGCUUAAGCAGUACAUAUCAUGAUUCAGAUAAUUAAUCAUGGUCUACUGAUUAAAAAACCAAACAUGAUAUGCACAUAAAGAUACUUCUCUAAGAAGAGAAGGCGUCAAUAAUGGUGGUGUGGAGCGGGUCACUCAAAUGGGUAGCCCAGUUGUUAAGUGGUCCCUUCCCGGUGACGGCGGCUUGCACGGCAAACCCCAGAAACGCAACCAUGGCGAGGCGGGCGUGCUUGAUUUCGGCCAGCUGAAGAGUGGCCUUCUUUUCCGGGUCAGCAGCAAGGCCCAACGGGUCGAAGAACUUGCCACCCGGGUACAACCUCUUUUCCGGGUCGAGCUCGGCGUUCCUCUGGAACUCGAUGUAGCCAAUCACUAGAACUUCGAUCCAGAUCAACGUGGUUAGUGAGAAAGGGAGUGGUUGACCCAAGUAGGACGACCCUUCGAUGAGCUCCACCUGUACAAAUUGGUCAACAUAAUUAGUGUUGACUGUGAGGCGAAAAGACAAAAAAAUACACUUCAUGCAAGCAUAGUUCUUGCAAUCUUUCUUAAAAGAGAGUUAGUCAAGUGGUGAGUUGGAGCGCAGCGUCUAGGCAGGAGUUUGGGUAGAUUAAGCAAAUUUAAGUAAAUUUAUUAUAUAUUUUUUAAAUAAAUGUUUAAUUAUACCGAAAAAUACAUAAUUUUAUUGAGAUACUAAACUGCAAAUUAGGCGGGUAUGUACGGAUGCCUAAGCAGGUCUAGGUGUUAUUUUUUAAUUUUCAUGUUUUAACUGGAGAGGUAACCAACCAUCUAACGUCUAGGCGACGCUAGCGGAAAUUUUAGAACAGUGAGUUCAUGUAAUUUGUUCGCUCAUUCAAUGUUACUCUGAAUCUUUUCGUUAUUUAAGUGAUGGUGAGGAGUGACAAUCAAAUUAUGAACUUUGUUACGAGGGAGAAUAUAGUCAAUUUCAUUUGGCACCAAAUAAAAACAUGCAAAUAAGUUAUGUACCUUUCCGGCGUCUUGCCAUGUGAUCCCGGUGACGGACUCGACAGUGAGAGCACCGAGCGUGGCGAGCAUGGCCCACCUUCCAUGAAUCAGCUCGCACUCCCUAAACCUCUGCAGCCCAAACACCUCCGAGUAAGGCUGAAACGGCGUCGACUGGACGUCCGCGGUUUCGGUUCGGGUCCCAAUAAUGUCACCCGCCAAGUUCUUGGCCAAAUUCUGGUCCAACCCGUCGUAGUCGUACUGCAAAUACUCCGCGGGUUUGCCCAAACCGAACGGGUCGAACCCGUAGUCGCCCACCAAGCUCCCGUCCAGCCAUUCAGGAGCCUUGGCGCCCGGGUACCAGAGCGGGCGGUCUGUUGUGAAAGUGGGUUUUGUUUUCUUGGGCUUUUUGGUGCCGAAUCCGAAACGGGCCUGGACCCGUCCCGAGUUCGAGUAGGCGUCGGUCGGAAGGCGUGUCCCGAUGAAUGAGGAUGCAGCGGCGGCAGCAGCUGCGGUUGUUGCCAUGGUUGUGUGCUAAGGUGCGACGGGGGUGGAGGUGGGAUCGAGAUUGCAAUGUAUGUUUUAAGUGAAUUUGAUUG
RNAcentral lists this long non-coding RNA (144400 nucleotides) under Malus domestica (apple). RNAcentral describes it as "long non-coding RNA (MDOM_LNC004021)". The record is from RNAcentral. Lineage: Eukaryota; Viridiplantae; Streptophyta; Magnoliopsida; Rosales; Rosaceae.